This 127739-nucleotide long non-coding RNA is filed under the name Durio zibethinus. Its description in RNAcentral is "long non-coding RNA (DZIB_LNC001420)". Lineage: Eukaryota; Viridiplantae; Streptophyta; Magnoliopsida; Malvales; Malvaceae. The record is from RNAcentral.
CCAGCCUGCUUUCACCACAAAGCCAUCCUUCUUCAAAAGCUCUCUCCAAACAAACUCCGCAUAGUGAGGGCAGAUUGGAGUGAUAAGCCUAGUCUGCACAUCCAUAAACCGCCAUACGAGGUCACGGUUCAUGCCCCCACUGCCACAAGAGAACCUAUACUCAUCCCUGGCAGCUUGAAGAUCAUAAAAGCCAGUCUUGAGAGCCUCCCGAAACAUGUAAUCCCUAUAAUUCUGCUCAGUCAUUUUGACAGCAAUGUUUAUCUCAUUUUCAAACACCCGAUCAGCAUAGGUAGAUGGGGGAUCUGUCCUCAAAGACGAUUCUGCAGCCAGAAUCUCUUCCAUCCAUGCAAUCUCUUUUGUAAGCCGUAAGAUUGCAGCAUUGGCAGUCUCAAACACAAAGUUUGCAUCAUCUACACCAUCCCCAGCAUCAGCCAGAGAGAAUCUUGUAGCAUCAGCAGAGAAUUCCUCAAUUGCCUGAUGCAGUGUCCUGAAAUUUCCAGUAGACUUGGACAUCUUCUCUGAAUUAAGCAUAAUAUGUCCAUUGCACCUGAAUCCACGAGGCCAGUGAUCCUUGGACAUGAUUGCUGUGUGAUUGUAGAUGCAAAAUGUUAAAUGGUUCUGGAUAAGGUCUUUUCCAGAAACUCUAAGAUCAAAUGGAUACCAGUACUCAAACUCCUGCUUCAUCUUGUUAAGAACAGAGGAUGGGAUAUCAGAAGAUUUGGGAUACUGACCACCACAGAAGAGAAAUUCCCAGACCUCAUCAGUCAUCUGGGCAGGUUUAACCAGAUCGGCACUUUUUCCGUACAUGUCCCCAUUUUGUAAAAGAUGAGCAACUGUGUAAUAAGCCAUGUAAAUGGUUGAGUCAGAUAAUGACUCAACAAGGAAUUCUGCAUCCCAAGGAAUGCGAGUCCCAAGCCCAAAGGAUCGUGAGCAAGCCCAUUGGUUCAGCCAUCCUAAAGUAUGUUCAAAGCCAUGUCGUGUCUCAUCAGAGUAUAGAUUCAUGUUGGAUAAGCACUCCUCAGCUACUUGUUUCCAUUCCGGUUCCCCAUAUGUGAUGUACCAUUGAUCUGUAAGAGCCACAACACACUCAUCACCAGACCUUGACAUAACCUUCUUCUCAGGCUCACUAUAAAUUAUUGCCUGGCCUGUCUCAAUCAGUUUGGUCCUUAUCAGUGCCUUAGCUUCCUGGACUCUUCUUCCUGCAUACUCUCCAACAGUCAUGGUUCCCUCUGUAAAACCUCUCAAGUACACCAACCUCUUCGCCUCAGCAAGCUUUUCUUUCUCAUUCUGACUUUUGAUUUUCAGAUCCACACAAACUUUUUCAGCUGCCCUGUCUCCAAAUUCUGGAAUGUCAAUGAUGGGUAUAAUCUCAAAUGGCAAUACCCAUUCAUCCUUCACCCCAAACUUUGCCCGAAAAGCGGGUUUUGCUUUCAAAUCAUGUAAGGCCAUAUAAUCAUCAGGAGCAUCGCUAGGAACACUGGUCACGAUCCCUGUACCUUUGUCUGUUAGAAUUGUCAUCAUUGGAAGAGCAUAUAUGAUCUCAUUAAAUGAGAGAGGAGAUUUUACAGGAAGACCAAUCAGAUCAUAACCAGUCAGUUCAACCAAGCAAUUAGGUUUUUCAGGGACGCGGGAGAGCUUCUGAUAAGCAAGGUUGAGUGCUGCUCUCUCAGUCAGAAUAAAUAUCUCAGUUUCAUUGAUUUCAAAGGCUCCGUAUUUCCCAUUAGGCAAAACCCAGCAGUUUGUUUGCCCAUACAUGGUCUCAGGCCUCAAUGUUGCAGCAGCCAAAAACACUUUUUUCCCUUCCAAAACACGCAUUUUAGCUGGAAAAGGUGGCACCACUUCCAUUUUAAUAAUAGUAUACUCUUGAGGCUGAACUCCUUCACCAGUUGCCCUAUCAUGAUCAGCACAUGGCUGACUAUCCAAUGGAGAAUAUAUAGUAUACCUCAUAUCUUUAACAAUCUUACCCAUCGAUUUCAACUUCCUCAUCUGCCACUUAACAAACGAAUCAAAAAACGGAUUCAUAUCUGUGGUCACAAAUGACCUUCUCCAAUCACAACCUAAUCCAAAAGCCUUGAGGUCUUGAACAGCCAAUGGCGGAAAGAACUUCAACCAUUCAUACGGGUUCUGAAACUUUGAUAUCUCACUAUCUGAAAGUCCAAAACUCCUCAUAAUUUCCCACUGAAACAUCUGUCCACUAGAUUUCGAUGCCGCCUUAGACUUUUUACCUUUAAACUUAUCAGGCGCCACAUUGGCAUCUUCAUUUGGGUCAGAUUCUUCUGUUGGGUUAGGUUCCUCAUCCACUACCUCAUGAGGAAAAAUGGGUGGAUCACCAAAUUGUUUGAUUUCCCUAGCAAGUUUAUCAGCUGAAGCCUUGAUUGGCAUACCGGUACAGUGAAAAGCAAAAGGCAAUAACACAUUGGCACCUCUUAAUCUAUGAUAAGCAGCAGCAAACUCGAGUUUCGAAAGCGAAAAGGCAUGGCCCAGAUGUAAAAAACCAUUCAUAUAAGGAAAAGGAAAGUUCCCAAAGAAUUUUUCACCUGGUUGAGGUGGUUUUUCAUUAGGUUCAGCUUUAAACACAUCUUUUUCUUCCCACCAAACUCUAACCUUUGACUCGAUUUCGAGGAGUUUGUCUCUCCUGGCAUAGCUCUUGCCUCCCUCUGUUGCCAUCUCGUGAAACCAAUGGAAACUGUUCAAAACCAAAACAAAAUAAAAUUCAUGAAAAUGAAACAGAAAGAAAACCAAAAAAAAAAAAAAAUGGAAGAAUCUUUGGAAAGGAAAGUGCCUGAGUUUAUUGAGGAAGAUGGUGUUGUGCCUACGAAGAAUCUUUGCUGAGUUGCAACGGAUAUAGAGCAAAUGAGUGGAGAUGAAGGAGGAUAAAGAGAAAAGGGGGAGACUGCGUUGAGUUUCAGUUCCAGUUACAGGGCUAGAUUCUCAUUGUUUGUUUUUACAGGUUUUUAGGGUUUUAAUGAUUAUUAAUUUUAAAUUAAAAAGGCCUGCCCCAACUUUUUAACAGAUCAAGAAACAGACCCAAUGUAGGAAAUAACCCAAUUUCAACAACUUUUAAUCAGACUGAGAAAGAGAAGCCCAACUAGGGGGGCAACUAACUGAACUGGACCAAUCCCAAUCUUAUGCUUAAGCCGAAACCCAAAUUCGUGCCAUUUUUCUAUAUUAAAAUGCAGGAGGGGCAAUUUUAAAAAUGAGUAAAACUUUUUAGGUUGUAAAAUUGACAAAAUUUUAUAUAAGUAUGAUCAAAUUGUCAAAUAUAUUUUGUAUUUGAUAUGUUCACACUGAUUGUAAUAAUAAUUUUCAUAUUUUACUUGACAUGAAAUAAAUAUAAUAUAAAUAUAUAAAUUAUUAUGUCUAGAUUUAGUCUGUUGCCUAAAUAAAAAAAUCUAAUUGUUGUAUAAAGAUAGUUUUCAACCUUUAUGCUUAUUGCUUUGGAUCAUCUGAAAUUCUCGUAGCCAUAAUUAACCAAAAUUCUGCCAAAUGCUAUGGCCCCAAAAUUUGUUUCUCAUCUCAUUGAAAUAGAUAGUUGCCGACUAAGGGAUCACUUUGUUGGCUUCCAUUUGUUAUCCUGGUCAGUCUGCACUUUUGAGCAAUUUCAUUCGUUCAAAACUAAGCAGGAAUCUGCUAUGCAAAAGUACAAAUCUGGUAUUACAACCAGACAAAACAAGAUUACAUAGGAAAAAACUAAUGCACAAAGAUUCUCCUUGAUUCAGCUUCCAACUUUGGCCGCAGAUGAAUUUAUAGGUUUGUUUUUGUAGUCAUGGACAGACAAUUAAUUCUUGUCCGUCAUUUUUAUUUUCUUGUUUUGGUGAAUACUAAAUAUAACUAUUAUUAUUUGUCCUUCGGAAAAACAAGGUCAUUGUACCAUAAUAUUAAGUGUAGCCAAUUGGCAAAGCUAGAAACAAAUACUAAGUAAUUUCAGUAUCUGUUCUCAAGAAGGAAGCUGAUAUCCCUUGAUUGCAGGACGGCGGAUUCUUUGGUGGUAAGGAUAGAGUUGACUCCUGAAAAUUUUCCUGGGAAAAUUUACUUCAGUUUAUAGAAGAAAAUGGCAAAGCCGGCAAUGAGAUUCCAAUAAUCAUGGACAAUUGGCAAAGCCGGCAUGUAUAUGUGAUGGGACUUUAGCUAUGGAAACCUACUGCACAUUUGAUGUGAAGGUAAAUCAAUACUACUUUGAAAGCUAAAAAUAGUAAACUGAAUAAAAGAGAUUUUAAAGCAAGAAUAUUUAACAAUAUAUUUGAUUGUUGUUUUUGUGCCAAAAGAGUUUAAAAAAAAAUGUGUCAAUAGGGAAAGCGAAACUGAUAGCAAAUCACUUUGUAAUAGCAAAGCCAAGUAAGGGCUCAUUUCUUGCACUUGCAGAGGAAAAUUAGACAAAAAUCAUGUUCUUCCAUCACCCCUUUUCACUGGAAUAGAAAAAAAUUGAAGUAUUACAACUGGUUUUCGUUGAUUUCAAAGGUAGUAGGCUGGCUCACAAUUUACCUUGGAUGAACAAUGAGUAAGGUUGGUUUAUAGAAUUCUCUCUAAUGUACAUUUUUUAAUUCCUUAGUGACAAAGACAAUGGGGAAAUUAAAGUCUUUGGAUAGACAUUUCAAAUGCAAAAUUCCAAAUGGGAAGAAAACGAAGCAAUAGUACUAUAAAAGUUGUUUGGGACAGCAAUUAGUGCAUUGAAUCAUUUAAAGCACUUCUGUCCCUUUUUUUCAAUGGUCCAAAGUCUCAACCACAAAGCAUAAAGAAGAAGGCAACCGAAAUGAGAAAUUGUGAAGGAAAAGUUCAAUGUUCCAAGUCUUCUUUCCUUCCAUCUUAAAAUUUGUCAUCAUAGCCUGCCUAACAUUAAUUUUUCCAGCUCCAACCUUAUCCUUGCAGUCUGCAAUCAAUGUUUGGCCUAAACCAAUACUACUUUUAUGGCCAAAAGCCACUUGCCACAUUCCUCUCUCCAAACUUCACCAUCAGUUCCCCCAACCACCAAUACCUCAUCCCGGCCAUCAACCGCUACCUCCGCCUUAUCCAGACAGAGCACCACAAUCCCCUUGUCACCCCUUCUGUCAACAUUUCCACCUCAUCCCCUCCUUUGCAAACUCUUACCAUCAAUAUAAUUGAUCUCACCGCCCCCCUCCAACAUGGGUCAAUGAAACCUACGCCCUCUCCAUUUCUGAAGUAGGUGCCACCGCCUAUUUGACAGCUGCAACUACAUGGGGUGCAAUGAGGGGCCUAGAGACGUUUUCCCAGCUGGUGUGGGGUGAUCCCUCAGCUGUUCCGGUAGGCUUGUACGUCUGGGAUGCUCCCUUGUUUGCUCACAGGGGAGUCAUGUUGGAUACAUCAAGGAAUUAUUAUGGGGUGGAUGACAUAUUGAGGACUAUUGAAGCAAUGAGUGCUAACAAGCUUAAUGUGUUCCACUGGCAUAUUACUGAUUCACAUUCUUUUCCUCUAAUGGUGCCUUCGGAGCCUGAGCUUGGUGCCAAGGGAUCUUAUGGACCUGACAUGAUAUACUUUCCCUCAGAUGUGGCUAGGAUUGUUCAGUUUGGCUUGGAACAUGGGGUCAGGGUCCUACCAGAAAUCGAUUCACCGGGUGAGCUUGUCAUAACAGUAACUUUUUCCUUCUAAAAAAGCGUGGUAUGACUGUUCAUUUUUAUAUUAACUGAUAAUAAUAGUUUCAUGCUUUUAUAUAUCAGUUUAUAAAUUGACAUUUAUGUAAACUUUUUGUUAUAUUUUAUGAUUUUAGAGUUGAGUGAAGUCCAAUUCUACGAAAACAAAGCACUCUCUUUGCACACUGGACACAAUAUGAAAUGAGAUUAUCAAAAUAUUUUUCGAUUGCAAUUGCAGGCCUUACGGGAUCAUGGGCAGAAGCCUACCGGAGAUAGUGGCAUGUGCAAACAUGUUCUGGUGACCAGCUGGAAGUCAAGGGGAUGACAGGCUUGCAUCUGAACCAGGAACUGGGCCAUCUAAACCCCUUGAACCCCAAAACCUACCAAGUUCUCAAGAACGUAAUUCGUGACGUAGCCAUGCUAUUCCCUGAACCAUUCUACCAUGGAGGAGCUGAUGAGAUAAUUCCUGGAUGUUGGAAAGCUGAUCCAACCAUUCAAACUUUCCUUUUCGACGGUGGAACUCUUAGCCAGCUCCUGGAAACCUUUGUGAACUCCACUUUGCCUUACAUUCUAUCCCUUAAUCGUACUGUAGUCUAUUGGGAGGAUGUUUUAUUAGAUGAAAAUAUCAAAGUAGACCCCUCAUUUCUUCCAAGGAAACAUACCAUUUUACAAACAUGGAACAAUGGCUCAAACAACACCCAAAAAGAUCGUUGAAGCGGGAUAUCGGGCAAUUGUAUCAUCUUCAGAAUUUUAUUAUCUGGAUUAUGGCCAUGGAAAUUUUCUUGGCAGUGAUGGCCAAUAUGAUCAGCAAACAACGGCUAACUCUGGAAAUGGAGGGUCUUGGUGUGGACCAUUUAAAACGUGGCAAACUAUUUAUAACUAUGACAUAACUUAUGUUGAGUGAAGACGACGCUUGGAGAGGUGGCAUUGUGGUCAGAACAAGCUGAUCCUACAGUUGUGGAUGCGAGGAUUUGGCCAAGAACUUCAGCAAUGGCAGAGACAUUAUGGUCAGGAAACCGGGAUGAGACAGGGAAAAAGAGGUAUGCUGAGGCAACUGAUAGGUUGAAUGAAUGGAGGUAUAGAAUGGUAAGUAGAGGGAUCAAGGCUGAGCCAAUUCAGCCACUGUGGUGUGUUAAGAAUCCGGGAAUGUGCAACACGGUCAAUCCCUUUUGAUUUCAUAGAUGUUUAAUUGUUUUAACAGAGACUUCAGAGACCAGUGAAAAAAGAAAUUGAUUCUGUAAUUCUCUUUCAUUUUCAACUUGUAUUUUAAUUGAUUAGCAAAAGAAUUGUCCUAUAAAUUGCAUAUGUGCUAAAUUUCUUGUUAGUUCUAGCAAUAAGUAGUAAAAAGGAUAAAAACAAACAUCUGUUUUUUAGGAAGAAAAUCAUGCAAGAGAGUGAAACCCAAAGGCAGGAACUUUUGAGAGAAAUUAUGCAAGUGGAAGAUAGAUGAGGGCAUGAGUUACUUGAAAAAAAAUGCAUUCAAAGGGAUAAAUACCCAUGAAAUUUGAAAGGAUAAUAAAAUUGAGACCCACACCAAUGAAAUGAAAGUUACAGGGGAAAUAAUAAAAAAAAAAACGAAAAUAUUAAAAAAUACUGUUGAAAGAGACUAAAAUCCGCCAAUAGUAUAUUAUAUAAAAGAGAUUAAAAAAAAUUAAGAGAAAUUCUUUCAUUAACAAUUAGUAGUAUUUGAUAUUAAUGGUCACUUCAAAAAUUAUGAUAAUUUAUAUACAAUGAUUAGAUCAUCAUUUUUGAUAAAUAUUUAAUGAUCCUAUGUGAUUGUGAUUUUGAAGGAUAAUCUAAUUGCCAUUUGAAAUGAUGAAAAGCUUUUAUCAUUUUAAUAUAUAAAAUUAGUAAUAAUCAAUAUUACUUAUUUAAUAUGUGAAUUAAAAUUUUGAUUUAUCUUAAAAUUAUAAUUAUUUUAUAUUAUAAAUUUUUAUAUUUUAAACUAAUAUUCAUUAUAAACAAAUUAAAAAUAGUUUGAGUAUUUUUUACUUUUUGUGUUUAUAUAUAAUAAAAUAUCUUUUUAUUAUAAUUUUAAUAGAUUAAUUUAUUUUUUAAUUCAAUUUUUUUACAUAAUUUAUAUUAUAAAAAUUAGUUUAUUUAAUAAAUAAAUAUAUUUAAUAAUUUAAUUAUAGUAUAAAAUAAAUAAAAUAUUGCCAUUUUUUAUGAAUUAUUAUCUUUAAAUAAUAUUUAAAUCAUUAAUUUGUAAUUAUUACAAUAAAAUGGUUAUUUUGUAUUUUUAAAUAAAUAAUAUUUUAUUUUUAAUAAUUCAAAUAUAAUGAUUUUUAUUCGUAUGAAUUAAUUAUUGUUAACAAAAAAAUGAUUUCAAAUCACGAGUAAUAAAACUUGUAGUUAUUAAUUUCAUUUUGAUAUAGAUCAAUAUGCGACAGCUAUAUCAAAAUACAAUACACUUAGAGAUGAUUUUUGUACUAAAUUUGUUACAAGAUAAAACUAAUUGUUUUUGGUAGUUUUCAGUAAGUUUUAAUGAAUUUUGGUGGAAUAAUUUAUUUUGAUUAAUACGUAAUGUGAAAUAUAUUUUAUAAUUUUUAAUUUAGCCUUUAUAGUUUAAUUAUUUUAAUCUAAUAAAAAUAAAAUUAAUUGACAAAAUAAUCUUUAAAAGUUUAGUUUCUUUAUUUUUUAUUUUAAUUUAUUUUUUUAUACUUUAUCUUUUCAAAUCAAAGUUUAUAAUUUUAUAAUUUAUUUUUUCAAAUUAAAAUUUAUUAAUAUUUCAAUUUUUUUAAGAAAGUAAUUAUGCUCAUUUUAUAAAGUUUAACAAUCAUAAAGCCUUGGUUAACUUUUUUAUUCUCUUUGUUUUUAUCUUAAUAUUUACAUAAAAAAUAUUUAUUUAAAUAACAUAUGAUCGGAUUAAGUGUUUGAAAAUAUUAUGAAAAAUUCAUGAUAUUGUUUCUAAUACUUUUAAACUUAUUUAUUUGAUUUUUGAAAAUAUUGCAUACUUAAUUUGUAAAUUAUUAAUAGUAUUAUAAUGUACAAGUUUAUGUAUGUUUAUAAAUAUAUUUGUACUAAAAUAAAAAAAUCUAAAAUAAUAUAUCGAAAUAAUUGGUACCGAUAUAUAUUAUUUAAAAAAAAACUGAAAUGUUAUCCAAUAUGAUAUUAAUAACUUUAACAAAAUCACCUUAAUAAUAAAAUCAUUUAGAUGAUUAUAUUUUCAUGAUAAUAUUAAAAAUAACAUCUAAUGAUACCCUUAUUAUAAUUUUUUAAACUUCUUAGGACAAAUUAAUAAGAUAACACAAAUGUAUUGAAAAUAAAAAAUAUAAUUAGAAAUCAAAAUAUAUUAAUCUUUUAAUUUCGUGGGUGAAAUUAAAAAAUUACACAAAUAAUACAAAAAACGAACUCAAAAAUUAGAUGAAAGUAAAACAUUUGACACAGGAUUCUGUGGGCUAUGUAAGCCUUUAGAUUUUUUUUUCCAGAAUUCACGGUGGGCUAAAACCCAAUAUGAUCCAAAAUUCAGGUUCUUGGAUCCAUAGUUUAAGUAGCCUAAGAACCCAAACUUAGUCCACGAAAAUCUGUUAACUUUUCAUUUUCCAAACUACUUUUCAAAUAAUAUUUUUUUAAUUUCUUUUACCAGCGAGUCAGCCACCUGAUUCCGUGAUUCGAUCAACAAACCCAAACGUUUCGAAAUUACAGAACCAAAUCCUGAGAAUCUCAAUUUCCCAUCUCUGAUUAUUUUUUUUCUAACUUGUUUUUUCCCUAUUUUCUUUAUGAAAUUAAACUACUAAAAGAUGCAGUCUCUUGAAAGCAUCACAGAUUCCUCAUUUCCUCAAAACCCUAACAAUUCUUCUUCUUCUUCUGUUAAUGGGUUGUAUCGAUGGCUCUUUGAAUGUCAUGGAAUUUGGCAUAACUUAGCUCUUGUUAUUCCUUCUCUUCUAUUUGUUCUUUUCUUAGGUUUUCAAGCCAAAAGAAGCUUCCAAAAGCUCUCUCAUGGCAGGUCUUAUAUCAUGAUUUCUUAUUACGGUUGCCUUGGCUUGUUAGCUCGCUCAAUCUUGCUUGGUGUUCUCUUCAGGUUGAGGGUUUUCUUUUUUCUCUAAGUCGAUUUUAAACAUUUGGGUUGUUCUUGAAUUAGCUUGUUGAUUUCUUAAAGGAUGAAAUUAAAUUGCUUUUUGUUGUUUCUAGGAAAUGAAUGCACUUUUUAUUUUUAAUUCUUCACAAGUUUGUUUAGUUUAUAUCCAAAAUACUCUUUUUUUCUUUGCAUCUAUGGCAUACGCAACAACUAAAUGGUACCUAAAUUAGUGGAAUGUAAUUUGGGUGUCUUGGGUUCAUUAGAAAUGGCUUGAAAGUUACUAUACUUGAUGAUUUUUCGCGUUAUGGUAAAUUACAAAUUGGAUUAUUGGACAGUUUUCAAGUUUUAGUUUUUAGGUUAGGCUUCUUUGAUGUCGUAUGUAAGAACAAUGCUCAGAAGCCAAUAAUGAUAAUAUAUAGAUCAGUGAAAUGAAAAUAUGUAUAGCAAAAGCCUUCUUUGUCGAGCUUAGAUGUUCAAUAGAUGCGUCUAGGCACUAAGCUUUUGGUAUGGCAUGAGUUUGCGACUAACUCAUUCAUUAUCAUGAAUGGUGUAUAAUAUCAUGAUUGUUCCUUUUUCAUAGUGUAUGUUUCCGUUUCGUAAGCAUGAGUAAAUUUUUUUUUUUUUUACUUUUUUUUCCAUAUGAAUUGUGUAUUGGUUGAUCCUUAACAGAUACUGUUUUCUGCUUAAUCUGGCUUCUUUAAAAAUGAGUUGUGUUAAGCAGCUUGGCUGCUUAUCCUUUUGAUAGUUUGAAGAGUUAGGGUACUAAAUUAUAUGCUUUGAGAGAACUCAUAUCCACUAGGAUUUAUGAAACAUGACCUGCAUUGACCCUUGAAGAUUCUUAUUCUAGUUGCGAGUAAGUUAACUUUUUCUACUUCAUAGCUGGAUGGCUAGGUUUACACUAUUUACUGAUUGAUGCAGGCCUGGGAAUGCAGUCCUGGAAAGGAAAUGACAUGGAAUAUCUUAUCGUUGUUUACAACUUCUGGGAUGCUGUUCCUGGAAGUUAGCUUGGUGGCAUUUUUACUUCAAGGAAAUUAUGCUAGUGGGUUGGAGGCUUUGACUCGAACAUUUGUUGUUUCGGGGCUUAUUGUUGGUUUGGACUUACUUCUGAAGGUACUUCUUUUAUUCUUGAAUAUUUUAACCUUCUUUGAAGUUCCAUAUCUGUUGCUGGUGAAUCAGACGGUGGUGGAAAAACAAAACAGUUUCUUUCCUUACUGUACUUUACUAAAUAGCAGAGUCACCGAUUCCUGUGGCCUAUAUUUAGAUUGUUGACCUACUUUAACUUCUUAAGCAAUCUAGAAUGCUAAGUAUGAUUGUUUAUACGUGUUUAAGUUGUUUUAUUUUCUAAUAUGGAAAGACACACAAUGUUAUUCCUUUUUGUGUUUUUCCCCUUUUGAAUUCUUUAUAAUAUUUUUGCAUCAAUGCUUAAUAUGUUGUGAUAUUAAUAUUUCAAUGGUCUUUUCCCUCGUUUAGGCUAUUUACCUAUUUGGAUUUGGUGUCCCUAUGUUCACUGACAACACCGAACAUACACAUCAAGUGAAAUGGGGCUUGUGGGUUGUUCACAGGCUAGUGCUGACUGCUAUUUAUGGCUUCAUACUGUUUAUGUACCACUCUAAGUGGAGAGAAAGGUUACCUGGUAUGUUAAUCUAAGUCACAUACAUUUGUGCAGGUUAUUUAACAGUAGUUGCAUAGUUGUGUCACCUGGAAUCUUCUCUCUUAUUCUGCAGCAAGACCUGCAUUCUACAAAUAUGUUGCAAUCAUGUUCAUCUUGAAUGCACUAGCACUGAUUACUUGUGGACUAACUGGAAAUGGUGCUAGUUUUGGGUUUUGGUAAAUACAAGCUUGAUGCCCUUUUUUAAUUGAAGAAUUAUGUUUGUUAUUUAUAUUGGUAUAUUAUGUUCUUUUCCAAGGGUUUUUUUUUAAAAGAAUAGGAUUGACAGGUUGUACAGUGCCACAAUUGUUUGCUACCACGCCUUGUACCUUCCUCUUCUGUAUAUAACUUUUCUGGCAGAUUUUUUCCAGGUAAUCAUUUAUUUCGGAUUCAUAGCAAAAAUUUUAUCUUGUUAUUGAUUCUUUAGCACCUUAUAAUAUGUUAGUACGGUAAAAGUAUCUCCAAUGCCUGCAGGAGGAAGACUUGCACUUAGAGAAUGUGUACUUUCAGAGAUGAAAGAUGCUGGUUUCUUUGAUGCUGACUGGGAGUGAGCACUGUAUCAACUUUGAAUUACUAGAUUCCCUUUUCGUUAGGAUCUGUAAAUGAAAUUAAAUGCAAUUCAGAUUGUAAAAUGUCUGAUCAAAGGAUGGUUGAUCGAUCCAUGCAUGUAGUAUUUAUAGAUACUGCUCUGGUAAUGGCGACAGUAAUCCUAUAGCUCGUAUAUUUGUAAUAAUCUCCUGUUUUAUAAAUUUAAGUUGAUUGCAAAUAAAACUUGUCCAAUCUUCUUGUAGCAAAAAAACUAGAAGCAUUGUGUACGUUCUUGUAGAAUUUCUCUUUUAGUUUUUGUGUUAUUGUAAUAAAAUUCCAAUUAACAGCUUCAUGUUGAUGGUGUUUAUGCAUACUAAUAGAUUGGUUAUCCUUCACGGUUUCCCUUUGCAUUAUUACCGCAGGUUUGUUGAUAUUUACUCUUUGCCUCAGCUUAAUGGGGCUGAGGCAUCAAAUAUCCGAAACAUUAGCCGUAUCUUAUUCUCUUCGGGCUUCAUUGUGUCGGUUUCUUUAAGAGUGUAAAUGAAAUAUUAGUAUUUAUAAAUUAUUCGAAUUUAAUAUAAAUAAAAUUUUAAUUUGGAUUCAAUUAUUAUCGAGUUGUCGAGUUCGAGUUCGAGUAGCUCGACUUAUCGAUCGAGUUGAUUUUAAGUAUUUUUAUAUUUGAUUCGAGUAGUUCACAAGUUUAAUUGAAUUUUAUAUUUUAAUAUAUUUUAAUUAUUUUAAUUGAUAAAAUAUUUUAAACUCAAGUAUAAAUAAUUAAGUUUUUAUCGAAUAUAAGAAUUGAGUUUAUUUUUAUAUAUUAAUUAAGAUUAAUCAAAUGAAUUUUAAUAGUUAAAUUUUAUUUCGAAUCAAACUUAAAUUAAAAAAAUAAAAUUCGAUCGAAUUUGAAACUUUAAAUUUGAAAUUAAAAUUGAUUUAAAUUUAAUGUAUAUUUAUUCAAACUUUAUCGAUUACACUCUUAAUUUUAUCUAUGUUAGUGAAGCUACGGACAUCUUUUUCUAAGGCCUCAGUUGGAUUUAACUGAAGCUUCAGUGUGUUGCGUUUUCUUCACUUUUUUCCUUCAAUCUCACCGUGAUUCAUAUUUGGAUAACAUCAAUGAUGGUGAGUUUACUAGCGUGAAUCGCACUAAAACAUCAGUUGAAGACAGGACUUUUGGGGUUCAAUGGAUAACUAAUAUCCCAAUAAAUCUUUUUUAUUCACAUUAUUUUUUUUACAUUCUUAUCAUGCCCUUAAAUGAGUUUUUAGUUAAAAAAACCUAAAAUAUGAUUUUUUUAACUUAUUUCUCUCUCUUUCUGUUUCUGUCACCAUCUUAAAUUUUUAACCCUAAAUGCCUCCUCCUUCGUAUUAUCGCCCCUUGCUACUGUCACUUGUUCCAUUUCCCCUUGCUAUUGUCACUUGUUCCAUGUUAAGGACAUUAGAUAAAAAUAUUAUUUGAUAUUAAAAAAUUUAAAAUUUUGUAAUUAUUUAUUAAUUUAAAAAUAUUAAAUAUAUAUAUUUAUUAUACAUAAAUUUUAAUUUAAUGUUAAUAUAAUAUUUUAAUAAUAAUUUUUAUUUUUAUUAUAUUUUAUUUCACCAUUACUAUUAAUUUUACAUUUAAAUACAUAUUUCACUGUUGAUAUUAAUCUCAUCAUUACAAUAUUCAAUCUCAUCAUUAUAUUAACUAAUCUCACUAUCAUCAUAAAUUUAAUCUUACUAAAAUCAAUUCACUACCUAUAUAAAUGAACCCUAAACUAGCAUGAAAAACUUUACAUUAUGGAGCUUGUUGGAUUAAUUGUGGGUUAAAAUAUAAAAUAUAAAAUCAUAACUUACUCAUUAAAAUUUUAAUUAAAUUAAAUCAGACAACUCUCUUUAUUUUUAUUUUUUAUUUAUUUUUUUUUCUCGGUUUCAGCGUCACUCCACUUUUACACCUAAACAGCUCCCACUUCUUUAUUAUUUAAAUCUUUCAUUUCACGUUAAGUUAAAAAGGCCUUGCCCAUGAAUGGUCAAAACCAAAGAACGAGGCAAGACCCCACGUUCUUAACAUCUUUUGCAAUGGACCGACAAUCGGGCAUUACGCUUAAAAGUUUAAAGUUGAAAUUUUGAACUUGAUUUAUCAGUCUAAUACAAAAUCAGGUAUACAAAAUUUAUUCGAUUUCCACAGCCUAAAUUUCAAAAAAAAAAAAAAAAACAAAAAAGAACUUCUUGAAUAAAGUAGGAAUAUACAAAAGUCAACUCUUUUUCCAUCAAGAUUUUUUCAGAGUAUUAACAUCAGUAUAUUGUUGUGUGUUUCAUCAAUGGAAAGAUUGUAUUUGUAGGCAAACAAAAAAUAUGUCAUUUUCGAUAAAUAAAUGAUAGUGACUUACACUAUCAUCACGCAGUUGAUGCGUCUAAUAGUAUAAACAAAUGAUAAUGCUUAUACCAUUAUGUACCAAUAAAAGGAAAAAAAUUAGUGUAAUUUUUUAGAGUGAAAUUAAAUUCUAUCAUUUUAUUAAGAUUUUUUACAUUUACACAUUGAAUUUUUAAAAUUAUAUAUUAUAAUUUAUAUCAAUAAAAAAAUAAAAAAUAUAUUUUUUUAAUUUCAUUAAGCAUAUAUAUAAUUAUUAAUAAAAUUUUAAAUUAUAUUUUUUUAUAUAUUUUUUGUCAUAUUAUGAUAUAUAUUUUAAAUUCAUUAGAUCUAAUCAAGAAUAUUUUUUGACCGUGUACAUUUUNNNNNNNNNNNNNNNNNNNNNNNNNNNNNNNNNNNNNNNNNNNNNNNNNNNNNNNNNNNNNNNNNNNNNNNNNNNNNNNNNNNNNNNNNNNNNNNNNNNNNNNNNNNNNNNNNNNNNNNNNNNNNNNNNNNNNNNNNNNNNNNNNNNNNNNNNNNNNNNNNNNNNNNNNNNNNNNNNNNNNNNNNNNNNNNNNNNNNNNNNNNNNNNNNNNNNNNNNNNNNNNNNNNNNNNNNNNNNNNNNNNNNNNNNNNNNNNNNNNNNNNNNNNNNNNNNNNNNNNNNNNNNNNNNNNNNNNNNNNNNNNNNNNNNNNNNNNNNNNNNNNNNNNNNNNNNNNNNNNNNNNNNNNNNNNNNNNNNNNNNNNNNNNNNNNNNNNNNNNNNNNNNNNNNNNNNNNNNNNNNNNNNNNNNNNNNNNNNNNNNNNNNNNNNNNNNNNNNNNNNNNNNNNNNNNNNNNNNNNNNNNNNNNNNNNNNNNNNNNNNNNNNNNNNNNNNNNNNNNNNNNNNNNNNNNNNNNNNNNNNNNNNNNNNNNNNNNNNNNNNNNNNNNNNNNNNNNNNNNNNNNNNNNNNNNNNNNNNNNNNNNNNNNNNNNNNNNNNNNNNNNNNNNNNNNNNNNNNNNNNNNNNNNNNNNNNNNNNNNNNNNNNNNNNNNNNNNNNNNNNNNNNNNNNNNNNNNNNNNNNNNNNNNNNNNNNNNNNNNNNNNNNNNNNNNNNNNNNNNNNNNNNNNNNNNNNNNNNNNNNNNNNNNNNNNNNNNNNNNNNNNNNNNNNNNNNNNNNNNNNNNNNNNNNNNNNNNNNNNNNNNNNNNNNNNNNNNNNNNNNNNNNNNNNNNNNNNNNNNNNNNNNNNNNNNNNNNNNNNNNNNNNNNNNNNNNNNNNNNNNNNNNNNNNNNNNNNNNNNNNNNNNNNNNNNNNNNNNNNNNNNNNNNNNNNNNNNNNNNNNNNNNNNNNNNNNNNNNNNNNNNNNNNNNNNNNNNNNNNNNNNNNNNNNNNNNNNNNNNNCUAGUCAAACACAAAACUUGAUCAAGCAGACUACUGGUAGAUGUAGAACUUCAAGUGCCUCACCAUGCCUUUGAAAUUUCACAACCUUCAAGUCUGCCUCAUGCUAUAUGUACAAGAUCCAUCAACACCAAAGUUAUUCUACAUUUUUAAAAUAUAAAAAGAGACUUGUUUUCUCACAAUGUUAUUACUUUCCCUAAAUCAUAAGAGUGUGAAGUACUUUAUCCAAGACCAUACUCCUAGGGAGAAGACUAGCUGAAGAUUUCUUGUGACUAAUCGCUUUUAAAAUGCUUGCAAUGAAGAUAAACUUGAACAUAAGAGCCAAGAGAAAAAAAUAAUUAGCUUCGAGCCUUAACAACAUUAUAAUUUUUCUUAGCAAAAGAAGUUAGUAUAAAGGAAACAUCAUACCUGCUUAAAACGAACAUCUUCAGACUCCUCUUGGCUCAAUUCUGAAAGAAAAUUUCCUUUAUUUCAGUGCUUUUGUUUUUGCUUGGUUUAGGAAUAGUUAUUAGAUCCAAAACCCAAUUACCAUAAACGGGAGUAAACAGAAUACAGGAAUAGAUGCAUAACAAACACUUCCAUUCACUUAAGCAAGCACAUUACUGAGCUUAAGACGAAAAAAGGUUUAUAUUAAUCAGUACUAGGAAUUGAGAUUAACUUACCAAAUGCCUCAAAUUGACCCUCAGUUGGUAGUUUCACCUCAUCUGCAAACAUGAUAACAGUAAAAAGGAAAAAAUUGUUAAGCAACCGACACAUCUUCUGCAUUUUAAAGCAUGCCACUCAUGCACAACUUUGCAUUGACAAUGAAAUAUCAAUUCUAAAGAUGUUAUUACAUGCCAAUAGAAUGGCAGAUUCUCCCUUUAUUAAUAGAUGUCAUGUUGUUCGAAAAGGAAAGAAAAAUAAUACCAGUUUUUAGCAAAUUCUGGCGUCGAUUUUUAGCCAUUGCAAAUGCAACUGCAUCCUCUACCUUCAGAAAAGAUAAAUUAUUUAAAAGAACCACCAAAUACAGGGGAAAAUAUUCUUUAAGACUGCAAGCAAACUGACCAUGUCAUGUGAUAUUAUCAUUAAAUUGAUAAAAAAUAAUAAUAAGAAAGCGCAUAAGAAGGAAGAUAGCAUGUGCUAUUACAUCCAUAACUCUUGAUGAAUUGAUGAUAAGUGAGAAGAAGAUAGAUGAUAUCACAACUGCAAACACAAGGGAUACGGCAGAAGAACCCUUAAAUAAAGCCAGUUCCCUUAGACCGUUUCUAACUAAAAGCACUGCCUUUCAACAUUUCUCUCUCCAGAUACGUGCACCAAAGUCUUGCAGGACCUUUUCUCUUUCUUCUAAAUCAUUGUUCGCUGUUCAUAUGGAGAUAGACAACAAAGAUUAAGCAAAACUGAGGACAUUUAGUUUUCUCUCCACUAGAGAGAGAGAGAGAGAGAGAAUUUGAGGACUCUAUAGAGCAUAAAAAACCAAAUGGAAAAGAUCAUCGAAAUAGUUCAUUUUCCAAUCCUAUCAAAAGGUCAGAUGGAAUAUAUGGAACGUGGUUGAAUUAAAGCAUGCCAGAUCAAAUGGAAAUCUUACAUUGAAGAUUCCUCCCUCUUUGGCCUCUUUGCCCAGCAGCUAAUACUAUUUCAACGGAAGAGGAGCAAAUGAUGACCCAAUAUUCAUGUUUUGCCCCAGCUAUCUCUGCCUGAAUACCUGCAAAAGGUCAUGUCCUUGAGAAAUCUAAGCAGCUUCAUACAAAAUGUACAAAAGACAGAAUUAUGGGUUUGCACAUUAAAGAAACUGACUGCAGUUGCCAACUUUAAUUACUCUCAGGAUUCACCUAACCAUUUUAUAUUGGAACGCAGUGCUUUAACUUUUAUGGUGAUUAUUAGAGGCAACUGUUUAUCCAAUACAGCAGCAUCAACUCAAAAACAAUCAGGAAUUUCACGUAUUUAAAUAUCAACACUUUACCAUGUUCCACACAUAAACUCCAAUAACGAGCAAGCCAGCAUCUCUUUAAAACAACCUCUUCCUAAGAUGAAAACUGCAGAUUACGUAACUAUGACAUAAAGGAGUAAACUGACAAAAUGAUUUCUGCAAGAUUAGAAAUAAAGUCAACCAUCUCUUCCUCAGUCAGCAUCAUCCUUUGAGUUACUGUUUGCAGAGAUUUGAUUUCACACUCCGCUUCAUGGAGCUUAUCUAAGGCAGAUGUUGCUUCAUCUCUGGCAAUCUAGCUCAUAAUUAUAGAACAGAGAAAAUUAAGUUAAGCAAGAACAUUUCCCCCUUUUUAAGAAUGGUAAAAUUCAAAAGAAAAAGCCAGAGCAUACAACAUAAAAUUUCAAAAUACCUCAGCCUCUGUCCGAAGAGAAGCAAUCUGUUCGGGUAUACCACCAUGAGUUUGCGUUGCAGCUCUUAAAGCAGCCUGCAAGAAGAACAAUGUCAUAUGCUACUCAGCUGCAGUUCAUAAACCAUGUCCAGACUAAAAUGUAAAAGUAAAAGAAUUAAAGUAGCACAAUGAUUUUUGCAAAAAGAAGUCAGUUAUAAGCAACAAAGCAGGACUAGAUAGAUCUACAAAAGCAAUGAAACUAUUGAAGAUGUUAAGAAUGAAUAAAGCAUGACCUCUGGCAAUCCUUCCUACAGAUCUAAAGCAAACACCAACUUCUGUGCUUAGUGUCUAUUGACUGUUGAGUCGGCAUUUAUUUUUACAUAUCAGAUUCUCAUUUUAAAAUUUAUGCUAAAAAUUUCAUGCACAUGCCUGCUUCAGGUGUAUAUAAUAAACCUAUCUAUGCAUGAAAGCAGUACCAUCUCACAAAGAGAGAUGCAUAAAAAGAUGCAGAAAUAAGCAUAAAUAAACUCAGUAAACACACACUUACAAGACAAAAGAAUGUCUUUUAAGGCUCAUAGUUAUCGAGUAUUAUGUAAUUUUCCAUGCAUAAUGAGACUGAUAACACAUGCAGAUUAGUUUGAGACAAGAAAAGAGUGGCACUCUUUAGAAGUACAAACCUCCCUUUCCUGCAGGGCUGCCUCCUUUCUGAAGAGGAAGACAAAUAGCGCAUAAGAAAAAGGAAAAAUAAAUCACAAUAUAACAUUAAAUUCUUGUAAGCCAUAAACUUGCCUGCUUAAAAGACGUGCUUCUAAAGUUACACCUUCUCCAAGAUUAGCAAUCUAUAUUGAACAUGUUAUGAAUCAAGUAAACAAAUACAUAAUUUUGCUUGCUGGAGCGGUAUAAAGUUCAUUUACAUUUCUCUUGUUUAGUUUUCUUUAAACUGAGAAAAGUUCACCUGUUUCUCAAGCUGCUGAGCUCUUGCUUCUGCUUCCUCACACCUCUCCUCUGCAAGUUGAAGCUGGGAAGGCAAAUAUCAUGGGCAAAAAUAACAGUAUAAGACUAUUAUUAACAUUUUCCGUAGGCCAAAGCACUUAGUUGGCUAACCUAAUUACAUCAGAGUUUUUGGGAGAAAAUGGUGUUGCAAAAGUUAUAUCCAAAUGCCAGUAUUCAGAUAGAUUAUGCCCGUUCAUUUGAAGAUAACUGUUGCAACAAUUUAGGAUAUUGGCUCAGUGCUUGAAGAUGAUGGAGAGCCAAAUUGAUGUGCAUGAAUACAAUAUCAUUUUUCCAAAUAAAACUUUUCAUACAACUUUACUAGAUACAACAAUAGAACAAGUUACAUAACAAAGAAGAAAAAAGUUGCUGGAAUCACCUUUUCAAUUAAACUUUCAUUUUCAUCCUGUAGCAUAUCAAGCUGCCAUGAAAUUCACACCACAUUACUGGAAGAUAAAAAUAAACAUUUUCCUAAGCUUCUUCAUGUGUUUGAUCACAUAGACUGAAAAUUGAAGUGUUCAGACUUGAACAAAUUAAUUAGGUUUUUGAAAAAGAAGAUAUGAUGACCUAUACACCUGCUUUCAAAUAAUUCCUUAGAAACAAAAAAGAAAAAAAUAAAAUUGCAACGAAUAUAUGCUAGAAGGAAACACAUAUUUAGCUUAACGUGACUGUACCUCAUCUUGUAAAGCAGAAGUAGACUGCUGUCUUCCCCUAUCUUUCAAACUGCUCAUACUCCCAAAAUCUGAAGACAAUCUGCUUACACUAUAAAUUUUAGAGCACUAUAGAUGAAACAAAGAAAGAACCUAAACCAGUGCAAUGGGCAUUUUACAUGAUCCCAGGAUCUUGAGACCCUAACAUUAUUAAUUGAGAAAAACGCAUGACGGUGAUGGGCUUAAAUAUUUCCAGGGGAGGGCAUUAUGCAUUCUUGAAUACUGGAAGAGCAGCAACAAAGCCUUUCUUACUGUAGAGAUGAAAACAUAAGGACCUGAAUUACUCAUAUAUAUCUAUUAUCUUGUGACUAUGUUAUAUAAGAAUGUUCUUAAUGUUGUUUAAAUUUAUGACACUCAAUCGCUUCUAAAUCACGAAUCAGAGAAGUUGCUCCAUUUGAUGGCAGAUUUCCUCAUUCUCUUUCUAAUAUAUCUAAAACUUCAAAGACCAAGUUAAAAGGGAAAAUUCACAUUAUAUGUAUAAAACUAACAAAAAAAUAUAAGGGUGACGAAAGAAAAAAAUUGGAGGGGAUUACGAUAUGGAUGAUAACUUCAUCCUUCAAACUGAAAUCACACCAGCUUAGAGCUAUAAUAUACUGUUUAUCUCUCCGAUUAUCAGUUGAAGCCUCUGUUGAACUAACAGAUGAGGUUGGCUUCAGUGGCAUAGGCACUGUAUGAGGUAUCACAGGAACUGCCUUGACUCCUAAAUGUUGGCGACCUGAUGCUGUGGAACGAGCAGAUAAAGGUUGCUCUAUGGAUCUGGUUAAUGGACAUAACCGGCCAGCAGUUGGCUGUUCUGCAGAACCCUGCAGAGAUGGUUGUCCGCCUGAAAUGGAAUAAGGAGACAUGGGUUGCUCCACAGAGCUGAUAGAGUGAGAUGGUUGGCCACUUGAAUAAGAUGAUAAUGGUUGCUCCAUAUUGUUGACAGAUAGAGAGGUUUGACUGCCUGGUGUGGAACGUGUAGAUGGUGGUUGAUCCUGAUUGAUAUGAACUGACUAAUAGCAAAUUUAAAGUUACAAGUAAGAAUUACAUUCAUAAGUAAUAUAAGCAUUAAACAAACAAAAAAUUUAGAUAACUGAGCAUACUCAGUUAACAGACAAAUUACCGAGGGAGAAGAUGAACGUAUUGCUUUUCCACAAGCAAGUCCAAUGGUUGCUGUGCCACUCGCUGAACUAUUAUUAUUUGCAAGGUCAUCCACAUCAUUGUCCUCAUCACCUGGUUGCUGUGCUACUUGUUGCACAGGCCUUUGAGCCAUAGUUUUGGCCUGUGUUUACGAAUGGAAGUCCAUAUAAGAAUGCAUUUCUCAGUAGCAUAAAACUCCAGCAUUAACCGUAAAUCUUUUCCUUAAACUCACAUCAUAACUUGUCUGCUCAAGCUCAUGCUUCUUCUCUCACAUUAGCAUGACAAGCAAGAAAUAGCUAAAACAAAUUCAUAAUAGGAAAUCACAUAAUUACCAUAGAAGGGCGUGACUGCAUUGCCCUACCACGAGCAAUACCAAUGCUUGCUCUGCCACUAACUAAAAGGUCAUCCUCAUCAUCGCCCUUAUCAGAUGCUUUCCGUGUAGUAACUUGUGGCAGCCGCUUCUGAGUUAUGUUUUUAGUCUGCAAAAUUAUACAGUGCUAGUCCACUGAGAACAUAUUUGUUGGUAGCAUCAGGCUUUUGCAUGUAAUGUGUAAGUCACAGAAGUUACAAACUAACGAUUAGACAUCUAUGAAUUAUCUUAUUCAACAAAUUCCUUUGCAACUUAAUAUUAAACUUUCUUCCCUAAACACAUUUCAAGCAGCAACCCAAUUAUAAACAACAAUAUGUUCAAAUCACCAAAUUUGUACUGAUAAGAAAAUCAAAUAAGUAAUUUUGCACGCAAGACCCAUAUGGUUACCAAACAACUAGUCAGCUGAAUAAUACACUUCUCUUUGUAAUAAGUAAUAAUGCAUUAAGGAAUAUUCGGAGUCCUUAAAGACUAAAUCAGUCAAUUACUGAUUUCCAGUGCUCAAGCAUGCAUGAACAGGUCACUCAAUUAUUAGCUUACGACUUAUCUUGUUCACACUCUCACGUUCCAUUUCAUACAGUGUUGACAAAAUGUUACAUUUAUCAGAGACAGCUCAAGCCAAGCUUAUAAAAACACAGUACUUUCAUAGCUCCAAAAGUUAAAAUGACAAAAAGAUAAAUUUAAAAUUUUAAGUCUGAAACUUAAACAACUUGAGCAAUUUUAGAUAAAACCUAUUAUAUGUCCAGAGAAUUUAAAAUUUGUUAUAAAUGUAGCUCAAACUAAGAAUUUAACUUGUCUAAUUGCAUUCAUUUUCUUUCCCUGAGGCUCACUAGACAAACAUGUCUAUCUAAAUCAGAUAGUCAUAUAAUUACCGCAGGAGAGCAUGACUGCAUAGCCCUUCCACCUGCGAGCCCUAUGCUUGAGGUACCACUCACUAAAAGGUCAUCAUCAUCAUUGUCCUCAUCAGAUGGUUGUUGUGGUGCUCGCCUUUGAGCUAUGUUUUGUUCUGGGUUUUACAAGAUAACUUGCAGUAAGAACAUAUUUAUUUGCAAUGUAAAACCAGCUAGCAUGCUAACAUGAACAAGCUUUAGAGCAGCAUAAGAGAGUUUGAAAUACAUUACAAUGCAUGACAAAUUGAUAAUACAGUUAAUAGUGGUCAAAAAAAUCUUUUAUAGAGAAGUGUUAUUUUAACUUGUCAAAUGGAAUUUAUUGAACUACAACAAGUUUGUGCGUCUCACUUUGACACACAUGCAGCUGGUAUAGCUAAAACCAAAUUUGUGUUAGAUAAUUACUGCAGGAGACUGUGACCGCAUUGCCCUUCCACCAGCGAGACCUAUGCUAGCUGUGCCACUGACUAAAAGUCCAUCCUCAUCAGCUGGUUGUUGUGUCAUCACUACUGGAGCUCGCCUUUGAGGCAUGUUUUUGUGCUGGAUUUUACAAUGCAAGUCCAAGUAAGAAUAAAUUGACUUGCAAUGUCAUAAGUCAUAACUCUACCACAUGCAACCAUGAACAAAUUUAGAGUUUAGAGCAGCAUAAGAGAAUUUAAUACUUAAUUGAGUCAUGAUCAUAGCUAAGGAAAGUGUCUUUUAACUUGCCUAAUUCAACUCGCUCUUUUUUCUCUUACCUCUCACUUAACUAACAUAGCAUAGGUCAACCUAAACCAAAUUCCUAGUAUUAGAUAAUUCGAUAUAAUUACCAUAGGAGAGCGUGACUGCAUUGCUCUUCCACCACCAAGCCCUAUACUUGGCGUGCCAGUCACUAAAAUGUCAUCCUCAUCAUUGUCCUCAUCAGCUAGUUGUUGUGUCAUUGCCUGUGGAACUCGCUUUGAGCCAUGUUUUUGUUCUGGAUUUUACAAAGUUAAACCCAGCUGGUAAGAAGUAAGAAUUAUUUAUUUCCAAUGCCAAGCUCUUGCAUAGCAAAAUAGUGUUGAAAAUGCCCAUUAAAGAAAAGUGCCUAUGACAGAACUGAUAAGGGGGUAAGUUUAAAAAAAACAUAUAAAGAUAUUUUAAUCCAUUGUUUCACUUCUUAAACAGUUCAUUAUUCAUACUGAUAUGAAGCUUUAAUCUCAAAAUUAAUGUAAAAAUUGUCAAAACCAUCAUGUUUCGAACACAUACUUGUAUCCGACACCCUACCCCUGAGAUCACGUAACAUUAAAUUACCAUAGGAGAACGAGCACGAGUUGCUCUUCUACCAGCGAGUCCAAUGCCUCCCGUGCCAUUAAUGUUAUUAUAAUCAAGCUGGUCAUCAUCAUCACCCUCCACGUUUUGCUGGUGUGCCAUAACAGCCGCCAGCCUUUGCGCCGCCGCUUUCGUUUGCGCUUUCUUCAUGUUCCCCACGCUUGCGUAGCUUGAUCCCGACCGUCCGUGGCGGUGUAUCGGCGACGAUGAUGUCAGUGGUGAUGCCGGCGUCCCUGGCGUCUCCGAGUCCACCGUGGUCUGAUGUCUCUCGUAUGCUAACUUCCUCCUAUUCAUAUUGACUGCAAUAAACAAAUUGAAAGCAAAAAGAAAAAGAAAGAUAAAUCAAUCCAUAUUAAAAGAAACAAAUACAAAAAACUUAAGAGUUGAACUUAAAACUUACCAGGUUGAUCAAAGAGAAGACUCUGUUUUUCAGUAAAAGGUAAGAAAAACAAGCAUUGUUCCGUGACACAAAAUGGAAAAGAAUGAGAAAAUGGUGAUUAGUUUUCCACGAAAAUGUGGGAAAUUGGAAUAGUUUACGGGGACGCAUUUGAAGUGAAAAAUGGUAAACCAAAGGAUCCGAUAAUUAAGGCAAGAAAAGAGGAAGUUUUAACGGUCCAUUAUUUUUUCUUUUUCUAGAACUGAAAGAUUUUCUUUUACAUGUCAAAUACGUCCCUGUGGGGUGAAUGUCUAAUUUCAUUAUAUUGAGGAAUAUUUUUGCAAUUACCUAAAGUAGUAGUGUUAUACGCUUGUACUGACUCGUUCAAUAAACACUUUUUUAAACAAUAUAACAAUUGAAAGUGCAUUGUUUUUCAUUUAACAACUUUUUUUUUCAUAUUUGAUACUCCUUCUGUUUCAUAUUUUAUGUUCUUAUUUGUUUUUUGGAAUUAAAAAAAAAAGAGAGAUUUAACAUGCAUUAUUAACUUUAAUUUUUUGUAAAAUAUAUAAUUCCUAGUUUUUAAUAUCAAAAAAUAAAAAAUUAUGAAAAAAAAAGUUUGGAAUAUAAAAAAAUUAAGAAUUUUAGGUUUUUAAAAAAAUAUAUAAUUUUGAAAAAAAAAUGAGAUUGAAAGAGUAAUGACAAUACAAUAGAAUUCUUUUAAUUCUUCUAUAAAAAAAAUGAAAUUCUUAUAAAACCUUUUGUAGUGGUAGAAAUGUUUAAGUAAAAAUCAUUUGUCUUAGGCUAUGUUUUCCAUGCACUACCAUGUUAAAUUCAAAUGGUAACAAAACAAGAAUUUUUUUACUAAAUUUUUUUUAUUAAUGUUUUAUUUGGAUGACCAAUAGAAAACGAUUCCUACCACAUCAUCAUUAGAAACCGGAUUGCGACAAUGCAAGCACUGAUCACUCAGUAAUCUGAACUGGAAACCUGUUCUUUUUCUUGCUUUUGAAACACCAUUGGUGUUUUUUCGUACAAUUGCGAGCGAUUAACAGUAAGAACCAGGUCAAUAAUGUUGGAAUUUAAAAAAACAAAUAGGAAUGAAUAAGCAAAACUGAUAGAAGAAAAUAUCAAAAGAAAAAAAAAAAAUCUUUGACUUUAAAUGCAAAACAAAAUAGGAAAAACACAUAGGUUAGCAAAGACAUGUCACAACAGCAUUUUGAUGCAAUAUUUCUGGAAGACAGCAAUAAAAUGUUUUACCUGCAUACAGUAAUAAACUCAAUUUUUAUUUAAGCAUAAGUGACCAUUCGCUAUUCAACACCCAAUUAAACACAGAUGCAGAGAGAAAACACCAAUUUAGAACGCCUGAUACCAAAUAGUCCAACAAAAAAACAUUUCCUCGAUGUAACAUAGCAUGCUAAAAUGACAAAGUUCCUUCACCUUGACAGGAAGAUGGCAGUCGGAUUUCCAGGGGAUGGAGGAUUCUGCUUUAGCAGGGAUGCAUGAGGACCAGCUUGAACAUAAGCAUCAGGAUCAGUGGCCGACAAGACUUCUACCUCUUCAAGACCAAGUUGUCUUUUGAUCAAGUCCAAGUUCUCCUUAAGGACCUGAAUCUCUCCAAAGGGCAGCUUCAAAUCCAGGACUUGGGCACCAAUUUUAAUAGCCUCAUCCUUCUUGAACGUCAAGAAUGGCAUACAACGUUUCUGGAUCUGUUUAAAGUCUGCUGCCUGACCAACAGUGCUCUCCUGCAAUGCGUUCAUUAUCUCCCCGUCUGAUGCAAAAGUAUGGGUCUUAUUGUCGAACUUGCUUUGGAGAAUCUGCAAACACUCUGCUUGCCAUCCUUCAAAUUGCUCAUUCACAAAGAUUAGGCCUUUUAACUUGUCCUCAGUUAGCGAUGUAACAGGAGCACCUUUCUUAUUAGCUUUCUUUGAUCCCAAAAUCUGCUUCUGGAGCAGCUUUCUCAUCAACACAAUGGAAUCUUGCAAAUACUUAUCGGCACUCUUGAGUUGCAGAUCUGGAGAAUCUGCUGUGGGCCAGCCUGCUUUCACCACAAAGCCAUCCUUCUUCAAAAGCUCUCUCCAAACAAACUCCGCAUAGUGAGGGCAGAUUGGAGUGAUAAGCCUAGUCUGCACAUCCAUAAACCGCCAUACGAGGUCACGGUUCAUGCCCCCACUGCCACAAGAGAACCUAUACUCAUCCCUGGCAGCUUGAAGAUCAUAAAAGCCAGUCUUGAGAGCCUCCCGAAACAUGUAAUCCCUAUAAUUCUGCUCAGUCAUUUUGACAGCAAUGUUUAUCUCAUUUUCAAACACCCGAUCAGCAUAGGUAGAUGGGGGAUCUGUCCUCAAAGACGAUUCUGCAGCCAGAAUCUCUUCCAUCCAUGCAAUCUCUUUUGUAAGCCGUAAGAUUGCAGCAUUGGCAGUCUCAAACACAAAGUUUGCAUCAUCUACACCAUCCCCAGCAUCAGCCAGAGAGAAUCUUGUAGCAUCAGCAGAGAAUUCCUCAAUUGCCUGAUGCAGUGUCCUGAAAUUUCCAGUAGACUUGGACAUCUUCUCUGAAUUAAGCAUAAUAUGUCCAUUGCACCUGAAUCCACGAGGCCAGUGAUCCUUGGACAUGAUUGCUGUGUGAUUGUAGAUGCAAAAUGUUAAAUGGUUCUGGAUAAGGUCUUUUCCAGAAACUCUAAGAUCAAAUGGAUACCAGUACUCAAACUCCUGCUUCAUCUUGUUAAGAACAGAGGAUGGGAUAUCAGAAGAUUUGGGAUACUGACCACCACAGAAGAGAAAUUCCCAGACCUCAUCAGUCAUCUGGGCAGGUUUAACCAGAUCGGCACUUUUUCCGUACAUGUCCCCAUUUUGUAAAAGAUGAGCAACUGUGUAAUAAGCCAUGUAAAUGGUUGAGUCAGAUAAUGACUCAACAAGGAAUUCUGCAUCCCAAGGAAUGCGAGUCCCAAGCCCAAAGGAUCGUGAGCAAGCCCAUUGGUUCAGCCAUCCUAAAGUAUGUUCAAAGCCAUGUCGUGUCUCAUCAGAGUAUAGAUUCAUGUUGGAUAAGCACUCCUCAGCUACUUGUUUCCAUUCCGGUUCCCCAUAUGUGAUGUACCAUUGAUCUGUAAGAGCCACAACACACUCAUCACCAGACCUUGACAUAACCUUCUUCUCAGGCUCACUAUAAAUUAUUGCCUGGCCUGUCUCAAUCAGUUUGGUCCUUAUCAGUGCCUUAGCUUCCUGGACUCUUCUUCCUGCAUACUCUCCAACAGUCAUGGUUCCCUCUGUAAAACCUCUCAAGUACACCAACCUCUUCGCCUCAGCAAGCUUUUCUUUCUCAUUCUGACUUUUGAUUUUCAGAUCCACACAAACUUUUUCAGCUGCCCUGUCUCCAAAUUCUGGAAUGUCAAUGAUGGGUAUAAUCUCAAAUGGCAAUACCCAUUCAUCCUUCACCCCAAACUUUGCCCGAAAAGCGGGUUUUGCUUUCAAAUCAUGUAAGGCCAUAUAAUCAUCAGGAGCAUCGCUAGGAACACUGGUCACGAUCCCUGUACCUUUGUCUGUUAGAAUUGUCAUCAUUGGAAGAGCAUAUAUGAUCUCAUUAAAUGAGAGAGGAGAUUUUACAGGAAGACCAAUCAGAUCAUAACCAGUCAGUUCAACCAAGCAAUUAGGUUUUUCAGGGACGCGGGAGAGCUUCUGAUAAGCAAGGUUGAGUGCUGCUCUCUCAGUCAGAAUAAAUAUCUCAGUUUCAUUGAUUUCAAAGGCUCCGUAUUUCCCAUUAGGCAAAACCCAGCAGUUUGUUUGCCCAUACAUGGUCUCAGGCCUCAAUGUUGCAGCAGCCAAAAACACUUUUUUCCCUUCCAAAACACGCAUUUUAGCUGGAAAAGGUGGCACCACUUCCAUUUUAAUAAUAGUAUACUCUUGAGGCUGAACUCCUUCACCAGUUGCCCUAUCAUGAUCAGCACAUGGCUGACUAUCCAAUGGAGAAUAUAUAGUAUACCUCAUAUCUUUAACAAUCUUACCCAUCGAUUUCAACUUCCUCAUCUGCCACUUAACAAACGAAUCAAAAAACGGAUUCAUAUCUGUGGUCACAAAUGACCUUCUCCAAUCACAACCUAAUCCAAAAGCCUUGAGGUCUUGAACAGCCAAUGGCGGAAAGAACUUCAACCAUUCAUACGGGUUCUGAAACUUUGAUAUCUCACUAUCUGAAAGUCCAAAACUCCUCAUAAUUUCCCACUGAAACAUCUGUCCACUAGAUUUCGAUGCCGCCUUAGACUUUUUACCUUUAAACUUAUCAGGCGCCACAUUGGCAUCUUCAUUUGGGUCAGAUUCUUCUGUUGGGUUAGGUUCCUCAUCCACUACCUCAUGAGGAAAAAUGGGUGGAUCACCAAAUUGUUUGAUUUCCCUAGCAAGUUUAUCAGCUGAAGCCUUGAUUGGCAUACCGGUACAGUGAAAAGCAAAAGGCAAUAACACAUUGGCACCUCUUAAUCUAUGAUAAGCAGCAGCAAACUCGAGUUUCGAAAGCGAAAAGGCAUGGCCCAGAUGUAAAAAACCAUUCAUAUAAGGAAAAGGAAAGUUCCCAAAGAAUUUUUCACCUGGUUGAGGUGGUUUUUCAUUAGGUUCAGCUUUAAACACAUCUUUUUCUUCCCACCAAACUCUAACCUUUGACUCGAUUUCGAGGAGUUUGUCUCUCCUGGCAUAGCUCUUGCCUCCCUCUGUUGCCAUCUCGUGAAACCAAUGGAAACUGUUCAAAACCAAAACAAAAUAAAAUUCAUGAAAAUGAAACAGAAAGAAAACCAAAAAAAAAAAAAAAUGGAAGAAUCUUUGGAAAGGAAAGUGCCUGAGUUUAUUGAGGAAGAUGGUGUUGUGCCUACGAAGAAUCUUUGCUGAGUUGCAACGGAUAUAGAGCAAAUGAGUGGAGAUGAAGGAGGAUAAAGAGAAAAGGGGGAGACUGCGUUGAGUUUCAGUUCCAGUUACAGGGCUAGAUUCUCAUUGUUUGUUUUUACAGGUUUUUAGGGUUUUAAUGAUUAUUAAUUUUAAAUUAAAAAGGCCUGCCCCAACUUUUUAACAGAUCAAGAAACAGACCCAAUGUAGGAAAUAACCCAAUUUCAACAACUUUUAAUCAGACUGAGAAAGAGAAGCCCAACUAGGGGGGCAACUAACUGAACUGGACCAAUCCCAAUCUUAUGCUUAAGCCGAAACCAAAUUCGUGCCAUUUUUCUAUAUUAAAAUGCAGGAGGGGCAAUUUUAAAAAUGAGUAAAACUUUUUAGGUUGUAAAAUUGACAAAAUUUUUAUAUAAGUAUGAUCAAAUUGUCAAAUAUAUUUUGUAUUUGAUAUGUUCACACUGAUUGUAAUAAUAAUUUUCAUAUUUUACUUGACAUGAAAUAAAUAUAAUAUAAAUAUAUAAAUUAUUAUGUCUAGAUUUAGUCUGUUGCCUAAAUAAAAAAAUCUAAUUGUUGUAUAAAGAUAGUUUUUCAACCUUUAUGCUUAUUGCUUUGGAUCAUCUGAAAUUCUCGUAGCCAUAAUUAACCAAAAUUCUGCCAAAUGCUAUGGCCCCAAAAUUUGUUUCUCAUCUCAUUGAAAUAGAUAGUUGCCGACUAAGGGAUCACUUUGUUGGCUUCCAUUUGUUAUCCUGGUCAGUCUGCACUUUUGAGCAAUUUCAUUCGUUCAAAACUAAGCAGGAAUCUGCUAUGCAAAAGUACAAAUCUGGUAUUACAACCAGACAAAACAAGAUUACAUAGGAAAAAACUAAUGCACAAAGAUUCUCCUUGAUUCAGCUUCCAACUUUGGCCGCAGAUGAAUUUAUAGGUUUGUUUUUGUAGUCAUGGACAGACAAUUAAUUCUUGUCCGUCAUUUUUAUUUUCUUGUUUUGGUGAAUACUAAAUAUAACUAUUAUUAUUUGUCCUUCGAAAAACAAGGUCAUUGUACCAUAAUAUUAAGUGUAGCCAAUUGGCAAAGCUAGAAACAAAUACUAAGUAAUUUCAGUAUCUGUUCUCAAGAAGGAAGCUGAUAUCCCUUGAUUGCAGGACGGCGGAUUCUUUGGUGGUAAGGAUAGAGUUGACUCCUGAAAAUUUUCCUGGGAAAAUUUACUUCAGUUUAUAGAAGAAAAUGGCAAAGCCGGCAAUGAGAUUCCAAUAAUCAUGGACAAUUGGCAAAGCCGGCAUGUAUAUGUGAUGGGGACUUUAGCUAUGGAAACCUACUGCACAUUUGAUGUGAAGGUAAAUCAAUACUACUUUGAAAGCUAAAAAUAGUAACUGAAUAAAAGAGAUUUAAAGCAAGAAUAUUUAACAAUAUAUUUGAUUGUUGUUUUUGUGCCAAAAGAGUUUAAAAAAAAAAUGUGUCAAUAGGGAAAGCGAAACUGAUAGCAAAUCACUUUGUAAUAGCAAAGCCAAGUAAGGGCUCAUUUCUUGCACUUGCAGAGGAAAAUUAGACAAAAAUCAUGUUCUUCCAUCACCCCUUUUCACUGGAAUAGAAAAAAAUUGAAGUAUUACAACUGGUUUUCGUUGAUUUCAAAGGUAGUAGGCUGGCUCACAAUUUACCUUGGAUGAACAAUGAGUAAGGUUGGUUUAUAGAAUUCUCUCUAAUGUACAUUUUUUAAUUCCUUAGUGACAAAGACAAUGGGGAAAUUAAAGUCUUUGGAUAGACAUUUCAAAUGCAAAAUUCCAAAUGGGAAGAAAACGAAGCAAUAGUACUAUAAAAGUUGUUUGGGACAGCAAUUAGUGCAUUGAAUCAUUUAAAGCACUUCUGUCCCUUUUUUUCAAUGGUCCAAAGUCUCAACCACAAAGCAUAAAGAAGAAGGCAACCGAAAUGAGAAAUUGUGAAGGAAAAAGUUCAAUGUUCCAAGUCUUCUUUCCUUCCAUCUUAAAAUUUGUCAUCAUAGCCUGCCUAACAUUAAUUUUUCCAGCUCCAACCUUAUCCUUGCAGUCUGCAAUCAAUGUUUGGCCUAAACCGAUACUACUUUUAUGGCCAAAGCCACUUGCCACAUUCCUCUCUCCAAACUUCACCAUCAGUUCCCCCAACCACCAAUACCUCAUCCCGGCCAUCAACCGCUACCUCCGCCUUAUCCAGACAGAGCACCACAAUCCCCUUGUCACCCCUUCUGUCAACAUUUCCACCUCAUCCCCUCCUUUGCAAACUCUUACCAUCAAUAUAAUUGAUCUCACCGCCCCCCUCCAACAUGGGGUCAAUGAAACCUACGCCCUCUCCAUUUCUGAAGUAGGUGCCACCGCCUAUUUGACAGCUGCAACUACAUGGGGUGCAAUGAGGGGCCUAGAGACGUUUUCCCAGCUGGUGUGGGGUGAUCCCUCAGCUGUUCCGGUAGGCUUGUACGUCUGGGAUGCUCCCUUGUUUGCUCACAGGGGAGUCAUGUUGGAUACAUCAAGGAAUUAUUAUGGGGUGGAUGACAUAUUGAGGACUAUUGAAGCAAUGAGUGCUAACAAGCUUAAUGUGUUCCACUGGCAUAUUACUGAUUCACAUUCUUUUCCUCUAAUGGUGCCUUCGGAGCCUGAGCUUGGUGCCAAGGGAUCUUAUGGACCUGACAUGAUAUACUUUCCCUCAGAUGUGGCUAAGAUUGUUCAGUUUGGCUUGGAACAUGGGGUCAGAGUCCUACCAGAAAUCGAUUCACCAGGUGAGCUUGUCAUAACAGUAACUUUUUCCUCUAAAAAAGCGUGGUAUGACUGUUCAUUUUUAUAUUAACUGAUAAUAAUAGUUUCAUGCUUUUAUAUAUCAGUUUAUAAAUUGACAUAUGUAAAAUUUUUGUUGUAUUUUAUGAUUUUAGAGUUGAGUGAAGUCCAAUUCUACAAAACAAAGCACUCUCUUUGCACACUGCACACAACAUGAAAUGAGAUUAUCAAAAUAUUUUUCAAUUGCAAUUGCAGGCCAUACGGGAUCAUGGGCAGAAGCCUACCCGGAGAUAGUGGCGUGUGCAAACAUGUUCUGGUGGCCAGCUGGAAGUCAAGGGGAUGACAGGCUUGCAUCUGAACCAGGAACUGGCCAUCUAAACCCCUUGAACCCCAAAACCUACCAAGUUCUCAAGAACGUAAUUCGUGAUGUAGCCAUGCUAUUCCCUGAACCAUUCUACCAUGGAGGAGCUGAUGAGAUAAUUCCUGGAUGUUGGAAAGCUGAUCCAACCAUUCAAACUUUCCUUUUUGACGGUGGAACUCUUAGCCAGCUCCUGGAAACCUUUGUGAACUCCACUUUGCCUUACAUUCUAUCCCUUAAUCGUACUGUAGUCUAUUGGGAGGAUGUUUUAUUAGAUGAAAAUAUCAAAAUAGACCCCUCAUUUCUUCCAAGGGAACAUACCAUUUUACAAACAUGGAACAAUGGCUCAAACAACACCAAAAAGAUCGUUGAAGCGGGAUAUCGGGCAAUUGUAUCAUCUUCAGAAUUCUAUUAUCUGGAUUGUGGCCAUGGGAAUUUUCUUGGCAAUGAUAGCCAAUAUGAUCAGCAAACAACGGCUAACUCUGGAAAUGGAGGGUCUUGGUGUGGACCAUUUAAAACGUGGCAAACUAUUUAUAACUAUGACAUAACUUAUGGUUUGAGUGAAGACGACGCCAAAUUAGUGCUAGGUGGAGAGGUGGCAUUGUGGUCAGAACAAGCUGAUCCUACAGUUGUGGAUGCGAGGAUUUGGCCAAGAACUUCAGCAAUGGCAGAGACAUUAUGGUCAGGAAACCGGGAUGAGACAGGGAAAAAGAGGUAUGCUGAGGCAACUGAUAGGUUGAAUGAAUGGAGGUAUAGAAUGGUAAGUAGAGGGAUCAAGGCUGAGCCAAUUCAGCCACUGUGGUGUGUUAAGAAUCCGGGAAUGUGCAACACGGUCAAUCCCUUUUGAUUUCAUAGAUGUUUAAUUGUUUUAACACAGACUUCAGAGACCAGUGAAAAAAGAAAUUGAUUCUGUAAUUCUCUUUCAUUUUCAACUUGUAUUUGAUGUUUCAAUUGAUUAGCAAAAGAAUUGUCCUAUAAAUUGCAUAUGUGCUAAAUUUCUUGUUAGUUCUAGCAAUAAGUAGUAAAAGGAUAAAAACAAACAUCUGUUUUUUAGGAAGAAAUCAUGCAAGAGAGUGAAACCCAAAGGCAGGAACUUUUGAGAGAAAUUAUGCAAGUGGAAGAUAGAUGAGGGCAUGACUUACUUGAAAAAAAAGCAAUCAAAGGGAUAAAUACCCAUGAAAUUUGAAAGGAUAAUAAAAUUGAGACCCACACCAAUGAAAUGACAAGUUACAGGGGAAAUAAUAAAAAAAAAAAACCAAAACAUUAAUUAAAUACUGUUGAAAGAGACUAAAAUCCGCUAAUAGUAUAUUAUAUAAAAGAGAUUAAAAAAAAUUAAGAGAAAUUCUUUCAUUAACAAUUAGUAGUGUUUGAUAUUAAGUGAUCACUUCAAAAAUUAUGAUAAUUUAUAUACAAUGAUUAGAUUAUCAUGUUUGAUAAAUACUUAAUGAUCCUAUGUGAUUGUGAUUUUGAAGGAUAAUCUAAUUCUCAUUUGAAAUGAUGAAAAGCUUUUAUCAUCCUAAUAUAUAAAAUUAGUAAUAAUCAAUAUUACUUAUUUAAUAUGUGAAUUAAAAUUUUGAUUUUUCUUAAAAUUAUAAUUAUUUUAUAUUAUAAAUUUUUAUAUUUUAAACUAAUAUUCAUUAUAACAAAUUAAAAAAUAGUUUGAGUAUUUUUUACUUUUUUAUUGUUUUAUAUAUAAUAAAAUAUCUUUUUUUAUUAUAAUUUUAAUAGAUUAAUUUUAUUUUUUUAAUUCAAUUUUUUAACAUAAUUUAUAUUAUAAAAAUUAGUUUAUUUAAUAAAUAAAUAUAUUUAAUAAUUUAAUUAUAGUAUAAAAUAAAUAAAAUAUUGCCAUUUUUUAUGAAUUAUUAUCUUUAAAUAAUAUUUAAAUCAUUAAUUUGUAAUUAUUACAAUAAAAUUGUUAUUUUUGUAUUUUUAAAUAAAUAAUAUUUUAUUUUUAAUAAUUCAAAUAUAAUGAUUUUUUAUUCGUAUGAAUUAAUUAUUGUUAACAAAAAAAUGAUUUUAAAUCACGAAUAAUAAAACUCAUAGUUAUUAAUUUCAUUUUGAUACAGAUCAGUAUGCGAUAACUAUAUCAAAAUACAAUACACCAAGAGAUGAUUUUUUGUACUGAAUUUGUUACAAGAUAAAACUAAUUGUUUUUGUUAGUUUCAAUAAGUUUUAAUGAAUUUUGGUGGAAUAGCUUAUUUUGAUUAGUUAGUAACUGUAAAAUAUAUUUUAUAAUUUUUAACUUAACCUUUAUAGAUUAAUUAUUUUAACCUAAUAAAAACAAAAUUAAUUGACAAAAUAAUCUUUAAAGGUUUAGUUUCUUUAUUUUUUAUUUUAAUUUUUUUUAUACUUUAUCUUUUCAAAUCAAAGUUUAUAAUUUUAUAAUUUAUUUUUUCAAAUUAAAAUUUAUUAAUAUUUCAAUUUUUUUAAGAAAGUAAUUAUGCUCAUUUUAUAAAGUUUAACAAUCAUAAAGCAUUGGUUAACUUUUUUAUUCUCUUUGUUUUUAUCUUAAUAUUUACAUAAAAAAUAUUUAUUUAAAUAACAUAUGAUCGGAUUAAGUGUUUGAAAAUAUUAUGAAAAAUUUAUAAUAUUGUUUCUGAUACUUUUAAACUUAUUUAUUUGAUUUUUGAAAAUAUUGCAUAUUUAGUUUGUAAAUUAUUAAUAGUAUUAUAAUGUACAAGUUUAUGUAUGUUUAUAAAUAUAUUUGUACUAAAACAAAAAAUCCAAAAUAAUAUAUCGAAACAAUUGGUACCGAUAUAUAUUAUUUAAAAAAAAUUAAAAUAUUAUCCAAUAUGAUAUUAAUAACUUUAACAAAAUCACCUUAAUAAUAAAAUCAUUUAGAUGAUUAUAUUUUCAUGAUAAUAUUAAAAAUAACAUCUAAUGAUACCCUUAUUAUAAUUUUUUAAACUUCUUAGGACAAAUUAAUAAGAUAAUACAUAUGUAUUGAAAAUAAAAAAUAUAAUUAGAAAUAAAAAUAUAUUAAUCUUUUAAUUUCGUGGGUGAAAUUAAAAAAUUACACAAAUAAUACAGAAAAACGAACUCAAAAAUUAAAUGAAAGUAAAACAUUUGACACAGGAUUCUGUGGGCUAUAUAAGCCUUUAGAUUUUUUUUUCCAGAAUUCACGGUGGGCUAAAACCCAAUAUGAUCCAAAAUUCAGGUUCUUGGAUCCAUAGUUUAAGUAGCCUAAGAACCCAAACUUAGUCCACGAAAAUCUGUUAACUUUUUCAUUUUCCCAAACUACUUUUCAAACAAUAUUUUUUUAAUUUCUUUCACCAGCAAGUCAGCCACCUGAUUUCGUGAUUCGAUCAACAAACCCGAACCUUUCGAAAUUACAAAACCAAAUCCUGAGAAUCUCAAUUUCCCAUCUCUGAUUCUUUUUUUUUCUAACUUGUUUUCUUCCCUAUUUUCUUUAUGAAAUUAAACUACUAAAAGAUGCAGUCUCUUGAAAGCAUCACAGAUUCCUCAUUUCCUCAAAACCCUAACAAUUCUUCUUCUUCUUCUGUUAAUGGGUUGUAUGGAUGGCUCUUUGAAUGUCAUGGAAUUUGGCAUAACUUAGCUCUUGUUAUUCCUUCUCUUCUAUUUGUUCUUUUCUUAGGUUUUCAAGCCAAAAGAAGCUUCCAAAAGCUCUCUCAUGGCAGGUCUUAUAUCAUGAUUUCUUAUUACGGUUGCCUUUGGCUUGUUAGCUUGCUCAAUCUUGCUUGGUGUUCUCUUCAGGUUUGAGGGUUUUCUUUUUUCUCUAAGUCGAUUUUAAACAUUUGGGUUGUUCUUGAAUUAGCUUGUUGAUUUCUUAAAGGAUGAAAUUAAAUUGCUUUUUGUUGUUUCUAGGAAAUGAAUGCACUUUUUAUUUUUAAUUCUUCACAAGUUUGUUUAGUUUAUAUCCAAAAUACUCUUUUUUUUUCUUUGCAUCUAUGGCAUACGCAACAACUAAAUGGUACCUAAAUUAGUGGAAUGUAAUUUGGGUGUCUUGGGUUCAUUAGAAAUGGCUUGAAAGUUACUAUACUUGAUGAUUUUUCGCGUUAUGGUAAAUUACAAAUUGGAUUAUUGGACAGUUUUCAAGUUUUAGUUUUUAGGUUAGGCUUCUUUGAUGUCGUAUGUAAGAACAAUGCUCAGAAGCCAAUAAUGAUAAUAUAUAGAUCAGUGAAAUGAAAAUAUGUAUAGCAAAAGCCUUCUUUGUCGAGCUUAGAUGUUCAAUAGAUGCGUCUAGGCACUAAGCUUUUGGUAUGGCAUGAGUUUGCGACUAACUCAUUCAUUAUCAUGAAUGGUGUAUAAUAUCAUGAUUGUUCCUUUUUCAUAGUGUAUGUUUCCGUUUCGUAAGCAUGAGUAAAUUUUUUUUUUCUUUUACUUUUUUUUUUCCAUAUGAAUUGUAUAUUGGUGAUCCUUAACAGAUACUGUUUUCUUCUUAAUUUGGCUUCUUUGAAAAUGAGUUGUGUUAAGCAGCUUGGCUGCUUAUCGUUUGAUAGUUUGAAGAGUUAGGGUACUAAACUAUAUGCUUUGAGAGAACUCAUAUCCGCUAGGAUUUAUGAAACAUGACCUGCAUUGACCCUUGAAGAUUCUUAUUCUAGUUGCGAGUAAGUUAACUUUUUCCACUUCAUAGCUGGAUGGCUAAGUUUACACUAUUUACUGAUUGAUGCAGGCCUGGGAAUGCAGUCCUGGAAAGGAAAUGACAUGGAAUAUCUUAUCGUUGUUUACAACUUCUGGGAUGCUGUUCCUGGAAGUUAGCUUGGUGGCAUUUUUACUUCAAGGAAAUUAUGCUAGUGGGUUGGAGGCUUUGACUCGAACAUUUGUUGUUUCGGGGCUUAUUGUUGGUUUGGACUUACUUCUGAAGGUACUUCUUUUAUUCUUGAAUAUUUUAACCUUCUUUGAAGUUCCAUAUCUGUUGCUGGUGAAUCAGACGGUGGUGGAAAAACAAAACAGUUUCUUCCUUACUGUACUUUACUAAAUAGCAGAGUCACCAUUCCUGUGGCCUAUAUUUAGAUUGUUGACCUACUUUAACUUCUUAAGCAAUCUAGAAUGCUAAGUAUGAUUGUUUAUACGUAUUUAAGUUGUUUUAUUUUCUAAUAUGGAAAGACACACAAUGUCAUUCCUUUUUGUGUUUUUCCCCUUUUGAAUUCUUUAUAAUAUUUUUGCAUCAAUGCUUAAUAUGUUGUGACAUUAAUAUUUCAAUGUUCUUUUCCCUCGUUUAGGCUAUUUACCUAUUUGGAUUUGGUGUCCCUAUGUUCACUGACAACACCGAACAUACACAUCAAGUGAAAUGGGGCUUGUGGGUUGUUCACAGGCUAGUGCUGACUGCUAUUUAUGGCUUCAUACUGUUUAUGUACCACUCUAAGUGGAGAGAAAGGUUACCUGGUAUGUUCAUCUAAGUCACAUACAUUUGUGCAGGUUAUUUAACAGUAGUCGCUUAGUUGUGUCACUUGGAAUCUUCUCUCUUGUUCUGCAGCAAGACCUGCAUUCUACAAAUAUGUUGCAAUCAUGUUCAUCUUGAAUGCACUAGCACUGAUUGCUUGUGGACUAACUGGAAAUGGUGCUAGUUUUGGGUUUUGGUAAAUACAAGCUUGAUGCCCUUUUUAAAUUGAAGAAUUCUGUUUGUUAUUUAUAUUAGUAUAUUAUGUUCUUUUCCAAGGGUUUUUUUUAAAAGAAUAAGAUUGACAGGUUGUACAGUGCCACAAUUGUUUGCUACCACGCCUUGUACCUUCCUCUUCUGUAUAUAACUUUUCUGGCAGAUUUUUUCCAGGUAAACAUUUAUUUCGGAUUCAUUGCAAAAAUUUUAUCUUGUUAUUGAUUCUUUAGCACCUUAUAAUAUGUUAGUACGGUAAAAGUAUCUCCAAUGCCUGCAGGAGGAAGACUUGCACUUAGAGAAUGUGUACUAUUCAGAGAUGAAAGAUGCUGGUUUCUUUGAUGCUGACUGGGAGUGAGCACUGUAUCAACUUUGAAUUACUAGAUUCCCUUUUCGUUAGGAUCUGUAAAUGAAAUUAAAUGCAAUUCAGAUUGUAAAAUGUUUGAUGAAAGGGAUGGUUGAUCGAUGCAUGCAUGUAGUAUUUAUAGAUACUGCUCUGGUAAUGGCGACGGUAAUCCUGUAGCUCGUAUAUUUGUAAUAAUCUCCUGUUUUAUAAAUUUAAGUUGAUUGCAAAUAAAACUUGUUCAAUCUUCUUGUAGCAAAAAAACUAGAAGCAUUGUGUACGUUCUUGUAGAAUUUCUCUUUUAGUUUUUGUGUUAUUGUAAUAAAAUUCCAAUUAACAGCUUCAUGUUGAUGGUGUUUAUGCAUACUAAUAGAUUGGUUAUCCUUCACGGUUUCCCUUUGCAUUAUUACCGCAGGUUUGUUGAUAUUUACUCUUUGCCUCAGCUUAAUGGGGCUGAGGCAUCAAAUAUCCGAAACAUUAGCCGUAUCUUUAUUUCUCCAGGCUUCAUUGUGUCGGUCUCUUUAAGAGUGUAAAUGAUAUAUUAGUAUUUAUAAAUUAUUCGAAUUUAAUAUAAAUAAAAUUUUAAUUUGGUUCAAUUAUUAUCGAGUUUGAGUUCGAGUUCGAGUAGCUCGAUUUAUCGAUCGAGUUGAUCUUAAGUAUUUUUAUAUUCGACUCGAGUAGUUCACAAGUUUAAUUGAAUUUUUAUAUUUUAAUAUAUUUUAAUUAUUUUAAUUGAUAAAAUAUUUUAAACUCAAGUAUAAAUAAUUAAGUUUUUAUCGAAUAUAAGAAUUGAGUUUAUUUUUAUAUAUUAAUUAAGAUUAAUCAAAUGAAUUUUAAUAGUUAAAUUUUUAUUUCGAAUCAAACUUAAAUUAAAAAAAAAAAAAUUCGAUCGAGUUUAAAACUUUAAAUUUGAAAUUAAAAUUAAUUUUAAAUUUAAUGUUAUAUUUAUUCAAACUUUAUUGAUUAUACUCUUAAUUUUAUCUAUGUUAGUGAAGCUACGGGACAUCUUUUUCUAAGGCCUCAGUUGGAUUUAACUGAAGCUUCAGUGUGUUGCGUUUUCUACACUUUUUUCCUUCAAUCUCACCGUGAUUCAUAUUUGGAUAACAUCAAUGAUGGUGAGUUUACUAGCGUGAAUCGCACUAAAACAUCAGUUGAAGACAGGACUUUUGGGGUUCAAUGCCAAUAAAUCUUUUUUAUUCACAUUAUUUUUUUUAUAUUCUUAUCAUGCCCUUAAAUGAGUUUUUAUUUAAAAAAACCUAAAAUAUGAUUUUUUUUAACUUAUUUCUCUCUCUUUCUGUUUCUGUCACCAUCUUAAAUUUUUAACCCUAAAUUGCCUCCUCCUUCGUAUUAUCGCCCCUUGCUACUGUCACUUGUUCCAUUUCCCCUUGCUAUUGUCACUUGUUCCAUGUUAAGGACAUUAGAUAAAAAUAUUAUUUGAUAUUAAAAAAUUUAAAAUUUUGUAAUUAUUUAUUAAUUUAAAAAUAUUAAAAAUAUAUAAAUUUAUUAUACAUAAAUUUUAAUUUAAUGUUAAUGUAAUGUUUUUAAUGAUAAUUUUUUAUUUUUACUAUAUUUUAUUUCACCAUUACUAUUAAUUUUACAUUUAAAGAAGGUGAUAAGCUAAUGAGAUACAAAACUCGAUUGGUGGUAAAAGGUUUUUGUCAAAAAUUUGACAUUGAUUUUAAUGAGAUCUUCUCUCCAGUUGUAAAAGAUGAGUUCUAUUCAAGUAGUACUAGGAUUAGUAGCUAGUUUGAAUCUUGAGCUUAAACAACUUGAUGUCAAGACUGCAUUCUUGCAUAGUGACUUGCAAGAGAAUAUUUAUAUGGAUUAGUAAAUUUUGAUAAAAAAAAGUACUUAGUUUUGUAAAAUGAGAAAAAAAAAUGUAUACUUGAAUAAGCCCUGAUAGUAUAAAAAUUUGAUUUUUAUGUAGAAAGCUAUAAAAAAAAGUAACGAAUUUUAUGAGAAUGUCAAAAAAAGAUGGUAAUUCAUAUUAUCUUAAUAUGUGAUGAUAUGUUGAUUGCGGACAAAUUAAUGUUAUAUGGUUCAUAAGUGGAAAACAAUUAUCUAAGUCUUUAACAUGAAAGAUUUAAGUAACAAGGCAAAUUCUUGGAUGAAUAUUAUCAGAUAAAGAGCUAAAAAUUUGUUGCCAAAAAAAAUGUCAAAUGAUUUUGUAUAAUUCAAAACUAUAACAUGCUAAUAUUAGUAGUCCAUUUUCAAAAAUUUAAUGUUGAGUAAAAAAUCUUAUCUGAUGACUAAAGAAAAGUAAUUAGCUAUGUCUAGUAUUUCUUAUUCUUCUGUAGUCGAUUUCUUGAUGUAUCUUAUAGUUUGCACAUGACCUAACAUUGCUUAUGCAGUUGGUGUAAUGAGUAGAUUUCUUUCUAAUUUAGGGAAGGUUCACUGAGAAGUAGUGAAAUGAAUUUUUAGAUAUUUAAAGGGCACCUCAAAAAUAUGUUUGAGUUACGAAAUUUCACAACCAAUUCUAGAAGGGUUUACUAAUGCUAACUUAACAGAUGAUCUUGAUGGUAGAAAAUUUACUUUAGGGUAUUUGUUCACUUUUACAGAAAAAGCUAUGUCUUGAUAUUCUAAGUUGUAAAAGUGUGUUACCUUAUCAACUACAAAGGCUAAGUAUAUUACAAUAACCGAAGCAAGUAAAGAAAUGCUUUGGAUGAAACUUUUUUUUCUUGGAUUGAGGUUAAAUAAAAAAAAGUAUGUGAUAUUUUGUGAUAGUCAGAAUGCUUCAGAUUUAAGUAAGAAUGCUAUGUACCAUGCUAGAUCGAAGUGCAUUGAUUGUUAGAUGUCAUUGGUUACUUUUGAUAAUUGAAGAACAACAGAUGCUAUUGAGAAAAGUCAUAUUUAUGAGAAUGUGGUAGAUAUGUUGACUAAGAUACUUCCUAGAAAAAAGCUUGAGCUCUGCAGUAACUUGGCCAGAAUAGGUUUCUUGGGUAAGGUAAGUUCCAAAUGAAAUUGCCAUGGUAAUGAAUCUCCUUAUAUUGGGGUUAAAUAAAGAUAUUGUUAGGAAUAUGUGGGAUUCAACCCCAUGAUAUUGGUCUUAACCAUUCAAAGUUUUAGGCUACCCUAAGAGAGCCCUAGGUAAUAAAAGAAAAAAAAAGUUGUAUUUUUUGGUAAGAAACAGAGGGUUAAGUGUCAAAUACAAAAAUGAAAAGCCAAAAAAAUAAAGAGAAAAGAGAGAAAAGAGAGUUAGUUAAACAUAAUCAAUCUAUGGUUUGAUUGAGUUAAAACUUUGUCAACAUGUUUGCGAUUCAGAGUUUCACAUUCUAAACAGUAAAAAUCAGGUUUGAAGCUUUUUAGGAACAAAUUUAAGGAAUAUUUGUUGAGUCACCGAUUUGAUGAGAUUUCUUCAAUUAUCUUUCUAGUUAUUGACUAGCUCUAAUUUUAACUAGAAGAGAACUUUGUAUAUUCAUUAUUUAAUAGUAAAGAUUUUUCUAAUGGUUCGUGAAUUUUUUCCUUUAUACUGAAGGGUUUUUCACAUAAAUUUUAAUGUGCUUUAUUUUUCUUAUGUUGUUGAAUGUUAAUUAUUGUUUUAUAAUAUAUUACUUCUGCGUUGUUGUAUUUGUUGCUUUAGGUCUAACAAAUAAGACGUUUCGCCUUAGUUUGGGAAAGCUUAGAGACGUCUUAUAUGAUGCUAAAGAUGUGCUUGAUAAAUUCAGGUGUGAAGCGCUGCAAAAAGAGUUGAUCAAUCGUGGAAGCACCACCACCAAAUUGGUACAAUUCCCUGCCCUCUCUAUUCCAUUUGCAUUCCCUUUAAGGAGAAGUCAUAAAAUCAAAAGAAUCAAUGAAAAGCUAGAUACGAUUGCUAGUGAUUUCAAAAAAUUUAAUCUUGGACUUGAAGAGAAAGUUCAGAACCGACAUGUUAGUCUUAGAGAUGCCCACUCUUUCGUUAUACCCUCUAAUGUGAUGGGUCGAAAUCAAGCCAAAGAAAACAUCAUAGAUGUUUUAGUCAAGCCAACCAUUUUUUAAAAAAUACCCGUCAUCCCUAUAGUUGGAAUCGGAGGUUUAAGGAAAACCACACUUGCUCAACUUGUGUACAACGAUGAAACGAUCACUAAGGUCUUUCCCUUAAAAAUAUGGGUGUACGUGUCAAAUGAGUUUGAUCUUGCUAGGUUGCUCUGUGAUAUUAUUUACUCCAUUACGGAGGAAAGAUGUAAUGGCUUACCAGUUAAUGCAUUGCAAACUCAUUUGCGAAUGCUUUUAAAUGGUAAAACUUUUUUGCUUGUUUUAGAUGAUGUAUGGAACAAAGAUCAUGUAAAAUGGAUGGAACUGAGAGAUUUACUAAUGACAAUGGGUAACUUUCAACAAAGUAAAAUUAUUAUGACUACACGAAGUUCAAAAGUUGCUUCGACAGUGGGUACUAUUGCUCCGUACAACUUGAAUGGUCUUAGCCACAAAGAUUGUCUGUCUUUGUAAAACGGGCAUUUCAGGAAGGGGAUGAGAAAGUUUAUCGAAACCUUAUGAGAAUUGGUGACGAAAUUGUGAAAAAAUUCAAAGGGGUUCCAUUGGCGGUGAGAACUUUAGGGAGCUUACUCUACAUGAAAACUGAGCUUCAUGAAUGGGAAUUUAUAAAAGAUAAUGACAUAUGGAAACUUAAUCAAAAUGAAAAUGACAUCCUACCUAUGCUGAAAUUGAGUUAUAGUCAUUUGCCAUCUCAUUUGCAAAGGUGUCUAACUUAUUUGUCAUUGUUUCCAAAGGACACUAUUUAUGAUACUGAUUACAUCGUCCAAUUCUGGAUGGCCAUUGGACUUAUUGAAGGCCCUAAGCAAAAUGAAGAGUGAGAAGAUGUUGGGUUACGAUAUUUCAAAGAAUUAUGGUUGAGGUUACACAUUUAAAAUCCAUGGCCUAAUGCAUGAUCUCUUGUCAAAUGAGUCUCAAGAUGACUGCUUAACAAUUUAUCCUCAUACAGUAAAUGCUACUGAAAAUACUCGACAUCUGUUAUUUUUGGAUGAUAAUCCAUUAGGAGCUCCACAAUCAUUUUCGAAGAAUUUAAAAGUUGUGCGGACAUUAGUAAUCCUACCUUCUUCAGGAAGAAAUAGGAUAAUUGAGGAACAUUUUGUAAAUGCUUCUAUCUUGAAUUUCGAGUUCCUUCGGCUACUUGAUCUCUCCUCUUCAUCUUUGGAUGUAUUGCCCAAUUCCGUUGGCACCUGGAAGCAUUUAAGAUAUCUUGACUUAUCCAGCUGUCGAAGAAUGAGGAAACUUCCUACUUCUAUCCGUAAACUUCAGAGCUUGCUGACUUUACGGUUAGCUGGCGUUCCACUGAUUGAAGUACCUGAAUGUUUGCAAAGCUUGAUUAAGUCUCAGAUUUCUAGAGAUAGCCACAGAUUCUGUGUUUUUAAGGGAUAUUCAACCAGGAUGUUAGAGUUCGCUUCAGUUGUUGCUCUUGUUCGACUGUGAUAUGAUAGAAUCUAUAUUUGAUGGGACGCAACACCUCACAUCACUUGGAAGAUUGGAUAUCCAAAGCUGCUCUAGAUUGAUUUCACUGCCAAGAAGUCUGAAAUUUCUAACCAAAUUAGAGGAAAUCAAUAUCAAUGGCUGUCAAAAAAUCAAUUUGUCAAUGGAACAAGGAGAAGAAGACCAAGACCUUCAAAACUUUAACAAUAUUGGAAGCAGAAGCGCUGAAGGAUUUGCCACGGUUGCUUCUUCAAGGAUCAGCUAGCCUUUUUAAAUCCAUGCUAAUAAGGAGAUGUCCCAACUUCAAGGUACCAUCAGAAUGGAUGCAAAAGCUCACAUCACUUAACAGGUUGGAGCUUGAAAGUUGUCCAGCAUUAUCCUCUGUUCCCGAAGGACUGAAUCGCCUCACUGCACUUAGACAAGUAAAGAUUCAAAUAUGUCCUGCGCUACGCCAAAAUUGACAACCUGGGGUUGGUGCUGAUUGGUCCAAGAUUGCACACGUUCAAGAGGUUCAUAUUGAAGAUUAGUAGAUCGUCAAGCCGCGCUCAAAGUGUUUACCAAUCUCUCAUUCUUUUUUCUUCCUUUAUGAGAUUUCUUUUUUCAUAUUAAAUUUUCCAGAAUACAGAAUUAUAAGAAAAUUGCUCUAAAUGAUAUGUGCUAGUCAAUUCAUCCAUCUUCCUGAAAUAUCUAACACUUGCAUUGAUUUUGAAAUGAUCAUAGGUAAAUUGGUCCGGAUACUUUGGUAAAAAAUAAAAGUGCAAGCAGGUGAGACGAUUUCAUCCAAUCUAUUUAGCUUGUUUGUUAUCAGCAACAUUUCAUGAGAAUCCUUCAAUUUUUGCUACACUUUUUCAUAUACUAUUACUUUUAUAGGAUCUGUCUGAUUGAGAUUUUUUGCUAAUUAUCUUUUUUUUUUAUGCAUAAAGGCAAAUAAAAAUAUAAUCAUCCGUUUUAAAAGGUUACAAUUAACUAUAGCUAGGUGAUAGAAAUAGUCAUAGCUUGUGGGCUUUCUAUAAGAUGAAUGUAAUUACAAUAUUGUCUUGUGUUUCUCUUUGUAGUUACUGUCAAAUUGAGAUACUUAGGUGCAUGUGUCACGGAUCUAAGGAAGAGUCUUGAAUCUCACAUCGAACAUAAUAGGAGGGUCACUGGGGUAUAAAAGGGUUCACACCAUUUUUGCCUUGUGAGGUGCCUUUUGUAAGACAAAACCGUGAGGCCAGGGGGCUAGAGCGAACAAUACCUCACAAAAAUAUGAACCGUGAUGGUCAGGCUGAUUCGGGACGCCGGAAGGGUGAAUGCUCGGGUUCCGAAACCGUGCGGGUUCGGAGCUUAAGUCUCGACCCGUGACAAGUGGUAUCAAAGCCAGCCCUAAAUCGUUCGAUCCACGCCAAGCACCUCGAGGGAGGUAGACAGGGUGGCCAGCCUCCGUGACAAGGGCAUCACGAGAUUGGGUGCGGGAGAAUGUUAAUAAGGAAGAGUCAUGAAUCACAUAUCGAACAUAAUAGGAGGGUCACUGAGGUAUAAAAGGGUUCACACCAUCUCCGCCUUAUGAGACGUCUUUUGUAGGACAAAACCGUGAGGUCAAGAGGGUCAGAGCCAUUUGGCUUCAAAUCAAACCACUGCGGGUAGCUCUUAUGGUGUGGGAAAAUUCAGCCAAACCCUGCAAGGCGCCGUUUGUUCAAAGCUUUUACUUUCUUUGACGAUCAUGUGUCUUGAACCAGACCUGUUUAUCUGUUUGCCUAAUACUUGCGCUUUAGCUAUUUGUUUGUGUUCUAUCUGUUUGUGAUUGGAUCCUUUGGAAUGAAACCAUCAUCUCAUAACUGUUGGGUGACUCCUUAGGGACAAAAGAACUCUUCUUGCUUGAAAAGGGAACAUCAAGCAUUCAACAUGAAGUGCCCAUUUCUUAUUCAACCCAAUAAGAUUUCGACCUCCGUCGUGUAGUGUAAGAGUUUAGACUAUCUUAUCCCAAUGAAAUUCACCCCAAGUCAUUCAAGACCUUGACCUGAUAUUUGAGUUUUUGGUUUAACAGUCCUGUCGUGUCAGCUGGAUGUUGAGCCUUUUGUUUGGGCGUUACCUUUUUCAGGGCCUAAGCCCCCUGAAACUAAAAGCUACAUUGCCCAUUUCCCUAUUGUAGACACCCAAUUGGGUCCGGGCCCAGAUCAAUUGGGCCUGGCCCAAAUGGGUAAGGCCCAUUUCAAUCCUGUAUAUUUUUUUCUUUUGUAUUUUAUGUAUUCUAUUAUUAUUAUUAUUAUGUAUAUCUUUAUUCAUUUAUUUAUUUUUAUUCAGAUUAGAUUUAUAUGUAUAUUAUUUAUAUAGUUAUAUAUUUAUUAUUAUUAUUAUUAUUAUUAUUUUUGUAAGAUAUUUUUGGAUUUAUCUUAUUUUAUUAUUAUUUUUUUUAAAUUAUCUGUUCUGAUUUUUUCCUGAUUAUCAGAUAUUUUUUUACUAUAAUAUCUUUUUAUUUAUCUGUUCUAAUUAUCUAUUAUUUUUUAUAUUUAUUUGAUUUUUUUUUUUUUUGGAAGGUUGAGAUUGAAGCUGAAGAAUCCUACUGGGAGUGGGGAUUCAAUCUAAAGAGUCCAAUUGGAUUCAAAGACUGAAUCCCCGUCCAAGGAGGAGUUGGGAUUGAUCAGAAACUCCUGAUCAACCCCUAUAUAAAGGACCCUUUGGAACAGUUCAAGAACACACAGAAAACAGUAAGCAAAGCUACUGAUUUGAGAGAAAAGGAGGCGUAUAGGAAGCUAGGAAAAGUUUAGGAGUGGUCUAGGAGUGAGAAAAAAUUUCUAGAAAUUUUUGGCGAAAAAAUUUUCUGGAAAUUUCUGGGAAAUUUCCAGAUUCCGGCAAAAAUUCUGGCGAAGUUUGAAUUUUCCGGCGAUAGUUCCGGCCAAACUUGAAGUUUUCGGCAACCAGCCCAGUUUCCGGCGAAGAAUCCCAGAAACCGGCGAUCUUUCGGCAACUUCCGGCGAACUUCCGGCGAAAUUUUCCAGAUUCCGGCGAGAAUUUCCAGAAUCCGGCGAAAUCCCACCGGUGUUCUUCAGUCUUUAGAGAGAAGGCAGAGGAAAGAAGGAAGAAGAGAGAGAGAGAGGAGGGGCGGUCUGCCGAAAAACAGAGGGUAGUGCCUUUUAUACCCUCCCAAAACGACGUCGUUUUGGCUUUAAGUUAAUCAGAGGAUCCGCGCGUUUUGCCGAAAACCCGACCAGACCCGGGCGUCGACCCGCUUUCUGACCCGCGCGUUUCAGCCCCUCCGAGCCGAGCCGAGCCGAGCCGAGCCGCACCAAGCCGAGCCGCGAUCCGAGCCGCUCCAGGUUUUUUUUUUUUUUUUUUUUUUGAAUUUUUUUGAAUUUUUUUUAUUUGACUUUGAUUUUGAUCUUGAUUUUUUUUUCUUUUUUCUUUAAUUAAUCCGACGACGGAGCCUCUACAAGUAAAAACAGUAGUUUUUCUUGCAUACUCCUGAGGUGAGGGAAUUUUCUCAAUUUUCUGCUAAAAGUAUUAGAGUCAAUUGAGAAUAAUUUCCGAUAAUUAAUUACUUGGCUGAUUUUGAUUUUUUUUUUCUUUAAUUAAUCCGACGACGGAGCCUCUGCAAGUGAAACAGUAGUUUUUCUUGCAUACUCCUGAGGUGAGGGAAUUUUCUCAAUUUUCUGCUAAAAGUAUUAGAGUCAAUUGAGAAUAAUUUUCGAUAAUUAAUUAAUUGGUUGAUCUUGAUUUUUCUUUAAAUAAUCCGACGACGGAGCCUCUGCAAGUGAAACAGUAGUUUUUCUUGCAUACUCUUGAGGUGAGGGAAUUUUCUCAAUUUUUUGCUAAAAGUAUUAGAGUCAAUUGAGAAUAAUUUUCAACAACUAACUACUUGGUAAAAUUUUAAGGCUUUUGGAUAACACAAAUUUAAGCUGGUACCAUCUUUUGAUGGGCGUUGUGAGGGUGCUACAACCUUCCUCACACGUAACCGAACUCCCGAACCCUGUUCUGGUUAGUAGACCUGAACCUAUUCUUUUAGGGACUCUUAAACUGAGGCGUUCCCUAAAAGGACAGAUUCCUUAGGUGGCCAAUCGCACCUAGAUAAAAAAGAUUGGUGGCGACUCCCAAAAGUCAAUGUCUAGCGAUAGAUCCCCGGAUCUAGACGUUACGACAGCUUGGCGACUCCACUGGGGACCUUGAGAGUCAGGCCAGCAAAUAAUUUGUGUUAUCCAAAAGCCUAAUAAAAUUGAACCAUUUUUGUAUAUAUGUGUUAUUCAUUCAUGUAUUUACCUUGUUAAUUAUGUCAUUCAUGUGCAUGUGCAUAACAUGAGCUCUACACCCGAGCUCUGUCCCUCUAGGAGGGAGUAAAGUACCUAUUGCUUUCGUGAGGUCUAAUGCCUCCGCAGUGGCUAGCGAAAUACUCCCACUCAAAUUGAACCUUUUCCGCUUGUAGCCUGUAAUGGGUGAGGAUUAGGGUGCCUUACUAGUCUGUGAUGGACAAGGAUGUAAGGAACAAUUUGAGGACCUUUAGACUCUGACUUUAAAACCACAUGUAGUGAACCUUAAGAGUGCCUAACCCUAGGAUAGAGUCCUUUCUACCCAAUGAUAGAUAUACCCUGAAAUUAGGACACAAAAAAGGUGUUUAUCUAAUCAUUUUGAUUGCUUAACUUUGUGUAUUAUUUUUUGUAAUGUUAUGCAUCAGCAUUACUUUCAUUUCAUUCAUGAAACUAACUAUGUUGUUUGUCUGAUUGUAUGCAUCUGUAUUCUUUUCAUGAUCAUGUUUCAACACAAUCAUUUGCAUUCAUUUCAUGCUAGAUUUCAUUCAAAAAAUGUACAUUUCAUUUGUGUAUCAAAGCAUCAUACAUAAGGCACAGCAUAACAUUUCUAAUCAUGAGUAUGGUACUCAAGGUCCGAGGAUAGCUCCAUCUAGCGAAAACCUUGCUCAUCCAUACAACACAAGAUCCAGAGCAAGGCAAAUGGAGGAGGAAAGUUCUCAUAGAUUUGAAAAGCUAGAAAAAGCUCAGGAGAAGAUUGAAAGUGAACUAAGCAAGAUUCUGGAAGCUCUAAAUAACAUGAAUAAGGGGAAAGGAGUUGAAGGAAGUACAAGCCAGCAAGAAGUGGCUGACCCUUUGUACCCUCCAGGUUUUGGCCCAUCUCAGGUCCAGCCUGCUCAAGAGGUCCCGCCAUAUCCUGGAAUACCAUCAGCUUUCAACCCAGGGCAGUAUAAUAGCUAUAUAAAUCCUGUCUUCACUGAAAAAGUAGCAGAACCAAUUCCUGACCUAGAUGCCUUAAAGGAGAAGGAAAAAGAAAAGAUGAAAGUGGAAGCUGAGGAGAGUUCCAAGAUUAGCAUGCUAGAGCAGAGGCUACGGGCUGUGGAAGGAUUUAGCUUUUAUGGGUCAGUAGAUGCUGCUGGGCUCUGCCUAGUCCCUGAUGUGGUUAUUCCCUAUAAGUUCAAAGUACCAAAAUUUGAAAAAUAUGACGGUACCAAGUGCCCCAAAACCCACAUCACCAUGUAUUGCAGGAAGAUGGCAGCUCAUGCUCAUGAUGAAAAACUUCUGAUGCAUGUUUUCCAGGACAGUCUUACUGGCUCUGCCGCCAGAUGGUAUGUUCAGUUGGAUAGGACUCGUAUUCGCUCUUGGAGUGAUAUGGCACACGACUUCAUCAGUCAAUAUCGACACAUUAUCGAUUUGGCCCCUGAUCGUUUAUCUUUGCAAAAUUUGGAGAAAAAGUCAAAUGAGUCUUUUAAAGAAUACGUCCAGAGAUGGAGGGAUAUUGCUUCACAGGUACAACCUCCACUGACAGAGAAAGAGACCACAGUGCUGUUUGUUAGCACUUUAAAGCCUCCCUAUUAUGAAAAGAUGAUAGGAAAUGCAACAAAGAAUUUUGCUGACAUGGUGAUCUCUGGAGAAAUUAUUGAAAGUGCCAUAAAAAAUGGCAAGUUGAAAGGAGGAGAAACCAAGAAGACAUCAGAAAAGAAAGAAGCUGAAGCUCAAGCUGUGAGCUUUGAUAGACAACAAUUCAGGGGUUAUCAACCCUAUCCAUCCCAAGGCUACUCUCCAUACUAUCCCGCUGUGAAUAAUGCCUCAUCCUACCCAUACCAGUUAGCUUCACAACCAUCUCAUUCAUCCACUUACCGCCUUAACAUUCAAGCUCCUGUAAGAACUCAAGUUCGCCCUACUAACCCAGCAAGUGGCUCGCGAGAACAACGGACUGCUCGAGAAAAACCUGUAUUUGAUCCAAUCCCUAUGACUUAUACAGAGUUAUAUCGAGAGCUUUAUAAUAGCCACUUGAUUGCCCCCAGCCAUGUGGAACCUCUUAAACCACCCUACCCAAAGUGGUAUGAUCCUACAGCCCACUGCGACUAUCACUAUGGAAUUACUGGCCAUUCUACUGAAAAUUGCACUGCUUUAAAGUAUAAGGUGCAACGGUUGAUCAAUGAUGGAAUGGUAAGUUUUGAUCAAGGAAAAGCAACAACAUUCAAUGUUAACACCCUAAGUGAAAGUCAAGAACAGAAAGGAUCUGGAGAGUCACAAUGAAUUGAGGGGCAAGACGUCAAUGGGGAUUUCUUCACCUGAUCAUAUAGGGGGCUAAUUUUUAAUGGAGAUAAGGCGGGUUGAAAGUUUUUUUGUCACUUUAAGAUUUCUUUUCAAGUAAUGUUGGAUUUCUUUUUGCAAUAUGACUUUACUUGUUAUCAUUUUAAUAAAGGCAAGUCAAUGCAUUUCAUUACAUUUUUCUCUUUCAUUUGACCAUUAUUCCAUACCCUGCUACCCUUCAUAACUUCACAUUCCCAUUCUUAAAUUUCAGAUGAUGAAUAUUUAGACAAUGAUAACAAUAAUUCUGGGAUUUAAUUUUGAGAACUCAUCCACAUUAAUAUGAGAAGAUGAUUUGAACAGAAGUAAGCUAUUACUGGAGGAGAAACAGAUAUGUCUUGAAGAUGUGUAAUCUUUUAUACAGAUUCAUGAGCUUUGUUUAAUAGAUGAUGUUCAAGAAAGGUAUUCACAAUUGAGAUGAAAAAUGGCCACCUUUCUUUUACCAUUGGAAAAACCAUUUAUUGCUACCCCUUUGAGCCAAUCAUGAUUUUUUUUCUUGAAGAACCCCAACCAAGGAUCACCCUCUACACUGGAGGGUAAUUUUUGAAAAAAAAAAAAAAAAAAAAAGAGAAAAAAAAAAAAAAACACCACAAAAGGUCUCAAAAAUGAAAAAAAAAAGAGAAAAAACAAAUGCCACACAUGACUUGGGGCAAAGUAAUGAGAAUCCUUUGUGUGAUGAAAGAAAAAAGUAGUGAAAUGAUGUGGGGGCAAAAUGCCAGGCUGCAUCAAAUGAUCCUUUGGUUUUGAACCUUUUUAAUACAUGUUUUGAGCCUAUUAUAUCCAUUUCUUUUAUGACCCUUCCCCUUGGCCUACGUUACAACCUUGAAAAGUCCAUUUGGAUCAAGUGUGAAUACUCAACUUGAAUGAUCAUAUGUUGAGCGAAGGUAUGCUCAUGAGGAAGCAAUGAAAUCAUGGUCUAAAGUUGGACGUAUGAAAGAUAUCAACAAUGGAUGAAAAAAAAAUGAUGAAAAAAAAAAGAAAAAAAAAGGAAAAAAAAAGAAAAAAUGAAAAAAAAAAGAAGGAAAAAAAGAGAAAAUAAAAAAAAGAGAUUCAAAUUGAAAACCUGAAAGGGUGAUUUUAGUAAAAAAAAAAUCAAGUCAAAUGGCUCACAUGAAUGAAAGAUCAAAGACAUCUGAAGAUCCCUCAAAGACUGGGGCAGAGUUCGCCAAGCUCAAGAUGACUUCAACAGUAAAUGGAAUGAGUUUUUGAAAAAGAAUCCUAGAUUAAUGUUGAAAAUUGUCUGAAUAUUCAUCAUUUGGACAUACCAUUCACCUCAAUGACAUCCAAUUUAUUUCAUUUCCCAUUUAUUUUUUACCAAAAUAGAUCUCCAUUGAUUAUCUUUACCAUAAUUCACCUUCUGUUCUCUUAUUGUUUCACCCCUAGAAUGAAUUGAGAAAAUGCUUGAUUGCAUUGUAUUUGUCAGGAUUUGAAAUGAUAAUGAAUGAAUGAAUAUGUGCUUAAAAGAGUCUUGCAUUUAUUUGAAAAGAAAUCUAAGAUGAUGAAGAAAUGGUAGAAACCUAAUAGAGAAUAUGAUGGGGCAAAUCUUGAAAAGUGAUGAAUUGAUUGAUAUGACUUGCAAGAUAUGAUUGAAUGAUGAAGACAAUCAGUAGACAAAGUCUGUUUUGGAAUUGUUGAGGCUGAGACAAGGACCCAGUGAUGAUGGAUGAAAUUUGUUUUGAAAUUUGCUAGUGCUGAAAAAUUCAUUGAAUGAUGGUCAAGUGAUGAUCGAUUGAUGAAGCUUAUUCCAAAGUAUUGAAAAACAGAACAAGAAAGAAUGUGAGUGGAAGAGACAAUUGAGAGCUACACUGGUUCGAUCUUAGAAGAGCAGUGCAAUUGGAUCCUUGAGGAAUCAAAGGGCUUGACACCCAAAAAAAAAAAAAGCUUGAGAAACUUGAGUACCAUACAUUGAACAGGAAUUAAUUGGCCAACAUUUGCAUGGCAUGCAUUGAAAUUCAUAUGCAUUGCACAGCAUACACUACUUUCAGGAGAAUAUAGUGUACAAAUUCAAGAAGCAAGGGUGUUCCAACAUCCCACAUGAAAAAGACAGAUAUGAAAAGACUUUGCAAGUUUGAGAAGAAACUUGUCAGGUAAGUUCCUAAUCCUUGAAAUAGGAUGUCUUUUGGUAUCAGGGUUGAUUAUAAAGACCUUUGGGCAUAAUCUCCUGAAAUCCCUUCAAACACAGCUUUCAACUCCUUUGGACAUGAUUGUCAAGGAGCCUAUUAAUUUCCAAAGUUCCGUUGCCUCUGUUUAGAGGAGCAAUUUAUCUUUUCCAAAGUCGUGGUUGCCUCUGUUGAGAGGAGCAAUUUACUUUUCAAAGUCGUGGUGCCUCUGUUGAGAGGAGCAAUUUAUUUUUUUCAAAGUCGUGGUGCCUCUGUUGAGAGGAGCAAUUUACUUUUCAAAGUCGUGGUGCCUCUGUUGAGAGGAGCAAUUUAUUUUUUCAAAGUCGUGGUGCCUCUGUUGAGAGGAGCAAUUUACUUUCCAAAGUCGUGGUGCCUCUGUUGAGAGGAGCAAUUUACUUUUCAAAGUCGUGGGUGCCUCUGUUGAGAGGAGCAAUUUAAUUUCCAAAGUUCCGUUUGCCUCUGUUUAGAGGAGCAAUUUACUUUUCAAAGUCGUGGUGCCUCUGUUGAGAGGAGCAAUUUUAAUUUCCAAAGUUUCGUUGCCUCUGUUUAGAGGAGCAAUUUAUUUUUCCAAAGUCGUGGUACCUCUGUUGAGAGGAGCAAUUUACUUUUCAAAGUCGUGGUGCCUCUGUUGAAGAGGAGCAAUUUACUUCCAAAGUCGUGGGUGCCUCUGUUGAGAGGAGCAAUUUACUUUUCAAAGUCGUUGGUACCUCUGUUGAGAGGAGCAAUUUACUUUCAAAAGUCGUUGAGUCUCUGUUUAGAGGAGCUUCGGCAAAAAAAAAAAAAAAACAAAAAAAAACAAAAAAAACAAAAAAAAACAAAAAAAAAAACAAAAAAAAAAAUAAAAAAAUCAGAAAAAAUCAAAAAAUAACAAAACAAAAAUAAAAAAAAUCAAAAAUAAAAUGUUUGAGUUGAGUCUGGACUUGGGUGUCUACGUCUUUGCGCAAUUUCUGUUUCACAGAAAAUGUGCAAAGAGGGGCAGCGUAGACACACCAAUUGGGUCCGGGCCCAGAUCAAUUGGGCCUGGCCCAAAUGGGUUAAGGCCCCAUUUCAAUCCUGUAUAUUUUUUUCUUUUGUAUUUUAUGUAUUCAUUAUUAUUAUUAUUAUGCUAUAUCUUAUUCAUUUAUUUAUUUUUAUUCAGAUUAGAUUUAUAUGUAUAUUAUUAAUAUAGUUAUAUAUUUAUUAUUAUUAUUAUUAUUAUUANNNNNNNNNNNNNNNNNNNNNNNNNNNNNNNNNNNNNNNNNNNNNNNNNNNNNNNNNNNNNNNNNNNNNNNNNNNNNNNNNNNNNNNNNNNNNNNNNNNNNNNNNNNNNNNNNNNNNNNNNNNNNNNNNNNNNNNNNNNNNNNNNNNNNNNNNNNNNNNNNNNNNNNNNNNNNNNNNNNNNNNNNNNNNNNNNNNNNNNNNNNNNNNNNNNNNNNNNNNNNNNNNNNNNNNNNNNNNNNNNNNNNNNNNNNNNNNNNNNNNNNNNNNNNNNNNNNNNNNNNNNNNNNNNNNNNNNNNNNNNNNNNNNNNNNNNNNNNNNNNNNNNNNNNNNNNNNNNNNNNNNNNNNNNNNNNNNNNNNNNNNNNNNNNNNNNNNNNNNNNNNNNNNNNNNNNNNNNNNNNNNNNNNNNNNNNNNNNNNNNNNNNNNNNNNNNNNNNNNNNNNNNNNNNNNNNNNNNNNNNNNNNNNNNNNNNNNNNNNNNNNNNNNNNNNNNNNNNNNNNNNNNNNNNNNNNNNNNNNNNNNNNNNNNNNNNNNNNNNNNNNNNNNNNNNNNNNNNNNNNNNNNNNNNNNNNNNNNNNNNNNNNNNNNNNNNNNNNNNNNNNNNNNNNNNNNNNNNNNNNNNNNNNNNNNNNNNNNNNNNNNNNNNNNNNNNNNNNNNNNNNNNNNNNNNNNNNNNNNNNNNNNNNNNNNNNNNNNNNNNNNNNNNNNNNNNNNNNNNNNNNNNNNNNNNNNNNNNNNNNNNNNNNNNNNNNNNNNNNNNNNNNNNNNNNNNNNNNNNNNNNNNNNNNNNNNNNNNNNNNNNNNNNNNNNNNNNNNNNNNNNNNNNNNNNNNNNNNNNNNNNNNNNNNNNNNNNNNNNNNNNNNNNNNNNNNNNNNNNNNNNNNNNNNNNNNNNNNNNNNNNNNNNNNNNNNNNNNNNNNNNNNNNNNNNNNNNNNNNNNNNNNNNNNNNNNNNNNNNNNNNNNNNNNNNNNNNNNNNNNNNNNNNNNNNNNNNNNNNNUGUUUAAAGUCUGCUGCCUGACCAACAGUGCUCUCCUGCAAUGCGUUCAUUAUCUCCCCGUCUGAUGCAAAAGUAUGGGUCUUAUUGGUCGAACUUGCCUUUUGGAGAAUACCUGCCGAAACAUCUCUGCUUGCCAUCCUUUGCAAAUUUGGCUCAUAUCACAAAGAUAUUAGGCACGUGUAAACUUGGUUCCUCAGUUAGCGAGAUGUUAAAUCAGGAGGCAACCCUUUCUUAUCGUAGCUUUGCUUUGAUUCCCAAAAUCCUGCUUCUGGAGCAGCUUUCUCAUCAACACAAUGGAAUCUUGCUAAAUACUUAUCGGCACUCUUGAGUUGCAGAUCUGGAGGAAUCUGCUGUGGGCCAGCCUGCUUUCACCACAAAGCCAUCCUUCUUCAAAAGCUCUCUCCAAACAAACUCCGCAUAGUGGGCAGAUUGAGUGAUAAGGCCUUAGUCUGCACAUCCAUAAACCGCCAUACAAGGUCAGGUUAUGCCCCCACUGCCACAAGAGAACUAUACUCAUGCCGCAGCACUUGAAGAUCAAUAAACCAUCUGAGGUCCGAGAACAAUGUAAUCCCUAUACAUUCCUGCAUCACUCAUUUGCAGCAAGUUUCUCAUUCUUCAAACACCCGAUCAGCAAGGUAGAUGGGGCACCUGUCCCCAAAGACAUUCUGCAGCCAGUAAUUCUCUUUCCCAUCCAUGCAUUCUCUUUGUAAGCCUAAGAUUGCAGGCAUGGCAGUCUCAACACAAAGUUUUGCAUCAUCUACACCAUCCCCAGCAUCAGCCAGAGAGAAUCUUGUAGCAUCAGCAGAGAAUUCCUCAAUUGCCUGAUGCAGUGUCCUGAAAUUUCCAGUAGACUUGCGACAUCUUCUCUGAAUUAAGCAUAAUAUGUCCAUUGCACCUGAAUCCACAAGGCCAGUGAUCCUUGGACAUGAUUGCUGGUGAUUGUAGAUGCAAAAUGUUAAAUGGUUCUGGAUAAGGUCUUUUCCAGAAACCCUAAGAUCAAAUGGAUACCAGUACUCAAACUCCUGCUUCAUCUUGUUAAGAACAGAGGAUGGGAUAUCAGAAGAUUUGGGAUACUGACCACCACAGAAGAGAAAUUCCCAGACCUCAUCAGUCAUCUGGGCAGGUUUAACCAGAUCAGCACUUUUUCCGUACAUGUCCCCAUUUUGUAAAAGAUGAGCAACUGUGUAAUAAGCCAUGUAAAUGGUUGAGUCGGAUAAUGACUCAACAAGGAAUUCUGCAUCCCAAGGAAUGCGAGUCCCAAGCCCAAAGGAUCGUGAGCAAGCCCAUUGGUUCAACCAUCCUAAAGUAUGUUCAAAGCCAUGUCGUGUCUCAUCAGAGUAUAGAUUCAUGUUGGAUAAGCACUCCUCAGCUAGUUGUUUCCAUUCCGGUUCACCAUAUGUGAUGUACCAUUGAUCUGUAAGAGCCACAACACACUCAUCACCAGACCUUGACAUAACCUUCUUCUCAGGCUCACUAUAAAUUAUUGCCUGGCCCGUCUCAAUCAGUUUGGUCCUUAUCAGUGCCUUAGCUUCAUGGACUCUUCUUCCUGCAUACUCUCCAACAGUCAUGGUUCCCUCUGUAAAACCUCUCAAGUACACCAACCUCUUCGCCUCAGCAAGCUUUUCUUUCUCAUUCUGACUUUUGAUUUUCAGAUCCACACAAACUUUUUCAGCUGCCCUGUCUCCAAAUUCUGGAAUGUCAAUGAUGGGUAUAAUCUCAAAUGGCAAUACCCAUUCAUCCUUCACCCCAAACUUUUCCCGAAAAGCGGGUUUUGCUUUCAAAUCAUGUAAGGCCAUAUAAUCAUCAGGAGCAUCGCUGGGAACACUGGUCACGAUCCCUGUACCUUUGUCCGUUAGAAUUGUCAUCAUUGGAAGAGCAUAUAUGAUCUCAUUAAAUGAGAGAGGAGAUUUUACAGGAAGACCAAUCAGAUCAUAACCAGUCAGUUCAACCAAGCAAGUAGGUUUUUCAGGGACGCGGGAGAGCUUCUGAUAAGCAAGGUUGAGUGCUGCUCUCUCAGUCAGAAUAAAUAUCUCAGUUUCAUUGAUUUCAAAGGCUCCGUAUUUCCCAUUAGGCAAAACCCAGCAGUUUGUUUGCCCAUACAUGGUCUCAGGCCUCAAUGUUGCAGCAGCCAAAAACACUUUUUUCCCUUCCAAAACACGCAUUUUAGCUGGAAAAGGUGGCACCACUUCCAUUUUAAUAAUAGUAUACUCUUGAGGCUGAACUCCUUCACCAGUUGCCCUAUCAUGAUCAGCACAUGGCUGACCAUCCAAUGGAGAAUAUAUAGUAUACCUCAUAUCUUUAACAAUCUUACCCAUCGAUUUCAACUUCCUCAUCUGCCACUUAACAAACGAAUCAAAAAACGGAUUCAUAUCUGUGGUCACAAAUGACCUUCUCCAAUCACAACCUAAUCCAAAAGCCUUGAGGUCUUGAACAGCCAAUGGCGGAAAGAACUUCAACCAUUCAUACGGGUUCUGAAACUUUGAUAUCUCACUAUCUGAAAGUCCAAAACUCCUCAUAAUUUCCCACUGAAACAUCUGUCCGCUAGAUUUAGAUGCCGCCUUAGACUUUUUACCUUUAAACUUAUCAGGCGCCACAUUGGCAUCUUCAUUUGGGUCAGAUUCUUCUGUUGGGUUAGGUUCCUCAUCUACUACCUCAUGAGGAAAAAUGGGUGGAUCACCAAAUUGUUUGAUUUCCCUAGCAAGUUUAUCAGCUGAAGCCUUGAUUGGCAUACCGGUACAGUGAAAAGCAAAAGGCAAUAACACAUUGGCACCUCUUAAUCUAUGAUAAGCAGCAGCAAACUCGAGUUUCGAAAGCGAAAAGGCAUGGCCCAGAUGUAAGAGACCAUUCAUAUAAGGAAAAGGAAAGUUCCCAAAGAAUUUUUCACCUGGUUGAGGUGGUUUUUCAUUGGGUUCAGCUUUAAACACAUCUUUUUCUUCCCACCAAACUCUAACCUUUGACUCGAUUUCCAGGAGUUUGUCUCUCCUGGCAUAGCUCUUGCCUCCCUCUGUUGCCAUCUCGUGAAACCGAUGAAAACUGUUCAAAACCAAAACAAAAUAAAAUUCAUGAAAAUGAAACAGAAAGAAAACCAAAAAAAAAAAAAAAAAUGGAAGAAUCUUUGGAAAAGAAAGUGCCUGAGUUUAUUGAGGAAGAUGGUGUUGUGCCUACGAAGAAUCUUUGCUGAGUAGCGACGGAUACAGAGCAAAUGGGUGGAGAUGAAGGAGGAUAAAGAGAAAAGAGAGAGACUGCGUUGAGUUUCAGUUCCAGUUACAGGGCUAGAUUCUCAUUGUUUGUUUUUACAGGUUUUUGGAGUUUUAAUGAUUAUUAAUUUUAAAUUAAAAAGGCCUGCCCCAACUUUUUAACCGAUCAAAAAAGUGAUAUCAGAGUAAGGAUUAUUUUGAAACAUUGAUACAAAAACAACAAAUGAUAAAAGUAAAUUUUAUUUGAGACUAUGAAGAUUGAUACAGGUUUUAUGAUAAAAUUGAUAGCAUUAAAUUAUUUAAUUUGAAAGCCUAUAAUAAAAAAUUAUUUAUACUGUAAAGAUUUAUAUGAGUCAAUAUUAGAUGAUUCGACUAAAACAGUAGAUAUGAAAAAUGAAAGCUGAAAGAAGCCAUAUAAAAAGACACUAGCUACAAUCAAAAAAUGGAUUGAUAUCAACGUGUUCCAUCAUGUAGCAUAAAAAAUAGAUGUUUACACUAUUUGAAAAAAAUUGACAUUGUAUGAAAGAAAAAUAAGUAUGAAUAAAGUUAUACUUAUUAAAAAGCUAGUAACUUUACAGUACAUGAAUGAAUGAUCGAUUACAGAGCACUUGAGUAAUUUUCAAUAUAUAUUUAAUUUGAUGACUAAUAUGGAGCUUAAGAUAAAUGAUGAAAUGAAUGUGUUAUUUUUUUUAGGUUUAUUGUUAGAUAGCUAAAAUACUCUAGUUGUGACUGUUCUUAAUUUAGCUCCUGAUUACAAUGUAAUAUUAAAGAUGAUAAAAGACAGUAUACUUAAUGAAGAAGUAAGGUAAAAAGAUUUAGACCCUGAGAAUCAAGCUCAUGUCACAAAGAACAAGGGUAGAAACAUUAACAAAAAUCAAAACUUAAAAGGUCAUAGUAAAUCUAAACAUAAAUCCAAGUUCAGAGAUAAAGUGAAGUGCUUUCAUUAUAGUAAAACAGGUCAUAUAAAGUAAUACUACAAAAUCUUAAUGCAAGAGUGAAAAGAUCAGAAAGAUAUGAGUUCAGAUGAUGACAAUGUUACAUUAGCGAAUUCAAAUAAUGAUUCAGUUACUUUAAUUUGUACACAUAAUAAUUAUAAUCAUGUUGGUGAUCCUAACAUUAAGUGAAUAGUUAACAUAAGAGUGACACAUCAUUGUGUUCCUAAGAAAAAGUUAUUUAUAACUUACAAAGCAUAAGACUUUGGUUACACCAAAAUGAAAAAUAAGAGUGUAUCACAGAUUAUUAUAAUUAGUGAUAUUAUUAUAUAAAUUAGUACAAGCUACAUAUUAACUUUAAGGGAUGUCAGACACAUUUUAGAUAUAAAAAUGAACUUGCUUGUUAUUAAUGUCAUUGAUAAGGAACGUUAUUAGAGUUAACAAAAGAAUGGACAGUGGAGCUUCUUAAAAGAUCUAUGGUAGUUGCAAGAAAAAAAUUAUGCUACACAAUAUACAAGAUAUAGAUGCAAUUGAAAGGCAACUAGAUAAAUGCCAUUAAGAAUGAUACUUCAACAAACUUGUGGCACAAGAGGCUAGCACACAUAAGCAAGAAGGGGUUAUAGCUGCUCGCAAGGCAGUCAUUUAUUAUCUUAACCAAAAGUAUAUCUCUCAAUUUAUAUGAUCAUUAUCUAUUUGACAAGUAUUGUAGAAUUUUUUUUCAUAAGAGUUCUCAAAGAAAAGAAAAUAUAUUAGAAUUGAUUCAUUCUGACAUAUAUAGUCCCAUCGAGGUUGAGUCAUUGGGUGAUAGUAGGUAUUUUGUUACUUUUAUUUAUGAUGCUUAAUGCAAGACUUAAAUGUAUGUGUUGAAAAAUAAAAAUUAGGUAUUGUAGUAUUUUUAAAAAUUUCAUACUAUGGUUAAAAGGAUGAUAAAGAUGCCUUUAAAGUAUAUUUAAACUGAUAAUGGUGAGAAAUACACAUCCAAAAACUUUGAAAAGUAUUGUUCAAAGUAUGGGAUCAAAUAUGAAAUGACAGAACCUGAAACACCAUAGCAUAAUGGUAUAGCUAAAAGGAUAAACUACAUCAUUAUAGAAAAAGUCAAAUAUAUGUUAAGAAUAACAAAAUUACCAAAGUCAUUUUGGGGUGAAACAACCAAUACAACUUAUUAUUUUCUUAACAGAUCACCAUCAGUUCCUUUGGGCUUUGAUAUUUUAAAAAAAUAUAUGGAUAGGAAAAAAUGCUUCAUGCUCUUACUUAAAAGUUUUUAGAUGUAAAACAUUUAUACAUGUGCUAAAAAAAUAGAGGUCAAAGUUUGACAAUAAAAACACGUAGUGUGUGUUUGUAAGAUAUGGUGAUAAAAAAUUUAGCUACAAAGUAUGGAUCCAAUGAAGAUAAAGAUAGUCAAAAGUAAAGAUGUGAUCUCUCAUAAAAGAAAUUAUAGUAGAUCUUGAGAAAAAUAAAAAGACUACUCAGGUUAUUGUUGAAUGUGAUGUUUUAACAUCAACAAGGGUUCCACAAAAAAAGCCACAAAAAAAGACUACUCAAGUUAUUGCUGAAAUGAUUAAUGUGAUUACUAAAUGAAGCUUAACCUCGGCUAAAAGAAAGUCCAACCUAACUAUGAUCAUGGCUAUUGGCUUUUCAACAAAGAAAGAAAAAAAUUGGAAAAAUGAACCGAUCUCAUUUAACUUGAAAGAUUUGGAAAGAAUCCAACUUUCCCACAAUGAUGCUGUAGUAAUCACGGUUGUAGUAUAUAAUUAUGUGGCUAAAAGGAUCAUGUUCGAUAAUGAGAGUUCCACCGACGUCAUGUACUAUGCCACCAUAAAGAAAUGGGUAUUAAAGAGGAUUAGUUGCAAUUGAUCACCAUAACCCUAGUAAGAUUUGGGAAUGAGCAAGUACCAACAAAAAGGACUAUAAAACUACCAAUCACUUUAGGGAGGGAAUCGAAAAAUAGUCACCUUGGUCAUAGAAUUCAUGGUAGUAGAGUCUCAUCUAUCUAUUAAGUUAUCCAAACAUUGGAAAAUGAAGAAAUGGACUUUAGAAAUUAUUUUCAUGCUUACCAAAUAGAGUGUAUUUUAUCUUUUGGCGUUCCAUGGGUAAUGAAAUUCUUUGUUUGCAAAAUGGGCAUUCAACGAAAGGGAUGAAGAGCUAUAUUCGAACUUUAAGAGGAUUGGUAAUGAAAUUGUGAAAAAAUGCAUGUUAAAGUGAGUUAUUCCACGUUUAAUAAAUUUUUAAUAUCUUGUAAUCUUAUAUUCAUGUUGGGCUUUUUUACUUACUACCAAUUAGUAGUAGAUUGGAUGCUUAACAUUGUUUCAAAGCCAAGAUUUUCUUUUCGUUGUUCAUUUCUAAUUUGUCAUGUGAAAGGCUUCUUCCAUCUUCACCUACACGUGAUGAAGCCUUAUUAAAGUGGAUUAUCCCACGUCUAAUGAAUAUCAAAUAUCCUGUAGUGUUAUAUUCAAGUUGGGUCCUUUUACUUAUAAUCAAUUAGUUUUAAGUUAGAUGUGUAACAUUUUCAAAGGAUACUGAAUAUGACAUUGAUUAUAUUAUCCAUUUCUUGAUGGCCAAUGGACUUCUUGAAAUUCCCAAGCAAAGUGAAGGCGAAUGCAUGGAAGAUGUUGGGUUACAGUAUUUCAAGGACUUAUUGUCAAGGUGUUUUGUCCAAGAUAGAAACUAAUUUUAUAUCUUCAAAAUGCAUGAUCUUAUACACGAUCUCGCAUUAAAUGCUUCACAAGAAGAGUGCUUAACAGUAUAUCAACAUGUGGUAAAUGCUUCUGAAAAUAUUCGGCAUUUGUCAUUUUCUGAUCAAAAUAUUCCAUUGAGAACUCCACAACUUUUUUUGAAGAAGUUGAAUGGUGUGCGCCCAUUAGUAAUCCUCCUCCUCGAGGAUACUAUAGGAUGGUUGAGAAAUCAUUUCUGAGUGCUUGCAUCUUCAAUUUUAAGUACCAACGGCUACUUGAUCUGGAAAAUUCCUGGUUGGAGGUAUUACCAAAAUCCAUCUGCACCUUGAAGCAUUUACUGUAUCUUAACUUAACUAGGUGCAUUAGAUUGACUAGGCUUCCUAAGUCUAUCUGCUGACAUUGAGAUUAUUUGAUGUUCCAAAAUUGCAAGUGCGUGACAAUUUGCAAAGAUUGAUCAGUCUCAGAUUGCAAAGUUGGAGUUCGCUUCAGUUCUUAUUCUUCUACGAGUGUAAGACACUGGAAUGUUUGUUUGAAGGGAUGCAAUGCCUCACAUCACUUAGAAAUUUGACUAUGAAGAAAUGAUAUAGACUUGUCUUACUACCUCGAAGUCUGAAGUUCCUAGUCAAAUUAGAGGAAAUUGCAAUUGUUUCCUGCCCAAUGAUCAAUUUACGCACGGAACCGGAAGGCAGAGAAGACCAAGACCUUCACUUGAGCCUUCAGAAGUUGAUAUUACGUGAUGCACCAAACUUGGAGGAUCUGCCUGGAUUGCUUCUUGAGGGAUCUGUUGGCUGUUUGCAAUCCAUUGAAAUCCAGCAUUGCCCCAACUUUGAGAUGCUACCAGAAUGGCUAAAAAAUCUUAGUUCACUUCAAAGACUGGAGAUUCUUAAUUGUCCCAAAUUUUCCUAUCUUCCCGAUGGAAUAGACCAUCUCACUGCACUUAGACAACUGAAGUUUCAACAAUGUCCUACAUUGUGUGAAAACUGCCAACCGGAAGCUGGCGCAGAUUGGUCCAAGAUAUCACACAUCCGCAAUGUUCAUAUUGAAGACCAAAAGAUUAUCAAGUCACGUUGGAGGGUAUUUAUUUAUUGAGCAAUCUAAUCUAUCACUGUUCGAUGUACUUCUUUAUAAUUCUGAAAUACUAUUUCUUUUUCUUUUCUCCUUUUCUGAUCUCUCAGGGAAAAACUUAAAAAAAAAAAAGAGGAAAUUUCUGUUUUAUGAAUUUUUUAUAUUUUAGAUUUGAAAUUAAACACUUCAAAAUUGCUGCUGAAAAAAAUUCCCAAACUGAGAUGGAGAAUUAAUUAUGGAUGGUCUUAUUAUAUAGUACUACUAUAUGUUCUUAUGCAUGACAUUUUCGUUUGCAUUUCCUUUUAAUUUCUAGAAUUCAGAUUAACUGUCCUCUAAUUUCCAGUCAAAAAUAAAAAAAAAUAAUCAUAUAAUUUGCUCAAUGUAUACAACCUUUGCAAAUUUUAGUAAUCUGUAUUUUUUAAGUCACAGGUAAAUUAUGAACUGGAUACUUUGAUGAAAAUAAAGGAGUAGCAGGUGAGACUUCAAUCCAUCCAUAGCAUUCUACUAUAAUUAAAGUUCAUCAGCAAGAUUUUAUGAAAAUUUCAAUUCUUAUACAUUAUAUGUCAGACUUCUACGAAUUGAGAUUUAUAUAUAUAUAUAUAUACAUUCUUAUACUAAAUCAAAUAUACACAUCUUUAUGUAUGCACGUAUGUAUUUUUUAUGCAAAAUUAAAUAGAUUUUAUUAGAACGAAAAGUUUACAAAAUGUAUGUAUGUAUGUAUGUAUAUAUGUAUGUAUAUAUGUAUUUGGUACAUUGGAGCAGACUAAGUCGGAAAAAUUACACAAGAUGUUAGUCGGCAAAAUUACACAAGAUGUUUCGUUAUAUAUUAAACCUAUAGGAAUUGCAUUUUAGCUGUAUUUUUAAUUCAUUUAGUUUUAACCAAUGCAUGCAGCUCUCAAGAUGGAAAAUUCAGGGAAGGCGUGUUGGGUAUGGAAGGCUGGCAGUAAGCAUUUUACUUUGUUUGAUUUACAGUCUUUUUGCUGUUGUUAAGAUGCCUUCAAUUAAGGACUUUAUGGAAUAUUAUUGUUGUAAUAAAUGAAUGUGAUUUUAAUUUGUAUCAGAUGUAAUGUAAUUAACAGUGCUAUUCUGUAAGAUUUUGUUGUGAUAUUAUGUACCAGACAUACUUAAUUAUGUGUUUGUUGUGUUAUGACUAGUUUGUUUUAAAUUGCUCUUAGUUUAUCUGUAUCCCACUGUGGGCUUUUUCUUGGUUUGCUUCAGAUAUCAAGUCUCUUGGUUUGAUGUAACAUUUGUUGCCUUGAUGUUGCGUAUUGAUUGUAGUUCAUGCUUGUAACAUUGUUUGACCCCAUGUACCUAGAAUAUGUAUUUGUUUGCGUAAUCUACUUCAGCCAUUCAUUUCAGUGUUCUAUAUUCAGUUAUUGUUUCAUCGGGGUGAAUGAUAUUAUCUCAUUUAGAAAGCACUGGUUCUAAGCAAAAUCAGAACUUUACUUGGAGGUUGUUGCAUAACAGUUUUUUUUUUUUGAAAUUUUUCGACCGUUCGAUAAUAAUUUUGAAUCUCGAUUAAUUCAGAAUCAAAUUGAAUCAAAUCUCGUAAGUUCUUUCGAAAUUAUUUUUUUAUUUACAAAACUCAAAAACUAAAAUUUUACUUAAAGUUAACCAUCCGUGCUGCAUAACAGUUUAACUAUAACAAUCAAUGCACCCCUAAGUCGUGUGCAAAGUCUUAUAAAAGGUCACUUUUACUUGUUUUACACGACAGGGGAACGUGUGAAAUAAAAUAGAUAUUUAUUUGAAAAAUUUAUCAAUUAUCAGUAAAUUGAAUAAUUUGUUGCAUCAAAGUGAAACUCUAUGAGGUAUUCAUACAACACGAUACUAAUGAUGAUAAAAACAUUUUUAUAUAUUCUUUCUUCUCUCAAUUUAUUUGUUUUAAAAAAUUCUAAUUUUUGUAUUUAAUAUUAUAAUUUUAAUUUUUAUAAUAUUGAAGUAUCAUAUUUUUAUUGUCAAAAAAUAAAUUUUAAGUAUAAAGAUAAAAUAAAAGGUAUUCAGAAAUUUUGAAAAAUAUAUAUUUUGAAAUGACUCAAAAAUGAAAAAAAAAUGGAAGAAAUAUUACCUAUGUAAAAAUAUUCAAUGUAAAUAAGACCCAAAAUAAAAAUUUACAUUAUACCCAUAUUAAAUAAUUGAAUUAAGUUUAAGACCACACUUAAAAAUUCUUAAUUGCAAUAAAAUUAAGUUCAUUACCCAUAUUAUUUCCACCAGGUGAUGCUUAAAUCUAAAUAUGAAAUCCAUCAGUUGUUUAGUUUUCUAUCAGUUCGGCUUUAAAAAAAUUUUCAAGUAAAAUGCAUUUCGUUUCGUGUCCGUCGAUACACUCACUGAUUUUUUUUUUUUUUUUGCGUGUCCGUGGGUGUCCCUCGUGUUACGAUAGGGUGGAUGCCGUGAUUCCUGGAAAGCAUCCAUUUUUCAUUGUGCAAACAUUGAAAGCCUUUUUUUUUUUUUUGUUCUUUUGGUGGUGAUGUAGCUGAUCAUCAACCAAACCACAAGUAUAAAAGUACUGAUGGCUGCUAAAAUAAAAUAUUUACUCUAAACACACUUGUUUAAUUUCCCGGAAACAAACUUCAAUAUAAAUACUAUACUCAAUUGUCAUUUACCUUUGAUUACCUUUCCAGAGUUUAAUUAUGGCGGAAUCAUUUCUGGCCAUCGUUGCAGAACAGAUUUAGGAAAAGAUAGUAUCCCUGGCUGCCAAAGAAACUAUUUCGCUUUGGAAUGUCAGUAGUGAUUUGAGAAGGCUUAAGGAAACCAUGACCUACAUAAUGCUGUGCUGUUAGAUGCUGAAAAACGGUAGCACCAGAACGAGACGUUACGCCUUAGUUUGGGGAAGCUUAGAGACGUCUUAUAUGAUGCUGAGGAUGUGCUUGAUGAAUUCACGUGUGAAGUGCUGCGAAAGGAGUUGAUCAAUCGUGGAAGCGCCACCAACAAAUUGGUACGAUUACCUACUCUCUCUAUUCCAUUUGCAUUCCCUUUGAGGAUGAGUCAUAAAAUCAAAAAGAUCAAUGAAAAGCUAGAUGCGAUGGCUAGUGAUUUCAAAAAAUUUAAUCUUGGACUUGAAGAGAAAGUUGAGAACCGGCGUGUUAUUCUCAGGGAUACCCACUGCUUUGUGAUACCUUCUAAUGUGAUAGGUCGCAAUCGAGACAAAGAAAACAUCAUAAAUCUUUUGGUCAAGCCAAUCGAUACUGAAAAUAUACCCGUCAUCCCUAUAGUUGGAAUCGGAGGUUUAGGGAAGACCACGCUUGCUCAACUUGUGUACAACGAUGAAAGGAUCACUAGGGUCUUUCCCUUGAAAAUAUGGUUGUGUGUGUCAGAUGAGUUUGAUCUUGCUAGGUUGCUUUGUGAUGUUAUUUACUCCAUUACGGGAGAAAGAUGUGAUGGUUUACCAGUUAAUGCAUUGCAAACUCAUUUGCGAAUGCUUUUAAAUGGUAAAACUUUUUUACUCAUUUUAGAUGAUGUAUGGAACGAAAAUCAUGUAAAAUGGAUGGAACUGAGAGAUUUACUGAUGACAAUGGGUAAAUUUCAACAAAGUAAAAUCAUUGUGACUACACGGAGUUCAAAAGUUGCUUCGAUAGUGGGUACUAUUGCUCCGUACAACUUGAAAGGUCUUAGUCACAAAGAUUGUCUAUCUUUGUUUGUAAAAUGGGCAUUUAGGGAAGGAGAUGAGAAAGUAUAUCCAAACCUUAUGAGAAUUGGUGAUGAAAUUGUGAAAAAAUGCAAAGGGGUUCCAUUGGCGGUGAAAACUUUAGGGAGCUUGCUCUACUGAAAACUGAGCGACAUGAAUGGGAAUUUAUAAAAGAUAACGACAUAUGGAAACUUGAUCAAAAUGAAAAUGACAUUCUACCUAUGCUGAAAUUGAGUUAUAAUCAUUUGCCAUCUCAUUUGCAAAGGUGCCUAACUCGUUUGUCAUUGUUUCCAAAGGAUACUAUUUAUGAUACUGAUUAUAUCGUCCAAUUCUGGAUGGCCAUUGGACUUACUGAAAGCCCCAAGCAAAACGAAGAGUGGGAAGUUGUUGGGUUACGAUAUUUCAAAGAAUUAUGGUCGAGGGGUUUUGUCCAAGAUGUCGAGGUUGAAUAUACAUAUUACACAUUUAAAAUCCAUGACCUAAUACAUGAUCUCUUGUCAAAUGUGCCUUAAGAUGACUUUUUAACAAUUUAUCCUCAUACAAUAAAUGCUGCUGAUCAUAUUCGACAUCUGUCAUUUUCGGGUGAUAAUCCGUUAAGAGCUCCACAGUCAUUUUUGAAGAAUUUAAAAGGUGUGCGGACAUUGGUGAUCCUACCUUCUUCAGGAAGAAAUAGGAUAAUUGAGGAACAUUUUGUAAACGCUUCCAUCUUGAAUUUCAAGUUCCUGCGGCUACUUGAUCUCUCCUAUUCAUUUUUGGAAGUAUUGCCUAAUUCCGUUGGCACCUUGAAGCAUUUAAGAUAUCUUGACUUAUCCAGGUGUUAUAGAAUGAGCAAGCUUCCUCGUUCUAUCUAUAAGCUUCAAAGCUUGUUGACAUUAAGAUUGUUGGAUAUUGAUUGCCAAUUGCAACUGCCUCGCAAUUUGCAAAGUUUGGUCAAUCUCAGAUUCCUAGAUCUAACCGAGAUUCUCAUGGGAAAUUAACACCCACACACAACACUCAUAUACACAAAAUAACAAGCUCAAAUAAAAAAUAAAAACAUACAAAUAUAUUUGGUUCGACCCAAAUCAAAAUGAUUUACUCAAAACUCAAUCAACUAACAAUAAAUUUUUACAACUAUAAAACUUUUAGAAUGAAAAAAAUCUUCAAAAACUCUUUAUUUGAAAUUUAACCCAAAAUUUAAUUAUACCAUUUUAAUAACCUACUUAAUUAUUCUUUUGGUGUCUAACUUCUAAGACUCUCAAACCAAAACUAAAAUAUUUUAUUUAUAAGGAUGAAAUUUUUUAUAACUUUAUUAAGCUCUCAAUAUGAGAUAUAAGAUAAAUUCAAAACUCUUAAAAUUUUCGAUGUGUAAUUAUAAGAUUCAAAGCAAAUCCAAAGAGAUACUACGCAUAUAAGUGAGAUUCGACCAGGAUGUUGGAGUUCUCUUCAGUUCUUGUACUGCUACGGAUGUGAGUUGCAGGAAUAUUUGUUUGAAGGGAUGCAACACCUGACAUCACUUCGAAGUUUGACUAUAAAAUGUUGCUCUAAACUAGUCUCACUACCACGAAGUCUGAAAUUUCUAACCAAGCUGGAGUGUAUUACUAUAGUUGAAUGCCCAAUAAUCAAUUUACGCAUGGAACUGGAAGAAAGAGAAGACUGGGGAGCUUCACCUGUGCCUUUAGCAAUUGGAAAUACGAGGUGCACCAAAGUUGGAGGAUCUACCGUGAUUGCUUCUUGAUAGAUCUGCUAGUGUCACAGGUCGAGACUUAAACUUUGAAUUCGCGCAGUUUUGGGACCCCGGGCAUUCAUCCUUUCGGCUUCCCGGAUCAGCCUUCCCACCACGGUUCACACCCUUGUGAGGUAUUGUCUACUCUGACCCUCUGACCUCACAGUUUUGUUCUACAAAAGGCGCCUCACAAGACGGAGGUGGUGUGAACCCUUAUAUACUCCAGUGACCCUCCUAUUAUGUUCGAUGUGUGAUUCAGGACUCCCCUUAGGUCCGUGACAUUUAAUGCCGGAAGGGUGAAUGCCCGGGUCCCGGAGUCGCGUGAGUUCGGAGCUUAAGUCUCGACCCGUGACACUAGCACUUUGCAAUUUAUAAAAAUUAACCGCUGUCCCAACUUUGAGAUACUACCGGAAUGGCUACAAAAUCUGUCAUCACUUCAAAAACUUGAGAUUCUUGACUGCCCAAAAUUAUCCUCUUCCGGAUGGUUUGGAUCGCCUCACCUUGCUUACCCAACUACAGAUUCGAAAAUGUCCUACGUUGAGUGAAAAAUAUCAACCCGAAGUGGGUGCUGGUUGGUCCAAGAUAGCACACAUCCAAGAGGUUCAUAUUUAAGAUCACAAGAUUUACCAGGUAUGGUUCGUGGUACUUAUUAAUUUCUUUAUCUUUUAUCCCUUCAUUGCUAGUUAAAAUUGACCAUAUCAGUUCCUCUCUACGCAUGUAUUAUGCAUACAACAUUUGCAAAUUUUAAUGAUUUGUGCCUUUGGUCGCAGGUAAAUUUUGAAGUCGAUGCUUUGGUGAGAAUAAAGGAGCGGCAUGUGAGACUUCAAUCCACCCAUUUCCACAAGAUUCAUUCGAACUUAGCUUUUUUUUUUUUUUUGGAACAUUGCUUGGAAUUACUUUGAGUUGUAUUUUUAACUCAUUUCAUUUAGUUUUGAACUACUGCAUGCAGCUCUCAUGAUGGAUGAUUGAACCAAAGCCUGUCGGUAUAAAGGCUAGCGCUAGCUGGAAGCUUUUUAGUUUUUACUUUCUUUGAUUUAGAGUCUUUGUGCCAAUGAUUUGUUGGCUUCAAUUAUGGACUUUAUGGAAAUAUACUAUAAAAUGUAUGGCUGCGUAUAACCAGAAAAAUGAUUACUUGAAAUGCGUACCAUUUUAUAUGUUUCAACUAGCAAAGCAAGUUAAGAAUAAGAAUAUGCCAUCUAUCUAUUAUCUAUCAUAAAAUGAAACUCAACUAGAGAUGCAUAGUUGGGUGACACUAUGGGUGGAGAUUCAUCAUUUAUUCAACCUUAUGUCAAUACUGACUUUUUGCAAAAAAAAAAAAAAAAAUCUUGGAAGGAGAAAAAAAAAAACAGAAAGAUUGAGUCUGAAAAAGAAUGAACGGUGGAAAAACAAAGAAAACAACAAUCAAAAUUUACUAAAACUCAAAUCGAUCCAAAAAUUCACGCAUGCAGACAUCACAACCUUUUCCAACGCCUAUAACAAGCAAAUCACAUUUAAAGAAAAAAAGGGGGAAAAAAAGAGAACAUCAGAAAAACAAAUUGAGAAAAAAAAUUGUUUAGGUUGUUUUAAAGUUACAAUGCCCACUUGGUACCUCUCUUGAAUGGUUAGGUUCUGUUUUAUAUAUAGCUAGCUGUUUCCUUCAUGUUUCCUUUCCUUUGAAAUGGGCAUGGCAGACAAACCAAAAAUGUCGUUUUCAUUAAAUAAAAUGAUAGUGUUAUUGCAUCUUUCAUUAAAUAAAAUGAUAGAGUUAUUACACUAUCAUCACUCUGCGGUCCAUCUAAAUCUAAGUCUAAUACCAUCAUUGUGUUAUUGCACCUUUCAUUAGAUGAUGUACCUGCAUUACUUGAUGUAAUCAUCCUUGGAAUUGACCCAUUAAUUAUGAGUGUUCCCAUAUUUUUGUAAUUAGCAUAAAGAAGGAUGAUAACGGGUUAAAUCAAAGUGAAUUUUUAUUUAAUUUAAUUUUAAUUUAAUUUUUUAAUUUUUAUACUCAAUUUUAAUUUUAUUCGACAUCAAAAUAUUAUUUUAUUCAAUUUGAUUAAUAUAUUUAUAAAUUACGACGAAUUUAUUUCGAUUCAAAAUUAAUAUAAUAAUUUAAUUUAAUACAAUAUCAUAAAAUAUUAUUUCUAAAUAUAAAUUAUAUCUUAGUUAUAUAUAAUAUAAAAUUUUUAUUAAAUCAAUAUCUUAAAUUAAAAUAUUAAAUAAUUAUUUUAUUAACGUAAUAUAUAUAAACAUAAAAUUAAAUAAAUAAUAAAAAUAUUUUUUUAUAUACACGCAUCUAGUGGAGUUGGAACAACUUAAAAUCCAACUUCAACUUAAACCCAAUUUAAAGAAAAAAAAAAAAAGGAAAUCCAAUCCACUUUUGAUCUGAUUUUUUAUUUAAAAAAAUUUUAUUUUAUUUAAAAUUAAUUAAAAUCUCUAAGAUAUAAAUUAUUUUAUCACCUAAAUAUAAUUUUAUAAAAUUUCUCGAUGUUAAAGUAUAAGGCUUAUAUCUUUUUAUACACUCUGCUUCAACUGUUUGUCGUGUUCUGAUUCAUUAAUUAAACGAUUAUCUCAUUCAAGUAUCUCCAUUUCGCAUAAAUUCAUCCAUUAUUGUCUAUCGAGAAGGCCCAUAAAAGGUGACUAUAAGUUAAAUCGCGAUUUGGAUUCGAAAGUAUCCCUAGCAUAAAUAUACUUGGCAUGAAAAAUUGUGCAAACGCAUUGAACACGCAAUUGGAUGUCCAUCACGAAAUCAACUUUUACUCGUUGAAUUUUUUGGUUUUAGUGGAUGAACGCUCGAUUGCAUUUUUUUUUUUUUACCAUUUUAAUUGUAUUGAAGAGACAAAAAAAUAUUUUUAUAAUUUAACCUUUUAUUUUUUUUAUUUAAUAUAAUAAAAAUACUAUUUGAUAAAUUAUUAUUUUUAUUAAUUAUCAAUUAUUUAUUAAUAAAUUAUUAUUUGACAUAAAUUAUUUGAAUAAAUUUAUAAUUAUUUAUUAAUUUUAUAAAUUUUAAAUUUUUAAAAUUUUUUAUUAUAUAUAAUUUUUAAUUUAAUAUCUUAUAUGAUUUUUUAUUCUCACUAUAACUUAAUUUAUCUUUAAUAUUUUUGUUUUAUUCAAACACAUAUCUCACAACUAUUUUUACUCUUAUUAUUAUUAUAAUUAUUUUUACUUUUAUUAAUAUUUUUAAUUUAAUCAAAAUCAUUCUUAUCAUUCAUUCAAAUUAACUUUAACACAAAGAAGUAGAAUAGUAAUCAAAAUCCUAUUACUAACUUAGCGUGAAGGAGGAAGACUUCGUCGAAAUUUUUUUUUUUUUUUUUAAAUUGAUUAGUUCCACAAUAUUAAGAAAUUUGAUAGAGAGAAAUCUUAUUAACUUGCUGGGGAGUGGAUGGACCGUCAACGUCUAGUCGUUUGUGUACAGUUUUCGCCAAAUGAAUAAAUUAUUCGAAAAUAUAUACAUCUUGGAAAGCUAUAUAUGAAGAUCAACUGGCUGGCUCAAGGGCAAAGUCAAUGAACUGCUCAGAGAAAAAGAGAGCGUUGACCUGUCUUUUAACUUAAUAACCUUCGUCUUUUCUUUGAUUUCAGAGUUCAGAUAUGAAUGAAUUAUUCUUAUUCGAGAUUGCAGCAAGUGUUUUGGAGAAGAUAACUUCCCUUGCUAUUGAGGAAGUUCGCUUGGCAUGGUUUGUCGAAAGCCAUCAGCAAAAGCUUCGGGAGACCUUGACCUUGUCAAUGGAAAAGACAAUAUACACGUGCAUGUGCAGCCGGCUAGCUUUUGUCAAGGCAUUUCCUUUUUUUCAUGCCUUGUGCUAGGUUUUUUUUUUCAGUUCAAUAGUUCCAGCUUUGACAUUGAUAGCUGAAAAGUGAGCAGAUGUGUUCCAUUUGCCAACCAUGACUUUCGACUAUGAACUUUUCCAGCACCUGGUGUAACCUUUGUUGCUCCACAUUAGCACAAGCACACAAAAUUUGUCCCCAUACUCAACGUGAACAUGCAUAAUUUUGGAUAGGUAAAUGUAGCUUCCGGUUAUUUCCAUGCAUGAAUGAAAGCCACUAUAUCCAUCAUAUCGAACACUGUGAACUUAGUCAUAUGACUUUUCCGGUAACUGCCACUCAUCAAAACAUUAAGAAUAUUGUUGCCACUUAUAAUCUAUUAUUUCGAACAAAAUUAAAUAUUUAUAUUCACUUAAUAUCUCUUUUGAUUGGUUAGAUUCUGUUUUAGUGCUGUUUCUUUGUAUUUUUUUUUUAAAAUUUUGUUGGAUAUGAAGUGACAAACAAAAUAAUAUAUCAUAAUAAAUUUGUAGCAAUAAAUAAUAAUUAAUAAUUAAUAAUGUAGGAAAAUAAAAUACAUCAAAAUUUAUUUAAAAACUCUUUUAAUAUAGAAAAAAAUUAUAGAUCACCAAAAAAUUUUUUAUUAUUGAAUAAUAAAUAUAUAAAAUUAUCUUUUAGUUAAACUAAAAUUAAUCAACAACUAAAAAAAUAAUUUAAAAAAUUUCACUAAAUAAAAGACUCAAUAAAUAUAUUUUAAAAAAAUUUUAAAUUUGAUUUUUACUGUUUAAAAUAUAAAAUACAAAAUCAUAACUUACUCAUAAAAUUUUAAUUAAAUUAAAUCAGACAACUCUCUUUUUUUUUUUCUAUUUUUUUAAUUUUUUUUUCUCGGUUUCAGCGUCACUCCACUUUUACACCUAAACAGUUCCCACUUCUUUAUUAUUUAAAUCUUUCAUUUCACGUUAAGUUAAAAGGCCUUGCCCAUGAAUGGUCAAAACCAAAAGAACCCCACGUUCUUAACAUCUUUUGCAAUGGACUCGACAAUCGGGCAUUACGCUUAAAAGUUUAAAGUUGAAAUUUUAAACUUGAUUUAUCAGUCUAAUACAAAAUCAGGUAUACAAAGUUUCUUCGAUUUCCCUAGCCUAAAUUUCAAAAAAAAAAAAAAAAAGAACUUCUUGGAAUAAAGUAGGAAUAUCCAAAAGUCAACUCUUUUUCCAUCAAGAAUUUUUCAGAGUAUUAACAUCAGUAUAUUGUUGUGUGUUUCAUCGAUGGAAAGAUUGAUUUUGUAGGCAAACAAAAAAUAUGUGAUUUUCGAUAAAUAAAUGAUAGUGACUUACACUAUCAUCACGCAGUUGAUGCGUCUAAUAGUAUAAACAAAUGAUAAUGCUUAUACCUAUUAUGUACCAAUAAAAGGAAAAAAAUUAGUGUAAUUUUUUAGAGUGAAAUUAAAUUCUAUCAUUUUAUUAAGAUUUUUUUACAUUUACACAUUGAAUUUUAAAAUUAUAUAUUAUAAUUUAUAUCAAUAAAAAAUAAAAAAUAUAUUUUUUUCAAUUUCAUUAAGCAUAUAUAUAAUUAUUAAUAAAAUUUUAAAUUAUAUUAUUUUUAUAUUUUUUUGUCAUAGUAUGAUAUAUAUUUAAAAUUCAUAGAUCUAAUCAAGAAUAUUUUUUGACCGUGUACAUUUUAUUUUUUUGGCGUGUUAGUGGUGCCUCACUCGUUUCUCGAUAGUAGAUGCCGUGCUUCCUCGGAAAGCAUCCUUUUGCAAACAUUGUAUGCCCUUCUUUUUUUUUUUUUUUUUGUCUUUUUUUAAUCUUUUGGUGGCGAUGUGGCGGAUCAUAAACCAAACCACAAGUAUAAAAGUAGUCUGGCUGUUAAAAUAAAAGUACCGUCGGUUGUUAAAAUAAUUUUAAAAUAAAAGUACUGUUAGCUGUUGAAAUAAAAUUUUUAUUUUAUUUUAAAAUAAAGGAAGUGGUGGCCGCUGAAAUAAAAGCUGUUCGGAAAAUAAAUAAAUAAAUAACUCUUUAUUUUAAAACAUUGAGAAAAUAAAAAAUGGAAGAAAUAUUAUUUAUUGUAAGAAUAUUCAAUGUAAAUAAGAUCCAAAAUAAAAAUUUACAUUAUACCGAUAUUAAAUAAUUAAAUUAAGUUAAAGUCCAAACUUGAAAAUUCUUAAUUGCAAUAAAAGUUCAUUACUCAUUAUUUUCAAAAAGAAUGUAAUCAAGUUAAGUCAAUAUAUUACAAUACUCGAAUUAGAUUCAAAAAUUAAAUCAAAUUGAUCGAAUUUUAUUUAUUAAGCUCAAAUUAAAAGCUCGUUCCAUAAAAUUUAUUAUCUAAUCAAAUUUAUAAAUUUAAUCAUAUGCUUAAAGUAAAAUUUAAUUAAUUGAUUUAAAUUUUAAACUAAACUUAAAUCGAUAUUUUUUUUAUAAAUAAUGAUAUUUUUAAAAUAAUUUCGUAACAAUAUAACAUACUCACCAUCCAAUUAAAAAUUUUUCUAAACAUUAAAAAAAAAAAACCCAAACAACCAAAUCCAAGAAUUUCUUAAAAGGUUCCAAUUUAACUAACAAUAGCUCUCACUAAAACUAUACUAAAAUUGAAAACAAAAACAGCACUAAAACAAGCAUUAUUGCCAGCAUAUAUUAUUCAAACAGUUUCUUUUUUUCUUUUAAGUAGUUAAAGUAGAAAUAAACAAUAUUCAGUAGCUAUCUUUUAGACAAGGGCCAUAGCUAAAGGUUUAGUAAAAUUACUUGCUAAACCUUCAAAGGUUUAGCCUUUGAUUUUUCUAUGUAAAUUGAUGUUGAUCGAAGGUAGGGAUAAGCAUGUGGAUAUAACUUACUGUAUAUGCAGACAGCUAUGUUGAAAUAAGGCAUGAAGGAAGAGUGCUAGAAAGGAAAGGUGUGGUUGCUAUUGGUGUCCCACUAGUUACGAGAGAGUGGAUGCCCCCUGGAAAGCAUCAUUAUUCCUUGUGCCAACAUUUGAUGGUUUUUUACUGCUGGCUGCUAAAAUAAAAUAUUUACUGUAAACUCACUUGUUUAGUUUCCCUGAAACAAACUUCAUCAUAAAUACUAUACUCAAUCGUCCUUUACCUUUGAUUGCCUCUUCAGAGUUUAAUUAUGGCGGAAUCAUUUCUGGCCCUUGUUGCAGAACAGCUUUUGGAGAAGAUAGCCUCCCUGGCUGCCAAGGAAACUCUCUCCCUGGCUGCCAAAGAAAUUCUAUCACUAUGGAAUGUCAGUAGUGAUUUGAGAAGGUUUCAGGAAACCAUGACCUACAUCAAAGCUGUGCUGUUAGAUGCUGAAAAACGGCAGCAGCAGAAUGAGACGUUGCGCCUUAGUUUGGGGAAGCUUAGAAACGUCUUAUAUGAUGCUGAGGAUGUGCUUGAUGAUUUCAGGUGUGAAGCACUGCGAAAGGAGUUGAUAAAUCGUGGAAGCACCAAGGUACGAUUCCCUUCCAUCUUUAUUCCAUUUGCAUUCCCUUUAAGGAUGGAUCAUAAAAUCAAAAAGAUCAAUGAAAGGCUAGAUAUGAUUGCUAGUGAUUUCAAAAGAUUUAAUCUUGGAGCUGUAGAGCAAGUUGAGAACCGGCGCACUAGUCUCAGGGAUACCCAUUCCUUCGUGAUAACUUCUAACGUGAUUGGUCGAAAUCAAGAUAAAGAAAAUAUCAUAAAUCUUUUAAUCCAGUCAAGCGAGGGUCAAAAUAAUAUUCCCGUUAUCCCUAUAGUUGGAAUAGGAGGUUUGGGGAAAACUACGCUUGCUCAGUUGGUGUACAAUGAUGAAAGAAUCACUCGGUGUUUUCCAUUGCAAUUAUGGGUGUGUGUAUCAGACUUGUUUGAUGUUUCCAGGUUGCUUUGUGAGAUUAUUUACUGCUUAAGUCGUGAAAGGUGUGAUGGUUUACCAGUCAAUGCACUGUUCACUCUUCUGCAAAGUCUUAUAAAAGGUCAAAAAUUUUUACUUGUUUUAGAUGACGUGUGGAACGAAAAUCGUGUUAAAUGGUAUGAAUUGAAAGACAUGUUGGUGAAAUUGGAUGAUUUGCAUCAAAGUAAGAUCCUUGUAACCACACGGAGUUCAGAGGUCGCAUCAAUAGUGGGUACAGGUGCUCCUUAUGAAUUGAAAGGUCUUGAACAUCAAGAUUGUUUGUCUUUGUUUGCAAAAUGGGCAUUCAAGGAAGGAGACGAGGAGCUAUAUCCGAACCUUAUGAGGAUUGGUAAUGAAAUUGUGAAAAAAUGCAAAGGGGUUCCUCUGGCAGUGAGAACUCUGGGGAGCUUACUUUAUUCAAAAACUGGGCAACGUGACUGGGAAUUGAUAAGAGAUAACGACAUCUGGAAGCUUGACCAAAAGGAAGAUGGCAUCUUACCGGUCCUAAAAUUGAGUUAUAAUUAUUUGCCACAUCACUUGAAACGAUGUCUGGUCUUUUUGUCUUUAUUUCCAAAGGAUUCUGACUAUGACACUGAUUAUAUCAUCCAAUUCUGGAUGGCCAAUGGACUUCUUGAACGUCCCAACCAAAACGAAGACGAACGCAUCGAAGAUGUUGGGUUACAGUAUUUCAAGGACUUAUGGUCAAGGUGUUUUGUCCAAGAUGUCCAAGAUAGAAACUCAUUUUAUAUCUUCAAAAUGCAUGAUCUGAUACAUGAUCUCUUAUUAAAUGUUUCACAAGAAGAGUGCUUAACAGUAUAUCAACAAACCGUGAAUGCUUCUGAAAAUAUUCGGCAUUUGUCAUUUUCUGAUCAAAAUAUUCCAUUGAGAACUCCACUUUUUUUGAAGAAGUUGAAACGUGUGCGCUCAUUAGUAAUCCUACCUUCUCCAGGACACUGUAGGAUGGUUGAGAAAUCAUUUCUGAGUGCUUGCUUCUUGAAUUUUAAGUACCUACGGCUAUUUGAUCUGGAACAUACCUUUUUGGAGGUAUUACCAAAAUCCAUCUGCACCUUGAAGCAUUUACGGUAUCUUAACUUAACUAGGUGCAUGAGAUUGACUAGGCUUCCUAAGUCCAUCUAUAAGCUCCAGAGCUUGCUGACUUUGAGAUUAUUUGAUGUUCCAAAUUUGCAAGUGCGUGACAACUUGCAAAGAUUGAUCAAUCUCAGAUUUCUAGAGAUUACUGCGGCUGAUAUGCAGUUAAAGGAGAUUCGACCUGGGAGUUGGAGUUCACUUCAGUUCUUAUACUUUUACGAGUGUAAGACACUGGAAUGUUUGUUUGAAGGGAUGCAAUACCUCACAUCUCUUAGAAAUUUGAUUAUGAAGAAAUGUUAUAGACUCGUCUCACUGCCUCGAAGUCUGAAGUUCCUAGUCAAAUUGGAGGAAAUUGCAAUUAUUUCCUGCCCAAUGAUCAAUUUACGCAUGGAACCGGAAGGCAGAGAAGACCAAGACCUUCACUUGAGCCUUCAGAAGUUGAUAUUACGCGAUGCACCAAACUUGGAGGAUCUGCCUCAAUUGCUUCUUGAGGGAUCUGUUGGCUGUUUGCAGUUCAUUGAAAUCCAGCAUUGCCGCAACUUUGAGAUGCUACCAGAAUGGCUAAAAAACCUCAAUUCACUUCAAAGACUGGAGAUUCUUAAUUGUCCCAAAUUAUCCUCUCUUCCCGAUGGAGUAGACCAUCUCACUGCACUUAGACAACUGAAGAUCCAAAAAUGUCCUACAUUGUGUGAAAACUGUAAACCGGAAGCUGGCGCAGAUUGGUCCAAGAUAUCACACAUCCGGGAGGUUCAUAUUGAAGACCAAAAGAUUAUCAAGUCACCUUAGAGGUAUUUUUUUAUUUAGCAAUCUAAUCUAUCACUGUUCGAUGUACUUCUUUAUAAUUCUGAAAUACUAUUUCUUUUUCUUUUCUCCUUUUCUGAUCUCUCAGGGAAAAACUUAAAAAAAAAAAAAGAGGAAAUUUCUAUUUUAUGAAUUUUUUAUAUUUUAGAUUUGAAAUUAAAUACUCCAAAAUUGCUGCUGAAAAAAAUUCCCAAGUUAAGAUGGAGCAUUAAUUAUAGGAUGGUCUUAUUAUAUAGUACUACUAUAUGUUCUUAUGCAUGACAUUUUCAUUUGCAUUUCCUUUUAAUUUCUAGAAUUCAGAUUAAACGUCCUCUAACUUCCAGUAAAAAAUUAAAAAAAAAUGAUCAUAUAAUUUGCUCAAUGUAUACAACAUUUGCAAAUUUUAAUAAUUUGUAUUUUUGAUGUCUAAGGUAGAUUAUGAACUGGAUGCUUUGAUGAAAAUAAAGAAGUAGCAGGUGAGACUUCAACCCAUCCAUAGCAUUCUACUCUAAUUAAAGUUCAUCAGCAAUAUUUUAUGAAAAUUUCAAUUCUUAUAUAUUAUAUAUCAGAAUUUUACGAAUUGGGAUUUUUAUAUAUAUAUAUAUAUACAUUUUUUAUACUAAAUCAAAUAUAUAAAUCUUUAUGUAUGCAUGUAUGUAUUUUUUUUGCAAAAUUAAACAGAUUUUAUUUGAAUGAAAAAGUUACAAAAUGUAUGUAUGUAUGUCUUUGGUACAUUGGAGCAGACUAAGUCUGCUAAAUUACACAAGAUGUUUCGUUAUAUAUUAAACCUAAUAGGAAUUGCAUUUCAGCUGUAUUUUUAACUCAUUUAGUUUUAACCAUUGCAUGCAGCUCUCAUUAUGGAAAAUUCAAGGAAGGCGUGUUGGGUAUGGAAGGCUGGCUGUAAGCUUUUUACUUUCUUUGAUUUACAGUCUUUUUGUUGUUUUUAACUUGCCUUCAAUUAAGGACUUUAUGGAAUAUUAUUGUUGUAAUAAAUGAAUGUGAUUUUAAUUUGUAUCAGAUGUAAUGUAAUUAACAGUGCUAUUCUGUAAGAUUUAUUGUGAUAUUAUGUACCAGACAUACUUAAUUAUGUGUUUGUUGUGUUAUGACUAGUUUGUUUUAAAUUGCUCUUAGUUUUUCUGUAUCCCAUUGUGGGCUUUUUCUUGGCUUGCUUCAGAUAUCAAGUCUCUUGGUUUGAUGUAACAUUUGUUGCCUUGAUGUUGCGUAUUGAUUGUAGUUCAUGUUCGUAACAUUGUUUGACCCCAUGUACCUAGAAUAUGUAUUUGUUUGCGUAAUCUACUUCAGCUAUUCAUUUCAGUGUUCUAUAUUCAGUUAUUGUUUCCUCGAGGUGAAUGAUAUUAUCUCAUUUAGAAAGCAUUGGUUCUAAGCAAAAUCAGAACUUUACUUAGAGGUUGUUGCAUAACAGUUUUUUUUUUUGAAAUUUUUCGACGAUCGAUAAUAAUUUUGAAUUUUGAUUAAUUUAGAAUCAAAUUGAAUCAAACCUCAUAAAAAAAACUAAGUUCUUUCAAAAUUAUUUUUUUAUUUACAAAACUCAAAAACUAAAACUUUAAUUAAAGUUAACCAUCUAUGCUGCAUAACAGUUUAACGAUAACAAUCAAUGCAUCCCUAAGUCGUGUGUAAAGUCUUAUAAAAGGUCACUUUUACUUGUUUUACACGAGGGGGGAACGUGUGAAAUAAAAUGGAUAUUUAUUUGAAAAAUUUAUCAAUUAUCAGUAAAUUGAAUGAUUUGUUGUAUCAAAGUGAAACUCUAUGAGGUAUUCAUACAACACGAUACUAAUGAUAAUAAAAAUAUUUUUAUAUAUUCUUUCUUCUCACAAUUUAUUUGUUUUAAAAAAUUAUAAUUUAUGUAUUUAAUAUUAUAAUUUUAAUUUUUUAUAAUAUUGAAUUAUCAUAUUUUUUAUUAUCAAAAAAUAAAUUUUAAGUAUAAAGAUAAAAUAAAAGGUAUUCAAAAAUUUUAAAAAAUAUAUAUUUUGAAACGACUCAAAAAUGAAAAAAAAAUGGAAGAAAUAUUACCUAUGUAAAAAUAUUCAAUGUAAAUAAGACCCAAAAUAAAAAUUUGCAUUAUACCCAUAUUAAAUAAUUGAAUUAAGUUUAAGACCACACUUAAAAAUUCUUAAUUGCAAUAACAUUAAGUUCGUUACCCAUAUUAUUUCCACCAGGUGAUGCUUAAAUCUAAAUAUGGAAUCCAUCAGUUGUUUAGUUUUCUAUCGGUUCUGCUUUAAAAAAAAUUUUCAAGUAAAAUGCAUUUCGUUUUGUGUCCGUCGAUAUACUCACUGAUUUUUUUAUUUUUUUUGCGUGUCCGUGGGUGUCCCUCGCGUUACGAUAGGGUGGAUGCCAUGCUUCCUGGAAAGCAUCCAUUAUUCAUUAUGCAAACAUUGGAAGCCUUUUUUUUUUUUUUUUGUUCUUUUGGUGGUGAUGUAGCUGAUCAUCAACCAAACCACAACUAUAAAAGUACUGAUAGCUGCUAAAAUGAAAUAUUUACUCUAAACUCACUUGUUUAAUUUCUCGGAAACAAACUUCAAUAUAAAUACUAUACUCAAUUGUUAUUUACCUUUGAUUACCUCUCCAGAGUUUAAUUAUGGCGGAAUCAUUUCUGGCUAUCAUUACAGAACAGUUUUUGGAAAAGAUAGUAUCCCUGGCUGCCAAAGAAACUCUAUCGCUUUGGAAUGUUAGUAGUGAUUUGAGAAGGCUUAAGGAAACCAUGACCUACAUCAAAGCUAUGCUGUUAGAUGCUGAAAAACGGCAGUAGCAGAAUGAGACGUUGCGCCUUAGUUUGGGGAAGCUUAGAGACGUCUUAUAUGAUGCUGAGGAUGUGCUUGAUGAAUUCAGGUGUGAAGCGCUGCGAAAGGAGUUGAUCAAUCGUGGAAGUGUCAUGCCUUGGGCGGGUGCACCAGGCACAUCUGGCGCACCAACACGCGCAUUUGAGGUUGAGGCCCACGCACUAGGUGCAUUGGCAGGAGUUAGUGCCCAAUGCCUUGGAGGCAUGGCCAGAAUGCCCGCACAGCCUGUAGGCCAGCCCGCAAGGCCAAGGUCUAGCCUGCAUAAUGCCUGUACCAUAUCUAGUAGGGCCCAAGAUGAGAGAUAUGCAAGGGGAUCUUUUGGAAGAUCAUAGAAUCAACAAGAGCUUUCUAGUAGAUCUGGUUAAUCCUUAGAAUCAGGAGAUAGAAUCCUGAUUGAUUGUAAUAUUCGUAAUUCCUUUAUUUUAACCUUGAUUCUAGGGAUUUAGCCAUAAGUAUAGCUGGGAGCCUCAACUAUGAAUAGAGGGCUGCUCCACCUUCAUUUGUACAUCAUCAUACACUUCUGUUUCAGUGAAUACAAAGCAUAUUCUAGCAAGCUAUUUUGUUUUCUUGUUUCUUUCAAACUUACGCAUUUAGCCCUUCCCAUUAUUUUAGUGCCCACACGCUGGUGUUUUAGGCUAACUUAGGCUACAAGGAAGUGAUUCCAAGCCUAAGGCCGCACGGAUUCUGAGUCUAAGGUCAGAGCCCGUGACAGUUGGUAUCAAAGCAAGUUCGCUUCUGCGUGUUUUUAUUGUUCAGGUUAGAUCACAGUCGAGGAGAUGGCAUCCUAGAGUGACGUUGCUAGCCAACAACCAAAGGCCCAGGAGCAGGGGCAUGAAAGAGGCAAGAAGGCUAACUUAAGAGACAUCUGGUCUACCAUGGACGGUAGGUUGGCCAAGGUGGAGGUGAGCAUGGGCAACAUGCAAGAGAAGCUUAAGGAUGUGGAGACUCACGUUGAAAUGCUAGACUCCAUGAAAAAGGAGCUCAGUGGCGAGUUACAAGCUGCUUUCAAUAAAGGCAUGAACGUGAUCACCCAAAAGAAUAAGAUCUUAGAGGCUGUGGUGGAGACCAUGUGCGAUGGCAUGGAGGCUAUGAGCAAGAAGAUAGAGGAGCUCACCAGCGAGCUCAUUGUUUGCAAGACUGCCAUUGGGAAUGGCAUGUUUGCUGGAGUGUCUAAAUCCAGGAUGGAUGUCUCCAAGCCUAAAGAGUUGAAGGAAUUAAAGUGGCUAAAGAAGUAGACAACUACCUAUGAGGUAUGGAGCAGUACUUCCAGGCCAUGGGCAUGCAGGAUGAGGCAAUAAAGGUAAGCACUACUACUAUGUAUCUUACUGAUAUAGCCUUAUUGUGGUGGAGGCAUAGGUAUGAUGAUGUUAGGCAUGGCAGCGCCAAGAUUGGAACCUGGACAGAGUUUCAAAAAGAGUUCAGAGAACAAUUUUACCCAAAGUAUGCCAAUGAUGAGGCGCAGGCAAAGUUACGUAGGCUGAGCCAACAAGGGGACAUAAGGGAGUAUGUCUAGAGAUUCUUUAAACUGAUGUUACAAAUAUCAGAUCUAGGUGAAAUGAUGCCUUAUUUACUUUUAUGGAUGGGCUGAAGCCGUGAGUGAAGCAUGAGCUACAACGGAGGGGAGUUCAUGACUUGGCUAAAAUCAUGACUACUGUUGAAUCUUUAAUAGAGUUUAAGCCUCUGAACAAGUUCGAGUCUUCCAAACCCAAGGGUAAAGACAAGGAUGAGAGGGACCGAAAGAAGUAGUCCAAAGGGAAAUACCGUGAUUGGGAGUCCAAGGAUGAGGAUCGAGACCGUUCAACUAAUGAUGGCAAGAGGAAACCACCAAUAGGCAAUUGAAAAGCAAAGGAAGAUCGAGAACCAUUAGCAUGCUACUUAUGUGAAGAGAGCCAUACAGCACGCAAUUACCUACAGAAAGGUAAACUAGCUACUGUAGACAAAGAGUCUGACGAGGAGCCAGAGAUAGGGGCAGCAAAGCUUAGGUCGUUGGUGCUCAAUGUUGUCCAAAGUAAGGGGAACCUCAAGCCAAAGGGCUUGAUGUUUACGGAUCUGAUGGUUGCAGGUCAGAAGGUGAGCACACUGAUGGACACAGGUGCCUCACAUCUUUUUAUUUCAAGUGAUGGAGCCUAGAAGCUCAGACUAAAGGUACAAAAAGAGACAGGUACCAUUAAAACGAUGAACUCCAAAGAUAUUUCAGCCAUUGAAGUAGCGCGAAGAGUGGAGUUACAGCUUGGAGACUAGAAAGACAAGAAGACCAUAGAGGUAAUACCCCUUGACGACUAUGAAUUUAUGAUUAGGUUAAAUUUUCUUGUUCGGAUUAACACCCUCUUUGUGCUUUUUACCAAUUGUAUUUGCAUCUUGAAUGCAUGGUGCCAAUGCCUAGUGCCAUUGAGGAGAGGGUUCGAAGUUGGGUCACAAGUGGUGUCAACUAUCCAAUUUGCCAAGCGAUAAACAGAAAAGAAGACACCUUCUUGGUAGCCCUAAAAUAUGAGAAGCCAAGGGAGAAGGAGACCAAGUCACCUUUGGAAGUGCUGAAGGUACUGAAGACUUUUAGUGAUAUGAUGCCCGUAAAGUUGCCUAACCAGCUACCACCUAAGAAAGAGGUGGAUCACAAGAUCGAGCUGGUGUCCAAGGCCAAGCCACCAGCUAGAGCCCUUUACCGAAUGUCCCCACCAGAGUUGGAGGAAUUAAGGAAGCAACUCAAAGAGUUAGUUGAUGCUGGCUUCAUCAGGUCAUAAAAGGUACUAUAUGGUGUAUCAAUUUUAUUCUAGCGUAAGCAUGAUGGGUUAUUACGAUUGUGCAUAGACUACCGGGCUUUGAACAAGCUGACCGUCAAGAACAAGUAUCCUAUCCCACUCAUUACGGACUUGUUCGACCAACUUGGAAGCAUAAGGUGGUUCACCAAGCUGGAUUUGAGGUCGAGCUAUUACCAAGUCAGGAUCGCGAAGGGAGAUGAGCCCAAGAUAGCAUGUGUCAAUCAGUAUGGUUCGUAUGAGUUCCUGGUCAUGCCAUUCGGACUCACGAAUGCCCCAGUAACAUUCUGUACCCUUAUGAACAAGGUACUUCAGUUGUUCCUUAAUCGAUUUGUUGUGAUUUAUUUGGAUGACAUUAUGAUCUACAGCCAAACUUUGAGAGAACAUGUAGACCAUUUAAGAUAAGUGUUCGUGGUGUUGUAGGCGUACAAGCUAUUUGUCAAAAGGAAAAGUGCUCAUUUUCCUAGCAAGAGAUCUCAUUCUUAGGCCACAUAGUGAAAGGUAACGGGAUACACAUGAAUGAAGGUAAGAUGCACGCCAUUCUGGAGUGGGAAUCGCAAGCCAAGGUCAUUGAGUUGAGGUCAUUCCUUAGGCUGGUUAACUACUACAAGCACUUUAUGAAAGGUCACUUAGCAAUAGCCACGCAAUUGACUGAUUUGUUUAAAAAAUAGAGAGUAUAAGAGUGGAGCACAGGGUGCCAGAAAGCUAAGAAGCCUUUGAUAGGUUGAAGCAGGCUAUGACCAAAGAGCCAGUCUUGGCCUUGCCAGACUAUGCCAAGCUGUAUGAAGUGCAUACGGAUGCAUCAGACUUUGCUAUAGGGGACAUGUUGAUGCAGAAAAGACAUCCAAUCGUGUUCGAAAGCAAGAAGCUUAACGAGACUGAGCACAAGUACAUGGUCCAAGAGAAAGAGAUGACUGCAGUGGUGCACUGCUUGUGCACUUGGUGCCAUUACCUGUUGGGAUCGAGGUUCGUGGUUAGGACAGACAAUGUGACGACCAGCUACUUUCAGACGUAAAAAAAGUUAUCCCUUAAGUAGGUGAGAUGGCAAGAUUUUCUUAUGGAAUUUGAUUUCCAGAUGGAGUACAAGCCAGGAUGGGCGAACCUGAUGGCAGACGCCCUAAACAGAAAGGCUAACCUUGCUGUCAUUAGCCAACCAGAGGAGUCACUGGUGCCACGCAUCAAUGAGGGACUUGCGCAUGAUCCUAUAGCCAAGGCUCUUAUAGAGUAUGCCCAACAAUGUAAGAUUAAGUGGUUUUAGGCGCAAGAUGGUUUGUUGUACACCAAGGGUAGUAAACUGUUUGUACCACAGCAUGAAAAACUUCGUAAGGAAGUUUUGUAAGAGUGUCAUAAUUCAAGGUGGGUUGGACACCCAGGAGUGAGCUGUACCUUGGCAUUGCUAGAGGAUCAGUACUAUUGAUCGUAUAUGAGGGACGAUGUGAAGGCCUAUGUGAAGACUUGUCUUGUGUGCCAAUAGACAAGGUAGAGCUCAAGAAAUCAGACGAUCUCUUGGAGCCAUUGCUAGUGCCAGAGCGACCAUAGGAGAGUGUUUCUCUAGACUUUAUAGUUGGUAUACCCAAAGCAGAGGGGUUUGAAAGCAUCAUGGUAGUGGUGGACAGGUUUUCCAAAUAUGGAAUCAUUAUUCCAGCAACCAAAAAGUGUUCAGCUGAAGAGAUAGCUCGAUUAUUCUUGAAGAACAUGGUUAAGUACUGGAGAAUGUCGAGGACCAUUGCUAGUGAUCAGGAUGGACGUUUCACGGGCAGGUUCUAGACUGAGUUGUUCAAGCUGUUGGGGUCAGACUUGAACUUUUCCACCAAUAUGCAUCAGUAGACCGAUGGGCAGACUGAACGUGUGAAUGAACUAUUGGAGGUCUACCUCAAACACUAUGUGAGUGCCACGCAAAGGGAUUGGCCAAAGUUGCUAAAUGUUGCAUAGUUUUCUUACAACUUGUAAAGGAGUGAGGCAACGAACCAGAGCCCAUCUGAGGUUGUGAUAGGUCAACAACCAUUAACACCCAGGUCAAUUGCUACAGGUUAUACAAGGCUGAAUCCAGCAGCAUACAAGUUUGCCAAGGCUUGGUAGGAGUAAGCUAACUUGGCCAGAGUCUGUCUACACAAAGGGACAAAGAGGUCGAAAAAAUGGGCAGACCAGAAUAGAUGGGACGUGCAGUUUCAAGUGGGAGACUUGGUGUUGGUAAAGCUGCAUCCCAUUAUGCAUCACAGGGGGUUGCACAAAGGCCUAAUCCGGAGGUAUAACGAACUUUUUCAAGUAGUCAAGAAGGGAGGCAAGGUUGCCUAUAAGCUGGAUAUGCCACCCAAGCUGAGGGUACAUUCGAUGUUCCAUGUAAGCAUGCUCAAGCCGUUUUAUAAGGAUGAGGGAAAUCCAGGACUGGCAAAGUCAAAGCGUGCAGCAUUGAGAGCAAGAGCCUCAUAUGAUAAGGAGGUCCACAACAUCAUAGCUGACCAAAAAAUGAGACAGAAAAAUUGCCAACCAAGAUAAAAGUACUUGGUGCGCUGGAAGGAACUUCCAGACAAUGAGGCAAGUUGGGAACCGGCAGAAGGACUUAUGGCAGUUUGGGGAUCAGAUCAUGUAGUACCAUACAGAGGACGCAAUGAGGGCAUAGUGUAAUCAGGUGGGGGAGAAUGUCACAACCCUAGGUGGGUGCACCAGGCACAUUAGGCGCACUAGCACGUGCACCUAAAGUUGAGGCCCGCGCACCAAGUACAUUGGCGAGAGUUAGCGCACAAGGCCUUUGGAGACAAAGCUAAAAUGCCUGCACAGCCUGCAGGAUAGCCCACAAGGCCAAGGUCUGGCUUACAUGAUGCCCGCACCACAUCCAGCAGGGCCCAAUAUGAGAGAUACGUAAGGGAAUCUUUUGAAAGAUCACAGGAUCAGUAAGAGCCUUUUGAUAGAUCUGGUUGACCCUUAGAAUCAGGAGAUAGAAUCCUGAUUGAUUGUAAUCUUUGUAAUUCCUAAUUUUAGCCUUGAUUCUAGGGAUUUAGCCAUAAGUAUAGCUGGGAGCCUCAACUAUAAAUAGAGGGCUGCUCCACCUUCAUUUGUAUAUCAUCAUACAUUUUAUUUUAGUGAAUACAAAGCAUAUUCCAGCAAGUUAUCUUAUUUUUUUGUUUCUCUCAAACUUGCGCAUUUAGCCCCGCAUGCUGGUGUUUUAGGCUAACUUAGGCUACAAGGAGGUGAUUCCAAGCUUAAGGCCGCAUUGAUUCUGAAUCUAAGGUCGAAGCCUAUGACAGAAGCACCACCAACAAAUUGGUACGAUUACCUGCUCUCUCUCUCUAUUCCAUUUGCAUUCCCUUUGAGGAUGAGUCAUAAAAUCAAAAAGAUCAAUGAAAAGCUAGAUGCGAUAGCUAAUGAUUUCAAAAAAUUUAAUCUUGGACUUGAAGAGAAAGUUGAGAACCGACGUGUUAUUCUCAGGGAUACCCACUGCUUUGUGAUACCUUCUAAUGUGAUAGGUCGUAAUCAAGACAAAGAAAACAUCAUAGAUCUUUUAGUCAAGCCAACCGAUACUAAAAAAUUCCCCGUUAUCCCUAUAGUUGGAAUUGGAGGUUUAGGGAAGACCACGCUUGGUCAACUUGUGUACAACGAUGAAAGGAUCAUUAGGCUCUUUCCUUUGAAAAUAUGGGUGUGUGUGUCAGAUGAGUUUGAUCUUGCUAGGUUGCUUUGUGAUGUUAUUUACUCCAUUACGAGAGAAAGAUGUAAUGGCUUGCCAAUUAAUGCAUUGCAAACUCAUUUGUGAAUGCUUUUAGAUGGUAAAACUUUUUUACUCAUUUUAGAUGAUGUAUGGAAUGAAGAUCAUGUAAAAUGGAUGGAACUGAGAGAUUUACUGAUGACAAUGGGUAACUUUCAACAAAGUAAAAUCCUUGUGACUACACAGAGUUCAAAAGUUGCUUCGAUAGUGGGUAUUAUUGCUCCGUACAACUUGAAAGGUCUUAGUCACAAAGAUUCUCUGUCUUUGUUUGUAAAAUGGGCAUUUAGGGAAGGGGAUGAGAAAGUGUAUCCAAACCUUAUGAGAAUUGGUGAUGAAAUUGUGAAAAAAUGCAAAGGGGUUCCACUCAGAGUGAGAACUUUAGGGAGCUUGCUCUACAUGAACACUGAGCAACAUGAAUGAGAAUUUAUAAAAGAUAACGACAUGUGGAAACUUGGUCAAAAGAAAAAUGACAUUCUACCUAUGCUGAAAUUGAGUUAUAAUCAUUCGCCAUCUCAUUUGCAAAUGUGCCUAACUUGUUUGUCAUUGUUUCCAAAGGAUACUAUUUAUGAUACUGAUUAUAUCAUCCAAUUCUGGAUGGCCAUUGGACUUACUGAAAGCCCCAAGCAAAAUGAAGAGUGGAAGAUGUUGGGUUACGAUAUUUCAAAGAAUUAUGGUCGAGGGGUUUUGUCCAAGAUGUCGAGGAUGAAUAUACAUAUUACACAUUUCAAAUCCAUGACCUAAUACAUGAUCUCUUGUCAAAUGUGUCUCAAGAUGACUGUUUAACAAUUUAUCCUCGUACAAUAAAUGCUGCUGAUCAUAUUCGACAUCUGUCAUUUUCAGGUGAUAAUCCAUUGAGAGCUCCACAGUCAUUUUUGAAGAAUUUAAAAGGUGUGCGGACAUUGGUGAUCCUACCUUCUUCAGGAAGAAAUAGGAUAAUUGAGGAACAUUUUGUAAAUGCUUCCAUCUUGAAUUUCAAGUUCCUGCGGCUACUUGAUCUCUCCUAUUAAUUUUUGGAAAGUAUCGCCCAAUUCCGUUGGCACCUUGAAGCAUUUAAGAUAUCUUAACUUGAGCUUUUGUCAAAGAAUGAGGAAACUUCCUACUUCUAUCAGUAAACUUCAGAGCUUGUUGACUUUACAGUUGACUGGCAUUCCACUGAUUGAAAUGCCUGAAUGUUUGCAAAGCUUGAUCAGUCUUAGAUUUCUAGAGAUAACUAUAGAUUCCACACUUUUAAGGGAUAUUAAACCAAGAUUUUGGAGUUCACUUCAGUUCAUGCACUUGUAUGGAUGUGGUAUGAUAAAAUCUAUAUUUGAUGGGAUGCAACACUGUCGUAACGGUUUUGAGUCCGUCAGACAUAAAAUGAGUUUUAAAAUCGAGAGAAAUAAAAAGAAUCAUCACCAAUCUUUGUUAGAGUGUGAUUGAUCACCCAAAAGUUUAUCCUUUGAAUAAAACUAUAAAAACAAGUUUAAAGUUUAUUAAAAAGAUAAAUUUCGAUCUACGAAAAAUCAGGUUAGGUCUGAAAAUCGGUUACGUGUGGGGAACAAUUAGCACCCUCACAACGCCCAUAAAUUAGUAUCAUUUAAUUAUGCGUUAUUUUUUAUAUUGGAUAAAAAUGGUUUUAAUUUGAAAUUUGACACUAAUUCCCUUCAUUUGAAAAAUAAAAUUUUGCUAAAAUUUUUAUUUAGAAAUAUUGAAAAAAUUUUUAAGUUAAAGAAUUAUUUUAAAAUUCUCCAACAUCUAGGCAGAAUUUAAAAUAACUCUUUUCGCUUAAGAUUUAACACAACAAUCCUUAAAAUGAAAUAACAUUCUUUAUAAAAAAUUGUUGGUGACUCUCCAACAUCUAGGCAGGAUACCAAGAAUUAUUUCUGUCGGAAUGUUAUUUUUAUUUUAUUUUGUAAUAUCACAAUUUUUUUUUAAAAAAAUGUAUAAUUCUUUUUUCAUUAUAAAAUAUUUUAUUAUCGAACAGUAAAUUAAAGAGAGAAUAAUGCAGACAAUUAUCGAUGAUAACAUAUUAACGUAUAUAUGCUAAUAAAUGUCAUAUAAAAUGAAAUGUAAUUUAAAAGUUGGAUUCUUAAGUAUAAUGAGGCCACCCCGACUCUCCAACAUCUAGGCAGAGCUUAGGUGUGACUGUUUAUAUUUAAAAUCUCAAUUUACUAUUAUACUUUUUAUUUAUUAAUCUUAUUAUCAAUACGAAUUACGAAAUCGUGUGAAAAGACUUAACGAAGUAAAUUUUCCUAAAUACCCCAUCAUCUAGGCGACAUUCGGAAAAAAUUACUUCAAUAGAAUUUUUACACGUGUUCUUAGGACUUUUAGCAGGUUUCAAAUAAGGGCUUAAGUAGAGGUUUAGAAGGUUUGGUUUUAAGGUUUUUAGGGUUUUAAAGCUUGAAUUUUAGGAUAAUGAAGGUUUAGGGUUUUAAUUUUAGAGUUUGGAAAUUUUAGGGUUUAGGUUUUGAAAGUUUAAAGGUUUUGGAUUUCGGAUUUUGGAGGGUUUUGGAUUUAAGGAGUUUGGAUUUAAGGGAUUUUGGAUUUAAGGGGGUUUGGAUUUAAAGGGUUUUAGAAACCUAGGAUUUUGAAAAUUAAAAAUUAGUGUUUAAGGUUUCGUUUUUAAGACAAUACGAACAUCUCUAAAAAUCUCCAAUAUCUAGGUGGAUUUUCGAAACAAGUUUGAUUUUAAUAAUUUUUAAAAUUAAUUUAAAAUUUCUUAUAAUUAUUUUUUUAUGAAAAUUUAUUAAUAAUAAUUCCCCCACAUCUACUCGAAAUUAUUUUUUAGAAAAAUAUUUUUAUUCCCUCCAACAUCUAGGCAAAGAAAAUAAUAAUAAUAAUAAUAAAUAUUUUUUUGAACAUUUUUAAUAUAUAUUUUUAAUCAUUUUCAAUUUUAUUAUAAUUAAAACAAUUAAACAUUUAUUCUAACAAAUUUGAAAAUUUAUCAUGCAUCAAUAAAAAAUACUCAAAAUAACAAAAAAAAUAAUAAAUUAAAAAAUUUAGAAAAUUAAAAAAAAAAUUUUUUUACUUAAACUGAACCAAUCAACGGUCCGAUCAACGUUGGUCUGAGCUGGUCGGAUCGGUUCGGUGGUUCGAUUGGUGGUUUAAAAGAUCCAGCAGUUCAGAUCGGUUCACUGACAGUUCGUCUAAAUCGGUCCAAGGUUGGCUAAGAGGGUCGGUGGGUCGGGUUAUACGGAUCUCGGGUCAAGUUCGAUCCACGCGUUGAUCCUUUACUCUUGAAACGACGUCGUUUUAGUCCUAUGCCCAAAACGACAUCGUUUUGCCCUUAUGUUUUCUAUAUAUAACUGAAAAAAAAAUUUUGUUCAUUCUUUUAGUUUUUUAGAAAAAAAAAGGGGGGGGGGAGAGGGAGAGCUCGCCGUCUGGUCGUCGAACCACCACGCUGGUCGCCGCCUGGGUCGCCAUCGGCAGGGUUGCCGGUGGUCGCCAGUGGUCGAAAAAUUUUAAUAGUACUCCCAGAAGCGCUCUUCGACACACUCUUCCUGGAUCUGACGUCCGUUUUACCGGAAACAGCUCCGAUCAACGUAGAUCGGGGCUCAAAGCUUUCGGUCUCCUUUCUCUUUCUCUUUUUUUUUUUUUUUAAAAAAGGACAUUGAUGAUUUCUUUGCUUAUUUGCAGGGCUUUCUGGCGCUGAGGUUCCUCCCUACGGGGAGGACUGUUUAACUCUUUUUUUUGUUUCUGUUUUUGUAUUUCUGUUUUCGAUUUGGUGUGGGUGUUUGGGGUUGUUGAAAAUGCUUUGAAGGGGGUAACUCGUUUGAGCUUGGUGAUUUUUGGUAUGGGUGAAAUGAAUGGGCUCUUGGGCGUCCGAGAGAGUUUUUGAGACGGGGGUCCAAGAGAGUUGAAAGGGAGAGGGACUAGGGAUUUUAAAGAACUCCAAGGUGGCUGUAGGGUGGCUGUAAGUGACUGUAGGCUAGUGGGUAGACAGGGGCUAGUCGGGUUGUAGGGUGGCUGGUCGGGGGCUGAGGAUUUUAAAGAACUUCAAGGUGGCUGUAGGGUGGUUGUAGGUGGCUGUAGGUUGGUGGGUAGACAGGGGGCUGGUCAAGAAGCUGACAGAGAGCUGGUCGGGUUGUAGGGUGGCUGGUCGAGGGCGACAGCAGCGCCAGCCACCCUACUUUCUGUUUUUUUGUUUUUUUAUUUUUUUUUGUUUUUUAUAUUUUUAUAUAAUUAAUAAUUAUUAUUUUUUAAAAUUAAUAUUAUUAUUAUUAUUAUUAAAAUAUUAAUAUUAUACUAAAAUGAGAAUAGUAGACCCGGACGAAACCGGUGUCUACAAACAACUCACAUCACUUAGAAGAUUGGCUAUCCAAGACUGUUCUAGAUUGAUUUCACUACCAAGAAGUCUGAAAUUCCUAACCAAAUUAGAGGAAAUCCAUAUACUUGGCUGCCAGAAAAUCAAUUUGUGCAUGGAACAAGAAGGAGAAGAAGACCGAGACCUUUACUUGCGGCUUAAAACUUUAACAAUAUCGGGAUCAGAAGCGUUGGAAGAUCUGCCACGGUUGUUUCUUCAAGGAUCAGCUACCACUUUUAAAUCCAUGAUAGUAAGGAAUUGUCCCACCUUCAAGGUACUACCAGAAUGGAUGCAAAAUCUCACUUCACUUCAGAGGUUGGAGCUUGUACAUUGUUCAGCAUUUUCCUCUCUUCCCGAAGGACUGAGUAGCCUCACCGCACUUAGGCAAGUAAAGAUUCAAAAAUGUCCUGCGCUGAGCCAAAAUUGUCAACCUGGGGUUGGUGCUGAUUGGUCCAAGAUUGCGCACGUUCAAGAGGAUUAUAUUGAACAUUAGAAGAUCGUCAAGCCACGCUCAAGGUCUUUACCAAUCUCUCUCUCUCCUUUUCUUCCUUUAUGAGAUUUUUUUUUCAUAUUAAAUUUUCCAGAAUACAGAAUUAUAAGAAAAGUGCUCUAAAUGAUAUGUGCUACUCAAUUCAUAUAUCUUCCUCAAAUAUCUAACAUUUGCAUUUAAUUUUGAAGUGAUCAUAGGUAAAUAGGUUGGGUGCUUUGGUCAAAAAUGAAAGAGCAAGCGAGACGAUUUCAUUCCAUUUAUUAAGCUUGUUAUCAGCAACAUUUCUUGAGAAUCCUUCAAUUUUUGCUACACUUUUUGACAUACUAUUACUCCUAUAGGAUCUUUUUUAUUGAGAUUUUUUACUAAUUAUCUUUUGUUUUUGGAUGCAUAAAGGCAAAUAAAAUUAUAAUCAUCCAUUUUAAAAGGUUAUAAUUAACGAUAGCUUAGUGAUGGAAAUAGGCAUAGCUUGUGGGCCUUCUAUAAGAAGUAUGGAAUUACAAUAUCGUGUUGUGUUCCUCGUUUUAGUUACUAUCAAACUUAGAUCCUUAGGUGCAUGCCUGCCUACCUAGGAACUCACUUUCAGUUGUAUUUUAAGAUCAACUCAUUUGGCUUCAAAUCAAACCUCUGCAGGCAGCUCUUAUGGUGUGGGAAAAUUCAGCCAAACCCUGCAUGGCGUCGUCCGUUCAAAGCUUUUACUUUCUUUGAUGAUCAUGUGACUUGAACCAGACCUGUUUAUCUGUUUGCUUAGUACUUGCGCUUUAGCUAUUUGUUUGUGUUCUAUCUCUUUGCUAUUUGAUCCUUUGGAAUGAAACCAUCAUCUCCUAACUGUUGGGUGACUCUUUAGAGACAAAAGAAAUCUUCUUGCUUGAAAGGGGAACAUCGGGCAUUCAACGUGAAGUGUCCAUUUCUUAUUCAACCAAAUGAGAUUUCGACCCAUGUCGUCUAAUGUAAGAUUUCAGACUAUCUCAUCUCAAUGAGAUUCGACCCAAGUCAUUCAAGACCUUGACCUGAAUGUUGAGGUUUUUGAUCGGACGUUACCUUUUUAUACACUUAUUUAGGAAUGUAAAUAAUAUAUUAAUACUCAUAAAUUAUUUAGAUUUGAUUUAAAUAAAAUUUAAAUUUAAUUUUGUUUUAUUAAAUCGAGCUUGUACUCGAGUAGCUUGAUUUAUCAAUCAAAACAAAAUUCAAAUAUUUUUAUAUCUGAUUCGAAUAGCUCAUGUUUUAAUCAAAUUUUAUAUUUUAAUAUAUUUUAAUUAUUUUAAUUAAUAAAAUAUUUUAAAUUUAAAUUCGAACUUGAAUAUAAAUAAUCAAAUUUUUAUUAAAUAUAAAAAUAAAGCUUAUUUUUACAUAUUAAUCGAAUUUAAUCGAAUGAAUUCAAAUAAUUUAAUUUUUAUUUUGAAUUGAAUUCGAAAUAAAAUAAUAAAUUUAAUCAAAUUUAAAUUAAAUUUCAAAUAUCAAAUUUAAAAUCAAACUCAAACUCAAUAUAAUAUUCAUUCAAAUUCGAUCAAUUACAUUUUUAAACCCCACCUUCCAAAACUAAAACCUACAUUACCCAUUUCCUAAAAAUGUAUGGGCAGCUUAUUAAAACCAAAAAUCAUACACUACCAAGUAGGCAAGUACCAAUGUAAAAAGAGCGACACAAACAAAUCAAAUAGUAUUACUUGACUUACAACACAAAAAGUUAAAUCCUCAAUAACUAAAAAGCCCAACAACUUCGAGCUUUUCUAGAUUGAACAAAUAAAGCGUUCACAACAAGAUUGGCAAGUACUAUACAUAUAGCAGGCUGGUAAGUGACAUCUAUAUGGGUAAUGGCAAAUGAGCCUCCGACUUCAGUCCUUGUUUCUAGGCACUUUUCUUGCUGCAAAGUUUCUCAAUAAGAUCUACUUCGUCUUGAACAGUUGCGAUGUUUUGGGCAUUGUCCUCUUCCACAGUGAUUCCAAACUCUUCCUCGUGUCCUAUCACAAUCUCAACCUGAAAAAGCAUUCUUCCAAUUACAACACGAACUACAAGCAAUAACCUUCAAGCAAAGGAAACAACCAAUUGAUAGAAGGUACAACAAAGAAAGGGGUAAAGUGGGAGAGAGCUUAGACUUGAUGAAGAAAUAACAAAAUCAAUGUCUAUUGUUCUAGCCAACAUGCAACAAAGCGUGACUUCGCACCUCAUGUGAUUUUUUUUUAUUGUAUAUAUUUUUAAUUGAAUAAAUUUUAUAAUAAAUUAAAAUAUAUCAAUUGAUAAAAAUUAUAAGAUAAUUCAUAUUCAACAUAUUUUGAUCAAUUUUGAUAUAAUAAGAGAUGAUUUUUUAUAUUGAAAUUGACAUGAAAUGAGUUGAAUUUUUUAAAAAAAUUAGGUCAAAAGCAUAUUUAAUACAUUAUGUCUUAACCUAUUUCAAGAUAUAUAUAUAUUUAUAUUUAUACAUAUAUAUUUAUUGUAUUAAUAAAGCUUUUUUUUACCUUAAUUUAAAAAAUUAAUAUUUUAAUUUCAAUAUAAGAUGUUAAUGUAGCACCAUCAGUGAGCUCUUUUUUUAUUUUUCUUUUUUUUUUUGCAUUUUCUCGUUUUUACUUUUUUCGAUCUUUUUUGUUUUUAUAUUUAUUUUUUAAUUGGAAAAACUUUAUAAAAAAAAGGAGGCCAAUUAAAGAAUUCAUGUGUCAUUGGCAUUUAUUUUUUUAUCUUUUGUCUUUUUGGAGGUUUUUUAAUUAAAUAAAUUUUACAAAAAAAUACAGUAAAUAGAGAUAACAAAAAAAAUUACCCCCAAUUGGUCACUGAUUAUUGCCAAAAUGUUGUGCUUCAAAAGAAUAAUUAAUAUAAUCGAAAAAAUAAACAAUAAAAAUAAAAGACAAAUAGUAAAAGCAUCAAUUGAGCUUUCAAAAUAAUAAUAAAAGUUCAAAUGCAAUUUGAUCUUGAAUAAUAUCACUUUUCAUGAUUUAACAUUUAAAAAAUUUACUAUUAAAUAUUUCAACUUUGCUUUCGUUAAACACUUUAAACCACUGUUUAAUAUCGUUAGUCAAAAUAUUGAAAAAAAAAUUAUUCAUAUGUUAUUUUAAAAAGUAGUUUUUAAUUUUUUAAAGAAAACGAAUAAAAACAUUUUUAGAAAUUAAAAAUUAAAAAAUUAUAAAUUUUUAUAAAAGGACCAUCUUUCCCCUUCCUCCUACCUAGGGCUGUAAACGAGCCGAGCCGAGCCGAAUAGUAAGAAGCUCGGGCUCAAGCUCGACUCACAACUCGGGGCUUGAUACUCGGCUCGAGUUCGAUCGAGUUUUAUUUUUCAAGCUCGAGCUCGAUUCGUGAUCGAAUUCGGCUACUCGAGCUCGCUCGAUUAAGCUCGAUUAAUAUGUAAAAAUAAGCUCGAUUCAUAUACUCGAUAAGAAUUCGAUUAUUCAUGCUCGAACUCGAACUCGAACUCGGACUCGAAAUAUUUUAUUAAUUAAAAUAAUAAAAAUAUAUUUAAAUAUAAAAGCUCGAUUAGACUCGCGAGCUACUCGAGUCAGAUAUAAGAAUACUCGAAUUCGGCUCGAUCGAUAAGUCGAGCUACUCGAGCUCGAGCUCGACUCGACAAUAAUCGAACCGAAUUCGAAUUUUUUUCGAAUCGAACCAGAGUAGCUUGCGAGUACUAAUGUAUCAUUUACACCUCUACUCCUACCCUUCUCUUUCUCUGUGAUCCCUUUCUCUCUUUUUCUUUUUUUUUUACUUUUUCUAUUUUUUUUUUUUAAGUUCAAAAAUUAUAAAAAAAUUAAAAUUGAUGUGAUACUUUUUUAUCACAUAUCAUAAUAUUAUUAAUUAUAUUUUAUCCAAGUUAACUUACUGUUUAUAAAGUUAAUGUUUAUUGCAAAAUACUUAACAAAUCAAAAUUUAGUUACUUAAUCGUGAUUCCUUUAUAUGUACAAAAUAGUAAAAAGCGAUAUAAUUCAAAAACUAAAUUGCAUAUUAACCCUAAUAAUAUUAACAAUUACUUUCGAUGUAGAAGAUAAUCAGAUCAAAUAGCAUGGCACAUAUGAGCAUAUAUUGAAGUACAGAGAAAACAGGGGAAACUACCAAGAUCAUGGUUAUUGAAUUAGUCAAAGUUGAAAAAAGCUAGGAACGAGGGCACAGAUUUAUUGUGCCGUCAAGAUACGUAAGUUACAAAGAAGUUUCCUUGUUUGAAUUUGGACAAGCCUAAUGAUGUCCUAGGGAGAGUAGGUAAGAUUUAAGCAAUGAUCCUUUAAGUAAAGUUGUUAAAAGUUUUUUUUUUUAAAUGAUCAAAUAAAUAUUAAUUUAAUUUGAAAAUUAAAAUUUAUAAAUUGAUAGAGUUUAUUAAAAAUAUAAAAAAUUUUAUUAAUCAUUAAUUAUUAAUUUCAAUCCAAUUAACAUUAAUUAAUUUAUAUAGAGUUCAGUUUAAUCCAAACUUUAUGAAUAAAUUUUUAAUUUAAUAUAUAUUAUAUUACAAGCAUAUCUAUAAAGUUUGUCAAAUAAAUACUUAUGUGAAUAACUUAUAUUUUUUACACAUAGGGUCCUAUAAGUAAUUCUAAAAGAUAAGAUUAAUUGAAAAAUAAUCCUAUUUAAUCAAUGUUAUUUAAAUCAAACAAAAUUUAUCUCUCAAUUAAUCUUUUUCUAAUAUGUAUGACAUUUAAAAUGCAUUUAGGUUUUUCAAAUAUGUAUAACAUUUAAAAUUCAAAUAGCUUUAAAAUUAAAUAGUUAAAAAUUAUCUAUUCUUCGUAAUUGUCAUCUAAGAAUUAUCCUAUGCUUUUAAGUUUAUAAAUAGUAUGUGCCAUAUAUUUUUUUCUUUUUUAAUUUGCAAAAGUUGGUUCAAAGGUAUAUCAUUUUUUAUUUUUUCUCUAUAACUUAAAUGAUAAGUGAAGGUAUGUCAAUAUUUUUUUAAUGAUUUAAUUCAUCAUUUAAUAAUAUAUUUGUGUGGAUUCAACAUAUUUAAAUAUAUAAAAUUAAUUCAUAUAUUAUACGGAUCACAAACUAAUUUUAUAAAUUAUUUUUACUAAACAAUGUUAAGGUAUUUUUUUGUGGCAUAGUGCCCUGAGUUCGAAUAACUUUAACAAAUUAUUAUUAUUUUCAAAACAGUAGGUUAUUCAAUGCACUCUUUUUUUUUUUUUUUUAAAUUUUUUCUUAUAGAAGAAAAUGUGACUGAGGACGAAGACAAACCUUUUAUUUUUUUUAACGAUAACACAUGUUAAUAACUCAAAUCGAUUACUUUAAGUUAACGCCAAACCUCGUGUAAACUUCAUUGACGCACUCAAUCUCUUUUCUUUGGAAAAAACAUCCAUUAGUCUCUGUCGCAACUCGCAAGACUAGAUGCUUUUCCUUUUGUUUUCUCUUUGUCGCAACUAAGAAGACUGGAUGCUUUUUCUUUUUCUUUGGUGGUGAUAUAACUGAUUAGAAGGCACCCCAAAAAAAUUCCGAAGUCACGGCUGCUACAAUUAAAUAUUUACUCUAAACUCACUUGUUUAAUUUCCCUGAAACAAACUUCUUCAUAAAUACUAUACUCAAUUUUCCUUUACUUUUGAUUGCCUCUCCAGAGUUUAAUUAUGGCGGAAUCAUUUCUGACCAUCAUUGCAGAACAGCUUUUGGAGAAGAUAGUCUCCCUGGGUGCCAAAGAAACUCUAUCGCUAUGGAAUCUCAGUAGUGAUUUGAGAAGGCUUCAGGAAACCGUGACCUACAUCAAAGCUGUGCUGUUAGAUGCCGAAAAACGGCAGCACCAGAAUGAGACGUUGCGCCUUAGUUUGGGGAAGCUUAGAGACGUCUUAUAUGACGCUGAGGAUGUGCUUGAUGAAUUCAGGUGUGAAGCGCAGCGAAAGGAGUUGAUCAAUCGUCGAAGCAUCACCACCAAAUUGGUACGAUUCCCUUCCCUCUCUAUUCCAUUUGCAUUCCCUUUGAGGAUGAGUCAUAAAAUCAAAAAGAUCAACGAUAAGCUAGAUACGAUUGCUAGUGAUUUCAAAAGGUUUAAUCUUGGACUUGAAGAGAAAGUUGAGAACCGGCGUGUUAUUCUCAGGGAUACCCACUCCUUUGUGAUAUCUUCUAAUGUGAUAGGCCGAAAUCAAGACAAAGAAAACAUCAUAGAUCUUUUAGUCAAGCCAACUGACGCUGACAAAAUUACCGUCAUCCCUAUAGUUGGAAUCGGAGGUUUAGGGAAGACCACGCUUGCUCAACUUGUGUACAACGAUGAAAGGAUCACUAGGUUCUUUCCCUUGAAAAUAUGGGUGUGCGUGUCAGAUGAGUUUGAUCUUGCUAGGUUGCUCUGUGAUAUUAUUUACUCCAUUACGGGGGAAAGAUGUAAUGGCUUACCAGUUAAUGCAUUGCAAAUUCAUUUGCGAAUGCUUCUAAAUGGUAAAAAAUUUUACUCGUUUUAGAUGAUGUAUGGAACGAAAGAUCAUGUAAAAUGGAUGGAACUGAGGGAUUUACUGAUGAUAAUGGGUAACUUUCAACAAAGUAAAAUCCUUGUGACUACGCGGAGUUCAAAAGUUGCUUCGAUAGUGGGUACUAUUGCUUCGUACAAGUUGAAUUGCCUUAGUCACAAAGAUUGUUUGUCUUUGUUUGUAAAAUGGGCAUUUAGGGAAGGGGAUGAGAAAGUAUAUCCAAACCUUUUGAGAAUUGGUGAUGAAAUUGUGAAAAAAUGCAAAGGGGUUCCAUUGGCAGUGAGAACUUUAGGGAGCUUACUCUACAUGAAAACUGAGCUACAUGAAUGGGAAUUUAUAAAAGAUAAUGACAUAUGGAAACUUGAUCAAAAUGAAAAUGACAUUCUACCUAUGCUGAAAUUGAGUUAUAAUCAUUUGCCAUCUCAUUUGCAAAGGUGUCUAACUUAUUUGUCAUUGUUUCCAAAGGAUACUAUUUAUGAUACUGAUUAUAUCGUCCAAUUCUGGAUGGCCAUUGGACUUAUUGAAAGCCCAAAGCAAAACGAAGAGUGGGAAGAUGUUGGGUUACAAUAUUUCAAAGAAUUAUGGUCGAGGGGUUUUGUCCAAGAUAUCGAGGAUGAACAUACAUUUUACACAUUUAAAAUCCAUGACCUAAUACAUAAUCUCUUGUCAAAUGUGUCUCAAGAUGAUUGCUUAACAAUUUAUCCUCAUACAAUAAAUGCUGCUGAAAAUAUUCGACAUCUGUCAUUUUCGGAUGAUAAUCCAUUGAGAGCUCCACAAUCAUUUUUGAAGAAUUUAAAAGGUGUGCGGACAUUAGUGAUCCUACCUUCUUCGGGAAGAAAUAGGAUAAUUGAGGAACAUUUUAUAAAUGCUUCUAUCUUGAAUUUCAAGUUCCUGCGGUCACUUGAUCUCUCCAAUUCAUUUUUGGAAGUAUUGCCCAAUUCCGUUGGCACCUUGAAGCAUUUAAGAUAUCUUGACUUGAGCUUUUGUCGAAGAAUGAGGAAACUUCCUACUUCUAUCAGUAAACUUCAGAGCUUGCUGACUUUACGGUUACUCGGCGUUCGACUGAUUGAAGUACCUGAAUGUUUGCAAAGCUUGAUCAGUCUCAGAUUUCUAGAGAUAACCACAGAUUCUCUGCUUUUAAGGGAUAUUCAACCAGGAUGUUGGAGUUCGCUUCAGUUUUUGCUCUUGGUCGACUGUGAUAUGAUAGAAUCUAUAUUUGAAGGGAUGCAACACCUCACAUCGCUGAGAAGACUGGUUAUCCAAGACUGUUCUAGAUUGAUUUCACUGCCAAGAAGUCUGAAAUUUCUUACCAAAUUAGAGGAAAUCCAGAUACUUGGCUGUGAAAAUAUCAAUUUGUGGAUGGAACAAGAAGGAGAAGAAGACCAAGACCUUCACUUGCGGCUUGAAACUUUAACAAUAUUAGGAUCAGAAGCGUUGAAGGAUUUGCCACGGUUGCUUCUUCAAGGAUCUGCUAGCACUUUUAAAUCCAUGCUAAUAAGGAGAUGUCCCAACUUCAAGGUACUACCAGAAUGGAUGCAAAAUCUCACAUCACUUAACAGGUUGGAGCUUGUAAAUUGUCCAGCAUUAUCCUCUCUUCCCGAAGGACUGAAUCGCCUCACCGCACUUAGACAAGUAAAGGUUCAACUAUGUCCUGCGCUGAGCCAAAAUUGUCAACCUGGGGUUGGUGCUGACUGGUCCAAGAUUGCACACGUUCAAGAGGUUCAUAUUGAAGAUAAAAAGAUCGUCAAGCCACGCUCUAGGUGUUUACCAAUCUCUCAUUCUUUUUUCUUCCUUUAUGAGAUUUUUUUUUUCAUAUUAAAUUUUCCAGAAAACAGAAUUAUAAGAAAAUUGCUUUAAAUGAUAUGUGCUAGUCAAUUCAUAUAUCUUCCUGAAAUAUCUAACAUUUGCAUUGAUUUUGAAAUGAUCGUAGGUAAAUUGGUCCGGAUGCUUGGUCAAAAAAAAAAAGAGCAAGCAGGUGAGACGAUUUCAUUCAAUCUAUUAAGCUUGUUUGUUAUCAGCAACAUUUCAUGAGAAUCCGUCAAUUUUUGCUACACUUUUUCAUAUAUUAUUACGCUUAUAGGAUCUGUUUGACUGAGAAUUUUUGCUAAUUAUCUUUUGUUUUUGGAUGCAUAAAGGCAAAUAAAAUUAUAAUCAUCCGUUUUAAAAGGUUACAAUUAACUAUAGCUAGGUGAGGGAAAUAGUCAUAGCUUGUGGUUCUUCUAUAAGAUAAAUGGAAUUACAAUAUUGUCUUGUGUUUCUCUUUGUAGUUACUGUCAAACUGAGAUACUUAGAUGCAUGCCUCUGCCUACCUAGGAACUCACUUUCGGUUGUAUUUUAAGAUCUAAAACUCAUUUGGCUUCAAAUCAAACCACUGCGGGUAGCCCUUAUGGUGUGGGAAAAUUCAGCCAAACCCUGCAGGGCGCCGUCUGUUCAAAGCUUUUACUUUCUUUGACCGUUUGACGAUCAUGUGUCUUGAACCAGACCUGUUUAUCUGUUUGCUUAAUACUUGCGCUUUAGCUAUUUGUUUGUGUUCUAUCUGUUUGUGAUUGGAUCCUUUGGAGCGAAACCAUCAUCUCAUAACUGUUGGGUGACUCCUUAGGGACAAAAGAAAUCUUCUUGCUUGAAAAGGGAACAUCAGGCAUUCAACAUGAAGUGCCCAUUUCUUAUUCAACCCAAUGAGAUUUCGACCUAAGUCGUGUAGUGUAAGAUUUUAGACUAUCUCAUCCCAAUGAGAUUCACCCCAAGUCAUUCAAGACCUUGACCUGAUAUUUGAGUUUUGGGUUUAACAAGUCCUGUCGUGUCGGCUGGAUGUUGAGCUUUUUGUUUGGGCGUUACCUUUUUCAGGGCCUAAGCCCCCCCAAACUAAAACCUACACUGCCCAUUUCCCUAUAACUGUAUGUGCGGCUUAUCAAAACAAGAAAUUAUACACUACCAAGUACUAAUUUAAAACAGCGACACGAUCAAAUCAAAUCAUUUUAACUCGACUUACAGCACAAAAAGUUAAAUCCACAAUUUAACCAAAAAGCCCAACAACUUUGAGUAUUUUCUAGAAUGAACAAAUAAAUAGACGAGAGUUCACAAGAAGAUUGGAAAAUAUUUUAGAUAUAGCAGGCUGGUAAGUGACAUCAAUAUGGGCAAUGGCAAAUGAACCUCCAACUUGGGCCUUGUUUCUAGGCACCUUUCACGCUGCAGAAUUUCCCAAUAAGAUCUGCUUCUUCUUUAACAGUUGCGAUGCUUUGGGCAUUGUCUUCUGCCACGGUAAUUCCAAACUCUUCCUCAAGUCCCAUCACAAUCUCAACCUGAAGGGGCAUUCUUCCAAUUAUAACACGAACUAUAAGCAAUAACCUUCAAGUAAAAGAAACAACAAUUGAUAGAAGGUACAACACAGAAAGGGGUAGAGUGGGAGAGAGCUUAGACUUGAAGAAAUAACAAAAUCGAUGUCUAUUGUUGUAGCCAACAUGCAAAAGCGUCGACGUGGCAUCUCUCUUUUUUUUCACUUUUUUUAAUAUUUUUAAAUUAAAUAAAUUUUAUAAUAAAAUAUAUCAAUCAAAAAAAUUAUAAAAUAAUUUAUAUCCGACGAGUUUCGAUCAAUCUUGAUCUAAUAAAAAAUGAUUUUUUAUAUUGAGAUUGACAAAAAACACAGUUUUUUUUUUUAAAAAAAAUAAAUUCAGGUCAAAGACGUAUUUAAUCUGCUUCGUCUUAACCUAUUUCAAGAUAUAUAUUUUUUAUUAUUAUUUAUCAUUUAUUUAAUUUUAUACAUGCAUUUAUUGUAUUAAUAAAAUUAUUUUUUAUUUUAAUUUAAGAAAUUAAUACUUUAAACUCAAUAUAAGAUGUUAAUGUAGCACUAGCUAUGAGCUUUUUUUACUUUUCUCAUUUUUUUUAUUUUCUCAUAUUUUACUUUUUUUAAUCUUUUUUGUUUUUUUAUUUAUUUUUAAUUGGAUAAUUUAUUUUUUAAAAAAAGAGAGGUCAAUUAAGGAAUCUAUAUGUCGUUCACGUUUAUUUUUUUAUCUUUCGUCUUUUUGGAGGUUUUUUAAUUAAAUAAAUUUUAUAAAAAAAAGAUAAAUAGAGAUAACAAAAUAAAACAAGAUUUACCCGUAAUUGGUCCUAGUUAUUUUCAAAAUGUUGUGCUUCAAAAGAAUAAUUAAUAUAAAAAAAUUAAAAAUUAAAAAAAAAAGGAAAAGACAAAUAGUAAAAGCACCAAUAGAGCUUUAAAAAUAAUAAUAAAAGUUCAAAUGCAAUUUGAUCUUGAAUAAUAUCAAUUUUCAUGAUUUAACAUUUAAAAAAUUUACUAUUAAGCAUCCCAACUUUGCUUUCGUUAAACACUUUACACCACUAAUUAAUAUUGUUAGUUAAAAUACUGAAAAAAAUGAUUCAUAUGUCAUUUUAAAAAAUAGUUUUAAAUUUUUUAAAGAAAAUGAAUAAAAACAUUUUUGGAAAUUAAAAAUUAUAAAAUUAUAAAUUUUUAGAAAAGGACUAUCUUUCCUCCUCUUCCUACCCUUCUCUUUCUAUGUGAUCCCUUUCUCUUUUUUUCUUUUUUUAACUUUUCUUAUUUUCUUUUUUUUUUAAGUUCAAAAAUUAUAAAAAUAAAAUAAAAUUGAUGUGAUACUUUUUUAUCACAUAUCAUAAUAUUAUUAAUUAUUUUUUAACCAAAUUAACUUACUGUUUAUAAAGUUAAUGUUUAUUGCAAAAUACUUAACAAAUCAAAUUUUAGUUACUUAAUCGUGAUUUUUUUUUUAUGUACAAUAUAGUUAAAAGCAAUAUAACUCAAAAACUAAAUUGCAUAGUAACCCUAAUAAUAUUAACAAUUACUGUAGAUGUAAAAGAUAAUGAUCGGAUCACACAGCAUUGCACUUUUGAGCUUGUAUUGAAGUAUAGAGAAAAGAGGGGAGAACUCCCAAUUCCAUGGUUAUUAAUGUCAAUCCAAUUAAUAUUAAUUAAUUUACAUAGAGUUGAGUUUAAUCCAAAAUUUUAUGAAUAAAUUUUUAAUCUAAUCUAAUAUAUAUUAUAUAUCACAAGGUAUAUACAUGUCUGUCAAGUAAACAUUUAUGUAGAUAAUUUAUAUUUUUUACAUGUAAGAUUCUAUAAAUAAUUUUUAAAUUUACAUUGUUUUUCAAAUAAUCCUAUCUAAUCAGUUUUCAAAUUUUAAAAAUUACAAAAAUUAACUUUAUUUAAGUCUUUUAAUCCAUCUAUAUUUUAUUUUAUUUAAAUCAAACAAAAUUUAUCUCUCAACUCAUAUUUUUCUAAUAUGUAUGACAUUUAAAAUUCAAAUAGCUUUAAAACCAAAUAGUUAAAAAUUAUCUAUUCUUCAUAAUUGUCAUCCAAGAAUUAUCUUAUGCUUUUAAGUUUAUAAAUAGUAUGUGCUAUAUCAUUUUUUUUCUUUUUUAAUUUACAAAAGUUGGUUUAAAGGUAUAUUAUUUGUCAUUUUUUCUUAAUAACUUAAAUGGUAAGUGAAGGCAUAUCAAUAUUUUUUUAAUGAUUUAAUUCAUCAUUUAACAAUAUAUUUGAAACUAUAAAAAGUGCUAUAUGUCCAUUUCCAAUAAAACUAACAAUUUUAUAUUUCAAAAAAUUUGAUUAUCAACUCUUUCUUUUCAGAUUCAAUAUCUAAUAUUGCGACCAUUUUAUAUGUGAAAGAAUAUACCCAUAAUAUCAAACAUAAUUUCAUAUUUUGUAAUUUUUCAACAAAUUAUAAUUAUUAAUUAGAUUUGAGAAAAAAUAUAUUAUUUUCAAUUUCGUUCAUUUGUCUCUCUUUUGGAUUUUUAUUUUAAAUUGUUUCUUCAAAGCUUAGUUCUUGAAUUGGUGUGAACUAUGCCUAUUUUUAUCUAGCAGCAUAAUUGAAAUAUUCUUAUUUUGCUUUUAAUUGACAUUUGUCCGUUUAGGAAUUUAAUUUUAUCUUAUUUAUAUAAAUAAAUGUUAUAUUUAAAUAAAAAAUCAUAAUUAUCGACUUGAAAUUUUUAAUUAAAUAUUAUAAUAUAUUAUAAAUUUUAAAAUUUUGAAUAUAAUCUUAAAAAAUGUUAAUUGGUAUGUAUUCUACACAUUUAAAUAGAUAAAAUUAAUUCAUAUAUUUUACGGAUCACAAACUAAUUUUAUAAAUUAUUUUUACUAAAAAAUGUUAAGGCAUGGUUUUGGUGCAUAGUGCCCUAAGUUCAAAUAACUUUAACAAAUUAUUAUUAUUUUCAAAACAGUGAGUUAUUCAAUGCACUCUUUUUUUUUUUUUUCUUUCGGAAGAAAAUGUGACUGAGGACGAAGACAAACUCUUUUUUUUUUUUUUUUAACGAUAAGACACGUUAAUAACUCAAAUCGAUUAAUUUAAGUUAACGCGAAACUUCGUGGAAACUUCAUUCACGCACCCAAUCUAUUUUCCUUGGAAAAAUCAUCCAUUAAGCAUCCAUUAGUCUUUGUCCCAACUCACAAGACUUGAAGCUUUUUUGUUUUCUCUUCGUCGCAACUCCCGAGCUUUUUCUUUUACCAAAAAUUGCGAAGUCAUGGCUGCUAUAAUAAAAUAUUUACUCUAAUCUCACUUGUUUAGUUUCCCUGGAACAAACUUCUUCAUAAAUACUACACUCAAUUUUCCUUUACCUUUGAUUGCCUCUCCAGACUUUAAUUAUGGCGGAAUCAUUUGUGGCCAUCGUUGCAGAACAGCUUUUGGAGAAGAUAAUCUCCCUGGCUGGCAAAGAAACUCUAUCGCUAUGGAAUCUCACCAGGGAUUUGAGAAGACUUCAGGAAACCGUGGCCUACAUCAAAGCUGUGCUGUUAGAUGCCGAAAAACGGCAGCAGCAGAAUGAGACGUUGCGCCUUAGUUUGGGGAAGCUUAGAGACGUCUUAUAUGAUGCUGAGGAUGUGCUUGAUGAAUUCAGGUGUGAAGCGCUGCAAAAGGAGUUGAUCAAUCGUCGAAGCACCACCACCAAAUUGGUACGAUUCCCUCCCCUCUCUAUUUCAUUUGCAUUCCCUUUGAGGAUGAGUCAUAAAAUCAAAAAGAUCAACGAUAAGCUAGAUACGAUUGCUAGUGAUUUCAAAAGGUUUAAUCUUGGACUUGAAGAGAAAGUUGAGAACCGGCGUAUUAUUCUUAGGGAUACCCACUCCUUUGUGAUAUCUUCUAAUGUUAUAGGCCGAAAUCAAGACAAAGAAAACAUCAUAGAUCUUUUAGUCAAGCCAACUGAUGCUGACAAAAUUCCCGUCAUCUCUAUAGUUGGAAUCGGAGGUUUAGGGAAGACCACGCUUGCUCAACUUGUGUACAACGAUGAAAGGAUCACUAGGUUUUUUCCCUUGAAAAUAUGGGUGUGCGUGUCAGAUGAGUUUGAUCUUGCUAGGUUGCUCUGUGAAAUUAUUUACUCCAUUACGGGGGAAAGAUGUAAUGGCUUACCAGUUAAUGCAUUGCAAAUUCAUUUGCGAAUGCUUCUAAAUGGUAAAAAAAUUUUACUCGUUUUAGAUGAUGUAUGGAACGAAGAUCAUGUAAAAUGGAUGGAACUGAGGGAUUUACUGAUGACAAGGGGUAACUUUCAACAAAGUAAAAUCCUUGUGACUACACGGAGUUCAAAAGUUGCUUCGAUAGUGGGUACUAUUGCUUCGUACAAGUUGAAUUGCCUUAGUCACAAAGAUUGUUUGUCUUUGUUUGUAAAAUGGGCAUUUAGGGAAGGGGAUGAGAAAAUAUAUCCAAACCUUUUGAGAAUUGGUGAUGAAAUUGUGAAAAAAUGCAAAGGGGUUCCGUUGGCAGUGAGAACUUUAGGGAGCUUACUCUACAUGAAAACUGAGCUACAUGAAUGGGAAUUUAUAAAAGAUAAUGACAUAUGGAAACUUGAUCAAAAUGAAAAUGACAUCCUACCUAUGCUGAGAUUGAGUUAUAAUUAUUUGCCAUCUCAUUUGCAAAGGUGUCUAACUUAUUUAUCAUUGUUUCAAAGGAUACUGUUUAUGAUACUGAUUAUAUCAUCCAAUUCUGGAUGGCCAUUGGACUUAUUGAAAGCCCUAAGCGAAAGGAAGAGUGGGAAGACGUUGGGUUACGGUAUUUCAAAGAAUUAUGGUCGAGGGGGUUUGUCCAAGAUGUCGAGGAUAAACAUGGAUUUUACAGAUUUAAAAUCCAUGACCUAAUGCAUGAUCUCUUGACAAAUGUGUCUCAAGAUGACUGCUUAACAAUUUAUUCUCAUACAAUAAAUGCUGCUGAAAAUAUUCGACAUCUGUCAUUUUCGGAUGAUAAUCCAUUGAGAGCUCCACAAUCAUUUUUGAAGAAUUUAAAAGGUGUGCGGACAUUACUGAUCCUGGCUUCUUCAGGAGCAAAUAGGAUAAUUGAGGAACAUUUUGUAAAUGCUUCUUUCUUGAAUUUCAAGUUCCUGCGGCUACUUGAUCUCUCCUGUUCAUUUUUGGAAGUAUUGCCCAAUUCCGUUGGCAUCUUGAAGCAUUUAAGAUAUCUUGACUUAUCCAGGUGUUAUAGAAUGAGGAAGCUUCCUCGUUCUAUCUAUAAGCUUCAAAGCUUGUUGACAUUAAGAUUGUGGAUAUUGAUUGCCAAUUGCAACUGCCUCGCAAUUUGCAAAGCUUGAUCAAUCUCAGAUUCCUAGAGCUAACAGGGGAUACUACGCAUAUAAGGGAGAUUCGACCAGGAUGUUGGAGUUCUCUUCAGGUCUUGCACUGCUACAGAUGCGAGUCGCUGGAAUAUUUGUUUGAAGGGAUUUAACACCUGACAUCACUUCGAACAUUGACCAUGAGAUGUUGCCCUAAACUAGUCUCACUACCACGAAGUCUGAAAUUUCUAACCAAGCUGGAGUGUAUUGAUAUAAUUGAAUGCCCAAUAAUCAAUUUACGCAUGGAACUGGAAGAAAGAGAAGACAGAGACAUUCACUUGUGCCUUAAGAAAUUGGAAAUACGGGGUGCACCACAGUUGGAGGACCUACCGCGAUUGCUUCUUGAUAGAUCUGCUAGCGCUUUGCAACUCAUAAAAAUUCACCAUUGUCCCAAGUUUGAGGUACUACCGGAAUGGCUACAAAAUCUGUCAUCACUUCAAAGACUUGAGAUUCUUGACUGCCUAAAAUUAUCCUCUCUUCCGGAUGGCGUGGAUCGCCUCACCUAGCUUACACAACUACAGAUUCAAGAAUGUCCUACAUUGAGUGAAAAAUAUCGACCCGAAGUGGGUGCUGGUUGGUCCAAGAUAGCACACAUCCAAGAGGUUCAUAUUGAAGAUCAGAAGAUUAGCAGGUAUGGUUUGUGGUACUUAUUAAUUUCUUUAUCUUUUACCUCUGCUAGUUAAAAUUGGCCAUAUAAGUCCCUCUUUAUGCAUGUAUUAUGUAUACAACAUUUGCAAAUUUUAAUGAUUCGUAUUUUUAGUCACAGGUAAAUUAUGAAGUGGAUGCUUUGGUGAGAAUUCAGGAGCGGCAGGUGAGACUUUAAUCCAUCCAUUCCGACAAGAUUCAUUCGAACUUUAGAAUUUUUUUGGGCUCAUUGCUAGGAAUUACUUUUCAGUUGUUUUUCUAACUCAUUUCAUUUAGUUUUGAACUACUGCAUGCAGCUCUCAUGAUGGAUGAUUGAACCAAAGCCUGUAGGGUGUGGAGGCUAGCGCUAGCUGGAAGCUUUUUAGUUUUUACUUUGUUUGAUUUAGAGUCGUUGUGCCAAUGUUUUGUUGGCUUCAAUUAAGGACUUUAUAGAUUAUUGGUGAAAUUAGUUAAUGUAAUUUUUUUUAGAAUUUAAUUAACGUAAUCUUAAUUUGCAUAAGAAUUGAUGUAAUUAGCACUACCAGUCUGUCAGAUUUGCUCUUGAUUUGAAAUCAAACCAUCAUCACAUUCACAUAUAAAUAUCUCUUGCUACAUAUUUGUGAUUAUUUUCUUCUAUUUGUCAUACACGGAAAAGGCAUUCCAUUAUAUUUAAUUAAUUCAAAUUUAAAAUCUCACUUUCCAAGCACAGGCAUGUGUCAUAUUUGUAAUAGUCAAAACAUGUAACUCUAAUUUGGCCAAAAAAAAAAAUGUAACCCUUAAAAAUAUACUAUAAAAUGUAUGGUUGGUGUUGGGGGCAUAUAGUGAUUCAAAAGACAUAAUGGCCACUUUCUUCAUCAGGGGCUUGGCGAAUAGAUAGGGACAUUUCGAACAUUUGCAUUAACCUGAUAUGACACAUUCAAUUCAGUCACAUCAUCAUUAUCCCUCAUUGACCCUAUACCACUCAUUUCUAAAUAUAAGCAUCUAGUAUUGUCAUCACAAGUUCCAUCUUGUUUUAAAUCAUUUAUCUUUCUCUCCUUCCAACCUUCUUCAUUUUGAUUUUUAAUUUGCAUGUCGGAGUGCAAACGCGAAGAACACUCCCUGCCUUUGUAUUUGACCCCUCUCUUCUCACUUUUUAUUCUUUCAGGAACAUUUUCACAUCGAAGCUUGAUAUAAAUAUUUGGUGCGCCAUGUAAGAGAUUUUCCAUUCAUUAGCCAAGUAUAAAACAAUGCCACUUGGAAAAGAACUUUAAAAGAAGGAAGGAUGACCUUUCUAGUCGGAAUAGAGGCACACAAUAGCCAACACUUGGACCUACCUACCAUAUAAUAGGUUGGUCUGACCAUGGAGCAAUUUCAAGACUCUGACCGAGCAGAUAUAGGUUGUCAAAAAUAUGUUACAAACUAUAACUCUACCCUAGGCUUCGAAGGUUUCAGACUUAGUUAUUCUUAGCCAAGAAGUUGUGAAAAGGCAACCGAGCUAUGAAGAGGUGAAAGCCUCAUCAACCUCCAAAAAAAAAGAGCACGACACUCUUGCUCACUACUACCUAGUCACAACUCAAUACAUGUCAUUACCCAAAAAUUAAAACAAACUAACCCAGAGCCUUAGCCAAACAAAAACCUAGAAGCUCAAAUGCCAACUAUGGAGAAAGAGCUAAAGGCGAAAGAGGUGGCUUUCAAAGACAAGCUCAAAUUUUUUAAAACCUCAUCCUUCAUCGAAGAAAUCGACAUAACUAUGUCUUCAAAAGGGUUCACAAUGUCAACCUUAGAAACUUGAGAUGGUACUUUUAAUCUUUUCGAUCAUUUGAAAGUUUAUAGAACUAAGAUGAUGAUGCAGGAUGCGAAUGAAGUUUUAAUGUGUAAAGGUCAUGCUAUUACCUUUAAAGUCGCAGCUUGAUCUUGGUUUAGUAGUUUUAAAACCAAGGUCAAUCACAACAUUUAAAAAGCUCAGCCAUUACUUCCUAUAUCAAUUUGUAAGCAGCCAAAAAAUAAAAAAGAUGACAUUAAGCUUAAGGUCGAUCCACCAAGGCCAUAAUGAAUCCUUGAAAAACUAUGUCACGCGUUUUAAUGCGAAAGGGACAUGACCUGGAACAAACAAUCGCUAUGGCCGCCUAAACAAGUGCACUCAAUGACGAAGAGUAUCACCUAACGCUGACCUUACCAUUAGAGCCACCUAAGACUUUAGCCGACAUGCUAUUUGUAGCUGAAAAAUAUAUAAACGUUGAAGCUACAAUAAAAAAUAAUCGAGUUGGGAAAGGCUCAUCCCCUCUCUUUGACGAUCGAGGUGAAAGAGGCUCAUCAUUUUCCUUGGUUGUAAAAAGGAAAAAGUUUUUAUGAGCCUUCCCUAAAAGAAGGAUGACAUAGGGCUUAGAGCCAUAGUAGAGAAAGAAAUUAUACUGCACUGAAUACCUCCUGAAAAGGAUUCUAAUGCAAAUCGAGAGGAAUCUGGUGCUCAGAUGGCCAAAGCCACUGAAAGAGAAUACGAGAAGGGAUUUAACCGAAAGAUGUGCCUUCCAUAAAAAUAUAGGCCAUAAUAUUGAGGAUUGUGUUGACCUCAAAAAUGAAAUUGAACCUUUGAUCAAAAAAAGUCAAAUGAGGAGGUUUGUGGACCAAAAAAGAAAAAGCAAAACAUAUCGAAUUACAGAUGGCAUUAAAGAGAGCCCACGAGGGGUAGGGAAGGCAUGUUAAGGAAAACAAAAGAGGAAAAGUUUGAGGAAAUGAGCAAAGAUAGGAAAAAGGCUAAACUGAUAAUAAUAAGCUUAUUGCUGAAAUGAUUAAUGUGAUUACUAAAUGAAGCUUAACCUCGGCUAAAAGAAAGUCCAACCUAACUAUGAUCAUGGCUAUUGGCUUUUCAACAAAGAAAGAAAAAAAUUGGAAAAAUGAACCGAUCUCAUUUAACUUGAAGGAUUUGGAAAGAAUCCAACUUCCUCACGAUGAUGCUGUAGUAAUCACAGUUGUAGUACAUAAUUAUGUGGUUAAAAGGAUCAUGUUCGAUAAUGGGAGUUCCACCGACGUCAUGUACUAUGCCACCAUAAAGAAAUGGGUAUUAAAGAGGAUUAGUUGCAAUUGAUUACCAUAACCCUAGUAGGAUUUAGGAACAAGCAAGUACCCACAAAAAGGACUAUAAAACUACCAAUCACUUUAGGGAGGGAAUCGAAAAUAGUCACCUUGGUCAUAGAAUUCAUGGUAGUAGAGUCCCAUCUAUCUAUUAAGUUAUCCAAACAUUGGAAAAUGAAGAAAUGGACUUUAGAAAUUAUUUUCAUGCUUACCAAAUAGAGUGUAUUUUAUCUUUUAGCGUGUCCAUGGGUAAUGAAAUUCUUUGUUUGCAAAAUGGGCAUUCAACGAAAGGGAUGAAUAGCUAUAUUCGAACUUUAAGAGGAUUGGUAAUGAAAUUGUGAAAAAAUGCAUGUUAAAGUGAGUUAUCCCACAUUUAAUAAAUUUUUAAUAUCUUGUAAUCUUAUAUUCAUGUUGGGCCUUUUUACUUACUAUCAAUUAGUAGUAGAUUAGAUGCUUAACAUGGUUUCAGAGCUAAGAUUUUCUUUUCGUUGUUCAUUCCUAUUUUGUCAUGUGAAAGGCUUUUCCAUCUUCGCCUACACGUGAUGAAGCCUUAUUAAAGUGGAUUAUCCCACGUCUAAUGAAUAUCAAAUAUCAUGUAGUGUUAUAUUCAAGUUGGGUCCUUUUACUUAUAAUCAAUUAAUUUUAAGUUAGAUGUGUAACAUUUUCAAAAGAUACUGAAUAUGACAUUGAUUAUAUUAUCCAAUUCUUGAUGCCAAUGGACUUCUUGAAAUUCCCAAGCAAAGUGAAGGCGAAUGCAUGGAAGAUGUUGGGUUACAGUAUUUCAAGGACUUAUUGUCAAGGUGUUUUGUCCAAGAUAGAAACUAAUUUUAUAUCUUCAAAAUGCAUGAUCUUAUACACGAUCUCGCAUUAAAUGCUUCACAAGAAGAGUGCUUAACAGUAUAUCAACAUGUGGUAAAUGCUUCUGAAAAUAUUCGGCAUUUGUCAUUUUGUGAUCAAAAUAUUCCAUUGAGAACUACACAACUUUUUUUAAAGAAGUUGAAUGGUGUGCGCCCAUUAGUAAUCCUACCUCCUCGAGGAUACUAUAGGAUGGUUGAGAAAUCAUUUCUGAGUGCUUGCAUCUUCAAUUUUAAGUACCUACGGCCAGGGAUUCAAAUUACGGUUGCGGACACAUUUUCGAUCGCGUCGCGUUUGUCGCGAUUGCGUAUAUAACGAAGAUUAUUGCGAUCAUUACGGUUAUCAAGGUCGUGAAUUUUUUUUUAAUUUUUUACAAUUUACUAUAAAAUAUAGUAAUUAUAAUUAUAAUAAUAAAAAUUAGUACUUGUAAUUUUUAAAGUAAUGUAUGAUAUUUUAAUUUUUAUUUAUAACUUAAAAUGAUUUUUUAUUGUUUUGUAGUUAUGAUUCAAAAUGAAAAUGAAUAUUAUAAAUGUUUUUUUUAUUAUACUUAUGAAGUUCAAAGACAUAAAUAUUAUAAAUACAUAUGAUAGAAAAAAUAUAUCUUAUAUGAAGUUAAUAAUGAUUAUAAUUAAUUUAAUUAAAAAAUUAGUGUUGAAUAUCUAAAAGAAAGAAGGCGAACUGACGGUCCUCCUACUGAAAGAAGUGGAAUAAGCAAGCAAAGAACCCAACAAGUGAUUUUCCUUGACCCGACAAAAAAAGAAAGGAACAAACGAGCUUCGCACCGGGCACAGCUUCCCAUUUCAAGAAACAAGAAAUGAAGAGGGAAGUCCGAGCUUUUCCACGAGCUCAUGUCAAAUUCUCUCUGAAAUCCAAAAUGAAAAGAAAGACCUACUUAUUGGGGCUAGGAAACACCCCAUCCGGCCGAGAUUGAUCGGCUGCAAUGGCUGCUCGUGGCCAUUAUGAUUGUAAAUUUCAUUUACAACCCAAUUUCGGGUACGUAGCGGUGGCGGAGACUACCGAAACCGCAAAAUAGCGGCCGCAAUGCCACUACACAACCACUAUUUGAAACCCUGCCUACGGCUACUUGAUCUGGAAAAUUCCUGGUUGGAGGUAUUACCAAAAUCCAUCUGCACCUUGAAGCAUUGACUGUAUCUUAACUUAACUAGGUGUAUUAGAUUGACUAGGCUUCCUAAGUCUAUCUAUAAGCUCCAGAGCUUGCUGACAUUGAGAUUAUUUGAUGUUCCAAAAUUGCAAGUGCGUGACAAUUUGCAAAGAUUGAUCAGUCUCAGAUUGCAAAGUUGGAGUUCGCUUCAGUUCUUAUUCUUCUACGAGUGUAAGACACUGGAAUGUUUGUUUGAAGGGAUGCAAUGCCUAACAUCACUUAGAAAUUUGACUAUGAAGAAAUGAUAUAGACUUGUCUUACUGCCUCGAAGUCUGAAGUUCCUAGUCAAAUUAGAGGAAAUUGCAAUUGUUUCCUUCCCAAUGAUCAAUUUACGCACGGAACCGGAAGGCAGAGAAGACCAAGACCUUCACUUGAGCCUUCAGAAGUUGAUAUUACGUGAUGCACCAAACUUGGAGGAUCUGCCUCGAUUGCUUCUUGAGGGAUCUGUUGGCUGUUUGCAAUCCAUUGAAAUCCAGCAUUGCCCCAACUUUGAGAUGCUACCAGAAUGGCUAAAAAAUCUUAAUUCACUUCAAAGACUGGAGAUUCUUAAUUGUCCCAAAUUUUCCUAUCUUCCCGAUGGAAUAGACCAUCUCACUGCACUUAGACAACUGAAGUUUCAACAAUGUCCUACAUUGUGUGAAAACUGCCAACCGGAAGCUGGCGCUGAUUGGUCCAAGAUAUCACACAUCCGCGAUGUUCAUAUUGAAGACCAAAAGAUUAUCAAGUCACGUUAGAGGGUAUUUAUUUAUUUAGCAAUCUAAUCUAUCACUGUUCGAUGUACUUCUUUAUAAUUCUGAAAUACUAUUUCUUUUUCUUUUCUCCUUUUCUGAUCUCUCAGGGAAAAACUUAAAAAAAAAAAAAGAGGAAAUUUCUGUUUUAUGAAUUUUUUAUAUUUUAGAUUUGAAAUUAAACACUUCAAAAUUGCUGCUGAAAAAAAUUCCCAAAUUGAGAUGGAGCAUUAAUUAUGGAUGGUCUUAUUAUAUAGUACUACUAUAUGUUCUUAUGCAUGACAUUUUCGUUUGCAUUUCCUUUUAAUUUCUAGAAUUCAGAUUAAAUGUCCUCUAAUUUCCAGUCAAAAAUUAAAAAAAAAAUGAUCAUAUAAUUUGCUCAAUGUAUACAACCUUUGCAAAUUUUAAUAAUCUGUAUUUUUGAAGUCACAGGUAAAUUAUGAACUAGAUACUUUGAUGAAAAUAAAGGAGUAGCAGGUGAGACUUCAACCCAUCCAUAGCAUUCUACUAUAAUUAAAGUUCAUCAGCAAGAUUUUAUAUGUCAGACUUCUACGAAUUGAGUUUUAUAUAUAUAUAUAUAUACAUUUUUAUAUUAAAUCAAAUAUAUACAUCUUUAUGUAUGCAUGUCUGUAUUUUUUAUGCAAAAUUAAAUAGAUUUUAUUAGAAUGAAAAGUUUACAAAAUGUAUGUAUGUAUGUAUAUAUAUAUGUAUAUAUGUAUUUGGUACAUUGGAGCAGACUAAGUCGGCAAAAUUACUCAAGAUGUUUAUUUAUAUAUUAAACCUAUAGGAAUUGCAUUUUAGCUGUAUUUUUAAUUCAUUUAGUUUUAACCAAUGCAAGCAGCUCUCAAGAUGGAAAAUUCAGGGAAGGCGUGUUGGGUAUGGAAGGCUAGCAGUAAGCAUUUUACUUUGUUUGAUUUACAGUCUUUUUGCUGUUGUUAAGAUGCCUUCAAUUAAGGACUUUAUGGAAUAUUAUUGUUGUAAUAAAUGAAUGUGAUUUUAAUUUGUUUCAGAUGUAAUGUAAUUAACAGUGCUAUUCUGUAAGAUUUUGUUGUGAUAUUAUGUACCAGACAUACUUAAUCAUGUGUUUGUUGUGUUAUGACUAGUUUGUUUUAAAUUGCUCGUAGUUUAUCUGUAUCCCAUUGUGGGCUUUUUCUUGGUUUGCUUCAGAUAUCAAGUCUCUUGGUUUGAUGUAACAUUUGUUGCUUUGAUGUUGCGUAUUGAUUGUAGUUCAUGUUUGUAACAUUGUUUGACCCCAUGUACCUAGAAUAUGUAUUUGUUUGCGUAAUCUACUUCAGUAUUCAUUUCAGUGUUCUAUAUUCAGUUAUUGUUUCCUCGGGGUGAAUGAUAUUAUCUCAUUUAAAAAGCAUUGGUUCUAAAUAAAAUCAGAACUUUACUUGGAGGUUGUCGCAUAACAGUUUUUUUUUUUUUGAAAUUUUUCGACGUUCGAUAAUAAUUUUGAAUCUCGAUUAAUUCAGAAUCAAACUAAAUCAAAAAUCGUAAGUUCUUUCAAAAUUAUUUUUUUAUUUACAGAACUCAAAAACUAAAACUUUACUUAAAGUUAACCAUCCGUGCUGCAUAACAGUUUAAUUAUAACAAAUCAAUGCACCCCUAAGUCAUGUGUAAAUCUUAUAAAAGGUCACUUUUACUUGUUUUACACGACGGGAGAACGUGUGAAAGAAAAUAGAUAUUUAUUUGAAAAUUUUAUCAACUAUCAGUAAAUUGAAUAAUUUAUUGCAUCAAAGUGAAACUCUACGAGGUAUUCAUACAACACGAUACUAAUGAUAAUAAAAAUAUUUUUAUAUAUUCUUUCUUCUCUCAAUUUAUUUGUUUUAAAAAAUUCUAAUUUUUGUAUUUAAUAUUAUAAUUUUAAUUUUUUAUAAUAUUGAUGUAUCAUAUUUUUUAUUGUCAAAAAAUAAAUUUUAAGUAUAAAGAUAAAAUAAAAGGUAUUCAGAUAUUUUGAAAAAUCUAUAUCUUGAAACGACUCAAAAAUGAAAAAAAAAAUGGAAGAAAUACUACCUAUGUAAAAAUAUUCAAUGUAAAUAAGACCCAAAAUAAAAAUUUACAUUAUACCCAUAUUAAAUAAUUGAAUUAAGUUUAAGACCACACUUAAAAAUUCUUAAUUGCAAUAAAAUUAAGUUCAUUACCCAUAUUAUUUCCACUAGGUGAUGCUUAAAUCUAAAUAUGGAAUCCAUCAGUCGUUUAGUUUUUUAUCAGUUCGGCUUUAAAAAAAAUUUUCAAGCAAAAUGCAUUUCGUUUCGUGUCCGUCGAUACACUCACUGAUUUUUUUUUUUUUUUGCGUGUCCAUGGGUGUCCCUCGCGUUACGAUAGGGUGGAUGCUGUGAUUCCUGGAAAGCAUCCAUUUUUCAUUGUGCAAACAUUGAAAGCUUUUUUUUUUUUUUUGUUCUUUUGGUGGUGAUGUAGCUGAUCAUCAACCAAACCACAAGUAUAAAAGUACUGAUGGCUGCUAAAAUAAAAUAUUUACUCUAAACUCACUUGUGUAAUUUCCCGAAAACAAACUUCAUUAUAAAUACUAUACUCAAUUGUCAUUUACCUUUGAUUACCUCUCCAGAGUUUAAUUAUGGCGGAAUCAUUUCUGGCCAUCGUUGCAGAACAGAUUUUGGAAAAGAUAGUAUCCCUGGCUGCCAAAGAAACUAUAUCGCUUUGGAAUGUCAGUAGUGAUUUGAGAAGGCUUAAGGAAACCAUGACCUACAUAAUGCUGUGCUGUUAGAUGCUGAAAAAUGGCAGCACCAGAACGAGACGUUGCUACUUAGUUUGGGGAAGCUUAGAGACGUCUUAUAUGAUGCUGAGGAUGUGCUUGAUGAAUUCAGGUGUGAAGCGUUGCGAAAGGAGUUGAUCAAUCGUGGAAGCGCCACCAACAAAUUAGUACGAUUACCUGCUCUCUCUAUUCCAUUUGCAUUCCCUUUGAGGAUGAGUCAUAAAAUCAAAAAGAUCAAUGAAAAGCUAGAUGCGAUAGCUAGUGAUUUCAAAAAAUUUAAUCUUGGACUUGAAGAGAAAGUUGAGAACCGGCGUGUUAUUCUCAUGGAUACCCACUGCUUUGUGAUACCUUUUAAUGUGAUAGGUCACAAUUGAGACAAAGAAAACAUCAUAGAUCUUUUAGUCAAGCCAAUCGAUACUGAAAAUAUCCCCGUCAUCCCUAUAGUUGGAAUCGGAGGUUUAGGGAAGACCACGCUUGCUCAACUUGUGUACAACGAUGAAAGGAUCACUAGGGUCUUUCCCUUGAAAAUAUGGUUGUGUGUCGGAUGAGUUUGAUCUUGCUAGGUUGCUUUGUGAUGUUAUUUACUCCAUUACGGGAGAAAGAUGUAAUGGUUUACCAGUUAAUGCAUUGCAAACUCAUUUGCGAAUGCUUUUAAAUGGUAAAACUUUUUUACUCAUUUUAGAUGAUGUAUGGAACGAAGAUCAUGUAAAAUGGAUGGAACUGAGAGAUUUACUGAUAACAAUGGGUAACUUUCAACAAAGUAAAAUCAUUGUGACUAACCGGAGUUCAAAAGUUGCUUCGAUAGUGGGUACUAUUGCUCCGUACAACUUGAAAGGUCUUAGUCACUAAGAUUGUCUAUCUUUGUUUGUAAAAUGGGCAUUUAGGGAAGGAGAUGAGAAAAUAUAUCCAAACCUUAUGAGAAUUGGUGAUGAAAUUGUGAAAAAAUGCAAAGGGGUUCCAUUGGCAGUGAGAACUUUAGGGAGCUUGCUCUACUGAAAACUGAGCGACAUGAAUGGGAAUUUAUCAAAGAUAACGACAUAUGGAAACUUGAUCAAAAUGAAAAUGACAUUCUACCUAUGCUGAAAUUGAGUUAUAAUCAUUUGCCAUCUCAUUUGCAAAGGUGCCUAACUCGUUUGUCAUUGUUUCCAAAGGAUACUAUUUAUGAUACUGAUUAUAUCGUCCAAUUCUGGAUGGCCAUUGGACUUACUGAAAGCCCCAAGCAAAACGAAGAGUGGGAAGAUGUUGGGUUACAAUAUUUCAAAGAAUUAUGGUCGUUGGGUUUUGUCCAAGAUGUCGAGGUUGAAUAUACAUAUUACACAUUUAAAAUCCAUGACCUAAUACAUGAUCUCUUGUCAAAUGUGUCUCAAGAUGACUGUUUAACAAUUUAUCUUCAUACAAUAAAUACCGCUGAUCAUAUUCGACAUCUGUCAUUUUCGGGUGAUAAUCCAUUGAGGGCUCCACAGUCAUUUUUGAAGAAUUUAAAUGGUGUGCGGACAUUGGUGAUCCUACCUUCUUCAGGAAGAAAUAGGAUAAUUGAGGAACAUUUUGUGAAUGCUUCCAUCUUGAAUUUCAAGUUCCUGCGGCUACUUGAUCUCUUCUAUUCAUUUUUGGAAGUAUUGCCCAAUUCUGUUGGCACCUUGAAGCAUUUAAGAUAUCUUGACUUAUCCAGGUGUUAUAGAAUGAGCAAGUUUCCUCGUUCUAUCUAUAAGCGUCAAAGCUUGUUGACAUUAAGAUUGUUGGAUAUUGAUUGCCAAUUGCAACUGCCUCGCAAUUUGCAAAGUUUGGUCAAUCUCAGGUUUCUAGAUCUAAUCGGGGAUACUCAUGAGAAAUUAACACCCACACACAGCACCCACAUACACAAAAUAACAAGCUCAAAUCAAAAAUAAAAACACAAACAUAUUUGAUUAAACCCAAAUCAAAAUGGUUUACUCAAAACUCAAUCAACUAACAAUAAAUUUUUACAACUAUGAAACUUUUAAAAUGAGAAAAAUCUCCAAAAACUUUUUAUUUGAAACUUUACCCAAAACUUAAUUAUACCAUUUUAAUAACCUACUUACGUAACUAUUCUUUUGGUGUCUAACUCUCUAAGACUCUCAAACCAAAACUAAAACAUUUUAUUUAUAAGGAUAAAAUUUGUUAUAACUUUAUUAAGCUCUCGAUAUGGGAUAUAAGAUAAACUCAAAACUCUUAUAACUUUCGAUAUGUAAUUAUAAGAUUCAAAGCAAAUCCAAAGAGAUACUACGCAUAUAAGUGAGAUUCCACCAGGAUGUUGGAGUUCUCUUCAGUUCUUGUACUGCUACGGAUGUGAGUUGCGGGAAUAUUUGUUUGAAGGGAUGCAACACCUGACAUCACUUCCUGACAUCACUUCGAAGUUUGACUAUAAAAUGUUGCUCUAAACUAGUCUCACUACCACGAAGUCUGAAAUUUCUAACCAAGCUGGAGUGUAUUACUAUAGUUGAAUGCCCAAUAAUCAAUUUACGCAUGGAACUGGAAGAAAGAGAAGACUGGGACCUUCGCCUGUGCCUUUAGCAAUUGGAAAUACGAGGUGCACCAAAGUUGGAGGAUCUACCGCGAUUGCUUCUUGAUAGAUCUGCUAGCACUUUACAACUUAUAAAAAUUCACCGCUGUCCCAACUUUGAGAUACUACCGGAAUGGCUACAAAAUCUGUCAUCACUUCAAAAACUUGAGAUUCUUGACUGCCCAAAAUUAUCCUCUCUUCCGGAUGGUUUGGAUCGCCUCACCUUGCUUACCCAACUACAGAUUCGAAAAUGUCCUACGUUGAGUGAAAAAUAUCAACCCGAAGUGGGUGCUGGUUGGUCUAAGAUAGCACACAUCCAAGAGGUUCAUAUUUAAGUUCAGAAGAUUUACCAGGUAUGGUUUGUGGUACUUAUUAAUUUCUUUAACUUUUAUCUCUUCAUUGCUAGUUAAAAUUGACCAUAUAAGUUCCUCUCUACGCAUGUAUUAUGCAUACAACAUUUGCAAAUUUUAAUGAUUUGUACCUUUGAUCGCAGGUAAAUUUUGAAGUCGAUGCUUUGGUGAGAAUAAAUGAGCGGCAUGUGAGACUUCAAUCCACCCAUUUCCACAAGAUUCAUUCGAACUUAGCUUCUUUUUUUUUUUUGGAACAUUGCUCGAAAUUACUUUGAGUUGUAUUUUUAACUCAUUUCAUUUAGUUUUGAACUACUGCAUGCAGCUGUCAUGAUGGAUGAUUGAACCAAAGCCUAUCAGUAUAGAGGCUAGCGCUAGCUGGAAGCUUUUUAGUUUUUACUUUGUUUGAUUUAGAGUCUUUGUGCCAAUGAUUUGUUGGCUUCAAUUAUGGACUUUAUGGAAAUAUACUAUAAAAUGUAUGGCUGCGUAUAACCAGAAAUAUGAAUACUUGAAAUUUGUACCAUUUUAUAUGUUCCAACUAGCAAAGCAAGUUGAGAAUAAGAAUAUGUCAUCUAUCUAUUAUCUAUCAUAAAAUGAAACUCAACUAGAGAUGCAUAGUUGGGUGACACUAUGGGUGGAGAUUCAUCAUUUAUUCAACUUUAUGUCAAUACUGACUUUUUGCAAAAAAAAAAAAAUAUGUUGGAAGGAGAAAAAAAAAACAGAAAGAUUGAGUCUGAAAAAGAAUGAACGGUGGAAAAACAAAGAAAACAACAAUCAAAAUUUACUAAAACUCAAAUCAAUCCAAAAAUUCACGCAUGCAGACAUCAUAACCUUUUCCAACACCUAUAACAAGCAAAUCACAUUUAAAGAAAAAAUGGGGAAAAAAAGAGAACAUCAGAAAAACAAAUUGAGAAAAAAAAUUGUUUAGGUUGUUUUAAAGUUACAAUGCCCACUUGGUACCUCUCUUGAAUGGUUAGGUUCUUUUUCAUAUAUAGCUAGCUGUUUCCUUCAUGUUUCCUUUCCUUUGAAAUGGGCAUGGCAGACAAACCAAAAAUGUCGUUUUCAUUAAAUAAAACGAUAGUGUUAUUGCAUCUUUCAUUAAAUAAAAUGAUAGAGUUAUUACACUAUCAUCACUCUGCGGUCCAUCUAAAUCUAAGUCUAAUACCAUCAUUGUGCUAUUGCACCUUUCAUUAGAUGAUGUAUCUGCAUUACUUGAUGUAAACAUCCUUGGAAUUGACCCAUUAAUUGUGAGUGUUCCCAUAUUUUUGUAAUUAGCAUAAGGAAGGAUGAUAACGGAUUAAAUCAAUGUGAAUUUUUAUUUUAUUUAAUUUCAAUUCAAUUUUUUAAUUUUUACACUCAAUUUUAAUUUUAUUUGACAUCAAAAUAUUAUUUUAUUCAAUUCGAUUAGUAUAUUUAUAAAUUGCAACCAAUUUGUUUCUAUUCAAAAUUAAUAUAAUAAUUUAAUUUAAUACAAUAUUCAUAAAAUAUUAUUUCUAAAUAUAAAUAUAUAUCUUAGUUAUAUAUAAUAUAAAAUUCUUAUUAAAUCAAUACCUUAAAUUAAAAUAUUAAAUAAUUAUUUUAUUAAUAUAAUAUAUAUAAACAUAAAAGUAAAUAAAUAAUAAAAAUAUUUUUUAUAUACAUGCAUCUAGUGGAGUUGGAACAACUUAAAAUCCAACUUCAACUCAAACCCAAUUUAAAGAAAAAAAACAGAAAAAGGAAAUCCAAUCCACUUUCGAUCUGAUUUUUUAUUUAAAAAAAAUUUAUUUUGUUUAAAAUUAAUUAAAAUCUCUAAGAUAUAAAUUAUUUUAUCACCUAAAUAUAAUUUUAUAAAAUUUUUCGAUGUUAAAGUAUAAGACUUAUAUCUUUUUAUACACUCUGCUUCAGCUGUUUGUCGUGUUCUGAUUCAUUGAUUAAACGAUUAUCUCAUUCAAGUAUCUCCAUUUCGCAUAAAUUCAUCCAUUAUUGUCUAUCGAGGAGGCCCAUAAAAUGUGACUAUAAGUUAAAUCGCGAUUUGGAUUCAAAAGCAUUCCUAACGUAAAUACACUGGCAUGAAAAUUUGUGCAAAUGCAUUGAACACGCAAUUCGAUGUCCAUCACGAAAUCAACUUUUACUCAUUGAAUUUUUUGGUUUUAGUGGAUGAACGCUCGAUUGCAUUUUUUUUUUUUUACCUUUUUAAUUGUAUUGAAGAGACAAAAAAAAAUAUUUUUAUAAUUUAACCUUUUUUUUUAUUUAAUAUAAUAAAAUUAUUAUUUGAUAAAUUAUUAUUUUUAUUAAUUAUCAAUUAUUUAUUAAUAAAUUAUUAUUUGACAUAAAUUAUUUGAAUAAAUUUAUAAUUAUUUAUUAAUUUUAUAAAUUUUAAAAUUUUAAAAUUUUUUAUUAAAUAUAAUUUUUAAUUUAAUAUCCUAUAUGAUUUUUUAUUCUCACUAUAACUUAAUUUAUAUUUAAUAUUUUUGUUUUAUUCAAACACAUAUCUCACAACUAUUUUUACUCUUAUUAUUAUUAUUAUAAUUAUUUUUACUUUUAUUAAUAUUUUUAAUUUAAUCAAAAUCAUCCUUAUCAUUCAUUCAAAUUAACUUUAACACAAAGAAGUAGAAUAGUAAUCAAAAUCCUCUUAUUAACUUAGCGUGAAAGAGGAAGACUUCGUCGAAUUUUUUUUUUUUUUUUUAAAUUGAUUAGUUCCACAAUAUUAAGAAAUUUGAUAGAUAGAAAUCUUAUUAACUUGUUGGGGAGUGGAUGGACCGUCAACGUCUAGUCGUUUGUGUACAGUUUUCGCCAAAUGAAUAAAUUAUUCGAAAAUAUAUACAUCUUGGAAAGCUAUAUAUGAAGAUCAAUUGGCUGGCUCAAGGGCAAAGUCAAUGAACUGCUCAGAGAAAAAGAGAGCGUUGACCUGUCUUUUAACUUAAUACCCUUCGUCUUUUCUUUGAUUUCAGAGUUCAGAUAUGGAUGAAUUAUUCUUAUUCGAGAUUGCAGAAAGUGUUUUGGAGAAGAUAACUUCCCUUGCUAUUGAGGAAGUUCGCUUCAGGUGUAUAUAAUAAACCUCUCUAUGCAUGAAAUCAGUACCAUCUCACAAAGAGAGAUGCAUAAAAAGAUGCAGAAAUAAGCAUAAAUAAACUCAGUAAACACACACUUACAAGACAAAAGAAUGUCUUUUAAGGCUCAUAGUUAUCGAGUAUUAUGUAAUUUUCCAUGCAUAAUGAGACUGAUAACACAUGCAGAUUAGUUUGAGACAAGAAAAGAGUGGCACUCUUUAGAAGUACAAACCUCCCUUUCCUGCAGGGCUGCCUCCUUUCUGAAGAGGAAGACAAAUAGCGCAUAAGAAAAAGGAAAAAUAAAUCACAAUAUAACAUUAAAUUCUUGUAAGCCAUGAAACUUGCCUGCUUAAAAGACGUGCUUCUAAAGUUACACCUUCUCCAAGAUUAGCAAUCUAUAUUGAACAUGUUAUGAAUCAAGUAAACAAAUACAUAAUUUUGCUUGCUGGAGCGGUAUAAAGUUCAUUUACAUUUCUCUUGUUUAGUUUUCUUUAAACUGAGAAAAGUUCACCUGUUUCUCAAGCUGCUGAGCUCUUGCUUCUUGCUUCCUCACACCUCUCCUCUGCAAGUUGAAGCUGGGAAGGCAAAUAUCAUGCAAAAAUAACAGUAUAAGACUAUUAUUAACAUUUUCCGUAGGCCAAAGCACUUAGUUGGCUAACCUAAUUACAUCAGAGUUUUUGGGAGAAAAUGGUUGUUGCAAAAGUUAUAUCCAAAUGCCAGUAUUCAGAUAGAUUAUGCCCGUUCAUUUGAAGAUAACUGUUGCAACAAUUUAGGAUAUUGGCUCAGUGCUUGAAGAUGAUGGAGAGCCAAAUUGAUGUGCAUGAAUACAAUAUCAUUUUCCAAAUAAAACUUUUCAUACAACUUUACUAGAUACAACAAUAGAACAAGUUACAUAACAAAGAAGAAAAAAGUUGCUGGAAUCACCUUUUCAAUUAAACUUUCAUUUUCAUCCUGUAGCAUAUCAAGCUGCCAUGAAAUUCACACCACAUUACUGGAAGAUAAAAAUAAACAUUUUCCUAAGCUUCUUCAUGUGUUUGAUCACAUAGACUGAAAAUUGAAGUGUUCAGACUUGAACAAAUUAAUUAGGUUUUUGAAAAAGAAGAUAUGAUGACCUAUACACCUGCUUUCAAAUAAUUCCUUAGAAACAAAAAAGAAAAAAAUAAAAUUGCAACUAAUAUAUGCUAGAAGGAAACACAUAUUUAGCUUAACGUGACUGUACCUCAUCUUGUAAAGCAGAAGUAGACUGCUGUCUUCCCCUAUCUUUCAAACUGCUCAUACUCCCAAAAUCUGAAGACAAUCUGCUUACACUAUAAAUUUUAGAGCACUAUAGAUGAAACAAAGAAAGAACCUAAACCAGUGCAAUGGGCAUUUUACAUGAUCCCAGGAUCUUGAGACCCUAACAUUAUUAAUUGAGAAAAACGCAUGACGGUGAUGGGCUUAAAUACUUCCAGGGGAGGGCAUUAUGCAUUCUUGAAUACUGGAAGAGCAGCAACAAAGCCUUUCUUACUGUAGAGAUGAAAACAUAAGGACCUGAAUUACUCAUAUAUAUCUAUUAUCUUGUGACUAUGUUAUAUAAGAAUGUUCUUAAUGUUGUUUAAAUUUAUGACACUCAAUCGCUUCUAAAUCACGAAUCAGAGAAGUUGCUCCAUUUGAUGGCAGAUUUCCUCAUUCUCUUUCUAAUAUAUCUAAAACUUCAAAGACCAAGUUAAAAGGGAAAAUUCACAUUAUAUGUAUAAAACUAACAAAAAAAAAUAAGGGUGACGAAAGAAAAAAGUUGGAGGGGAUUACGAUAUGGAUGAUAACUUCAUCCUUCAAACUGAAAUCACACCAGCUUAGAGCUAUAAUAUACCGUUUAUCUCUCCGAUUAUCAGUUGAAGCCUCUGUUGAACUAACAGAUGAGGUUGGCUUCAGUGGCAUAGGCACUGUAUGAGGUAUCACAGGAACUGCCUUGACUCCUAAAUGUUGGCGACCUGAUGCUGUGGAACGAGCAGAUAAAGGUUGCUCUAUGGAUCUGGUUAAUGGACAUAACCGGCCAGCAGUUGGCUGUUCUGCAGAACCCUGCAGAGAUGGUUGUCCGCCUGAAAUGGAAUAAGGAGACAUGGGUUGCUCCACAGAGCUGAUAGAGUGAGAUGGUUGGCCACUUGAAUAAGAUGAUAAUGGUUGCUCCAUAUUGUUGACAGAUAGAGAGGUUUGACUGCCUGGUGUGGAACGUGUAGAUGGUGGUUGAUCCUGAUUGAUAUGAACUGACUAAUAGCAAAUUUAAACUUACAAGUAAGAAUUACAUUCAUAAGUAAUAUAAGCAUUAAACAAACAAAAAAUUUAGAUAACUGAGCAUACUCAGUUAACAGACAAAUUACUGAGGGAGAAGAUGAACGUAUUGCUUUUCCACAAGCAAGUCCAAUGGUUGCUGUGCCACUCGCUGAACUAUUAUUAUUUGCAAGGUCAUCCACAUCAUUGUCCUCAUCACCUGGUUGCUGUGCUACUUGUUGCACAGGCCUUUGAGCCAUAGUUUUGGCCUGUGUUUACGAAUGGAAGUCCAUAUAAGAAUGCAUUUCUCAGUAGCAUAAAACUCCAGCAUUAACCGUAAAUCUUUUCCUUAAACUCACAUCAUAACUUGUCUGCUCAAGCUCAUGCUUCUUCUCUCACAUUAGCAUGACAAGCAAGAAAUAGCUAAAACAAAUUCAUAAUAGGAAAUCACAUAAUUACCAUAGAAGGGCGUGACUGCAUUGCCCUACCACGAGCAAUACCAAUGCUUGCUCUGCCACUAACUAAAAGGUCAUCCUCAUGAUCGCCCUUAUCAGAUGCUUUCCGUGUAGUAACUUGUGGCAGCCGCUUCUGAGUUAUGUUUUUAGUCUGCAAAAUUAUACAGUGCUAGUCCACUGAGAACAUAUUUGUUGGUAGCAUCAGGCUUUUGCAUGUAAUGUGUAAGUCACAGAAGUUACAAACUAACGAUUAGACAUCUAUGAAUUAUCUUAUUCAACAAAUUCCUUUGCAACUUAAUAUUAAACUUUCUUCCCUAAACACAUUUCAAGCAGCAACCCAAUUAUAAACAACAAUAUGUUCAAAUCACCAAAUUUGUACUGAUAAGAAAAUCAAAUAAGUAAUUUUGCACGCAAGACCCAUAUGGUUACCAAACAACUAGUCAACUGAAUAAUACACUUCUCUUUGUAAUAAGUAAUAAUGCAUUAAGGAAUAUUCGGAGUCCUUAAAGACUAAAUCAGUCAAUUACUGAUUUCCAGUGCUCAAGCAUGCAUGAACAGGUCACUCAAUUAUUAGCUUACGACUUAUCUUGUUCACACUCUCACGUUCCAUUUCAUACCGUGUUGACAAAAUGUUACAUUUAUCAGAGACAGCUCAAGCCAAGCUUAUAAAAACACAGUACUUUCAUAGCUCCAAAAGUUAAAAUGACAAAAAGAUAAAUUUAAAAUUUUAAGUCUGAAACUUAAACAACUUGAGCAAUUUUAGAUAAAACCUAUUAUAUGUCCAGAGAAUUUAAAAUUUGUUAUAAAUGUAGCUCAAACUAAGAAUUUAACUUGUCUAAUUGCAUUCAUUUUCUUUCCCUGAGGCUCACUAGACAAACAUGUCUAUCUAAAUCAGAUAGUCAUAUAAUUACCGCAGGAGAGCGUGACUGCAUAGCCCUUCCACCUGCGAGCCCUAUGCUUGAGGUACCACUCACUAAAAGGUCAUCAUCAUCAUUGUCCUCAUCAGAUGGUUGUUGUGGUGCUCGCCUUUGAGCUAUGUUUUUGUUCUGGGUUUUACAAGAUAACUUGCAGUAAGAACAUAUUUAUUUGCAAUGUAAAACCAGCUAGCAUGCUAACAUGAACAAGCUUUAGAGCAGCAUAAGAGAGUUUGAAAUACAUUACAAUGCAUGACAAAUUGAUAAUACAGUUAAUAGUGGUCAAAAAAAUCUUUUAUAGAGAAGUGUUAUUUUAACUUGUCAAAUGGAAUUUAUUGAACUACAACAAGUUUGUGCGUCUCACUUUGACACACAUGCAGCUGGUAUAGCUAAAACCAAAUUUGUGUUAGAUAAUUACUGCAGGAGACUGUGACCGCAUUGCCCUUCCACCAGCGAGACCUAUGCUAGCUGUGCCACUGACUAAAAGUCCAUCCUCAUCAGCUGGUUGUUGUGUCAUCACUACUGGAGCUCGCCUUUGAGGCAUGUUUUUGUGCUGGAUUUUACAAUGCAAGUCCAAGUAAGAAUAAAUUGACUUGCAAUGUCAUAAGUCAUAACUCUACCACAUGCAACCAUGAACAAAUUUAGAGUUUAGAGCAGCAUAAGAGAAUUUAAUACUUAAUUGAGUCAUGAUCAUAGCUAAGGAAAGUGUCUUUUAACUUGCCUAAUUCAACUCGCUCUUUUUUCUCUUACCUCUCACUUAACUAACAUAGCAUAGGUCAACCUAAACCAAAUUCCUAGUAUUAGAUAAUUCGAUAUAAUUACCAUAGGAGAGCGUGACUGCAUUGCUCUUCCACCACCAAGCCCUAUACUUGGCGUGCCAGUCACUAAAAUGUCAUCCUCAUCAUUGUCCUCAUCAGCUAGUUGUUGUGUCAUUGCCUGUGGAACUCGCUUUGAGCCAUGUUUUUGUUCUGGAUUUUACAAAGUUAAACCCAGCUGGUAAGAAGUAAGAAUUAUUUAUUUCCAAUGCCAAGCUCUUGCAUAGCAAAAUAGUGUUGAAAAUGCCCAUUAAAGAAAAGUGCCUAUGACAGAACUGAUAAUGGGGUAAGUUUAAAAAAAACAUAUAAAGAUAUUUUAAUCCAUUGUUUCACUUCUUAAACAGUUCAUUAUUCAUACUGAUAUGAAGCUUUAAUCUCAAAAUUAAUGUAAAAAUUGUCAAAACCAUCAUGUUUCGAACACAUACUUGUAUCCGACACCCUACCCCUGAGAUCACGUAACAUUAAAUUACCAUAGGAGAACGAGCACGAGUUGCUCUUCCACCAGCGAGUCCAAUGCCUCCCGUGCCAUUAAUGUUAUUAUAAUCAAGCUGGUCAUCAUCAUCACCCUCCACGUUUUGCUGGUGUGCCAUAACGGCCGCCAGCCUUUGCGCCGCCGCUUUCGUUUGCGCUUUCUUCAUGUUCCCCACGCUUGCGUAGCUUGAUCGCGACCGUCCGUGGCGGUGUAUCGGCGACGAUGAUGUCAGUGGUGAUGCCGGCGUCCCUGGCGUCUCCGAGUCCACCGUGGUCUGAUGUCUCUCGUAUGCUAACUUCCUCCUAUUCAUAUUGACUGCAAUAAACAAAUUGAAAGCAAAAAGAAAAAGAAAGAUAAAUCAAUCCAUAUUAAAAGAAACAAAUACAAAAAACUUAAGAGUUGAACUUAAAACUUACCAGGUUGAUCAAAGAGAAGACUCUGUUUUUCGGUAAAAGGUAAGAAAAACAAGCAUUGUUCCGUGACACAAAAUGAAAAAGGAUGAGAAAAUGGUGAUUAGUUUUCCACGAAAAUGUGGGAAAUUGGAAUAGUUUACGGGGACGCAUUUGAAGUGAAAAAUGGUAAACCAAAGGAUCCGAUAAUUAAGGCAAGAAAAGAGGAAGUUUUAACGGUCCAUUAUUUUUUCUUUUUCUAGAACUGAAAGAUUUUCUUUUACAUGUCAAAUACGUUCCUGUGGGGUGAAUGUCUAAUUUCAUUAUAUUGAGGAAUAUUUUUGCAAUUACCUAAAGUAGUAGGGUUAUACGCUUGUACUUACUCGUUCAAUAAACACUUUUUUAAACAAUAUAACAAUUGAAAGUGCAUUUUUUUUCAUUUAACAACUUUUUUUUUCAUAUUUGAUACUCCUGUUUCAUAUUUUAUGUUCUUAUUUGUUUUUUGGAAUUAAAAAAAAAGAGAGAUUUAACAUGCAUUAUUAACUUUAAUUUUUUGUAAAAUAUAUAAUUCCUAGUUUUUAAUAUCAAAAAAUAAAAAAUUAUGAAAAAAAAAGUUUGGAAUAUAAAAAAAUUAAGAAUUUUAGGUUUUUAAAAAAAUAUAUAAUUUUGAAAAAAAAAUGAGAUUGAAAGAGUAAUGACAAUACAAUAGAAUUCUUUUAAUUCUUCUAUAAAAAAAAUGAAAUUCUUAUAAAACCUUUUGUAGUGGUAGAAAUGUUUAAGUAAAAAUCAUUUGUCUUAAGCUAUGUUUUCCAUGCACUACCAUGUUAAAUUCAAAUGGUAACAAAACAAGAAUUUUUUUACUCAAUUUUUUUUAUUAAUGUUUUAUUUGGAUGACCAAUAGAAAACGAUUCCUACCACAUCAUCAUUAGAAACCGGAUUGCGACAAUGCAAGCACUGAUCACUCAGUAAACUGAACUGGAAACCUGUUCUUUUUCUUGCUUUUGAAACACCAUUGGUGUUUUUUCGUACAAUUGCGAGCGAUUAACAGUAAGAACCAGGUCAAUAAUGUUGGAAUUUAAAAAAACAAAUAGGAAUGAAUAAGCAAAACUGAUAGAAGAAAAUAUCAAAAGAAAAAAAAAAUCUUUGACUUUAAAUGCAAAACAAAAUAGGAAAAACACAUAGGUUAGCAAAGACAUGUCACAACAGCAUUUUGAUGCAAUAUUUCUGGAAGACAGCAAUAAAAUGUUUUACCUGCAUACAGUAAUAAACUCAAUUUUUAUUUAAGCAUAAGUGACCAUUCGCUAUUCAACACCCAAUUAAACACAGAUGCAGAGAGAAAACACCAAUUUAGAACGCCUGAUACCAAAUAGUCCAACAAAAAAACAUUUCCUCGAUGUAACAUAGCAUGCUAAAAUGACAAAGUUCCUUCACCUUGACAGGAAGAUGGCAGUCGGAUUUCCAGGGGAUGGAGGAUUCUGCUUUAGCAGGGAUGCAUGAGGACCAGCUUGAACAUAAGCAUCAGGAUCAGUGGCCGACAAGACUUCUACCUCUUCAAGACCAAGUUGUCUUUUGAUCAAGUCCAAGUUCUCCUUAAGGACCUGAAUCUCUCCAAAGGGCAGCUUCAAAUCCAGGACUUGGGCACCAAUUUUAAUAGCCUCAUCCUUCUUGAACGUCAAGAAUGGCAUACAACGUUUCUGGAUCUGUUUAAAGUCUGCUGCCUGACCAACAGUGCUCUCCUGCAAUGCGUUCAUUAUCUCCCCGUCUGAUGCAAAAGUAUGGGUCUUAUUGUCGAACUUGCUUUGGAGAAUCUGCAAACACUCUGCUUGCCAUCCUUCAAAUUGCUCAUUCACAAAGAUUAGGCCUUUUAACUUGUCCUCAGUUAGCGAUGUAACAGGAGCACCUUUCUUAUUAGCUUUCUUUGAUCCCAAAAUCUGCUUCUGGAGCAGCUUUCUCAUCAACACAAUGGAAUCUUGCAAAUACUUAUCGGCACUCUUGAGUUGCAGAUCUGGAGAAUCUGCUGUGGGCCAGCCUGCUUUCACCACAAAGCCAUCCUUCUUCAAAAGCUCUCUCCAAACAAACUCCGCAUAGUGAGGGCAGAUUGGAGUGAUAAGCCUAGUCUGCACAUCCAUAAACCGCCAUACAAGGUCACGGUUCAUGCCCCCACUGCCACAAGAGAACCUAUACUCAUCCCUGGCAGCUUGAAGAUCAUAAAAGCCAGUCUUGAGAGCCUCCCGAAACAUGUAAUCCCUAUAAUUCUGCUCAGUCAUUU